RNAcentral lists this long non-coding RNA (114561 nucleotides) under Citrus maxima (pomelo). RNAcentral describes it as "long non-coding RNA (CMAX_LNC004209)". The record is from RNAcentral. Lineage: Eukaryota; Viridiplantae; Streptophyta; Magnoliopsida; Sapindales; Rutaceae.
ACGAUUCAAGGCUGUGAGGUGAGAGAGUACCGACCAAUGAGUUUCAUUGGUUAUCGGUUAAUAUCCUACUUCUUCCGAGCCACGAAUGAGGUAUGUAUGAAAGAACUUUCAGUGCAAGUUAGGUUUUGCUUGCUUUGUUGAUGAGUUGAGUAAAAAUAUGAAAAACAGGUCUUCAAAAAUUGAUUGAAAAUAUGGCUGGUACUUCUUAUUCUUUUCAUCAAUUAAUGUUAGCUGUAGUGAAUAGAGUAACCCAAAUGCAUGUUGACCGGUUCACCGAUUCCACUGACUAUACUCUUAGAGUGAUUCGCUCGAUACAGAGGUGCGCUUGACGUUUGUAAUUAGUAUUCUAUAAAAGAAAAUGCUCGAAUCCUUCCGUGGAUAGCUUUCUUGUGUUUGACAUGCCUUGAUUGAAUUUAUAAGCACUAGGAAUAAAUGUAAUAUUUAUGGGCAUUAGAUUUUUUGUAUUAUUGAGAUUUUGUAAUUUUAGAAAAUCCAAGAUUAUGUUCAUGUUUGUUGUGAUUUUCCUUAAAAGUUUUAAGAUUGUACAUGUAUGCUAUGCUACGGCAUGUUAAUACAAAAUUCAUUUGAAAGGUUAUCUUCAUCAACUAUGUUCUGUAGUUUUACACGGUUGCCAACCAUUUUGUGUCGGGUCAAUGUGUUUAAUCUUUAAGAUUCACAUAAAUGCUUUAUUUUGGAUGCUUAUCAAUUUUAAUUUCAUCAAUAGAAAGUGUCAAUAAUGAAGCUGCAGGAUAGGACUUGAUAUUAGCUUACAUUGAAAUGAUAAAGUAAUGGAUCCAUAAUGUUAAAACAAGAAAAACAAGACAGAAAUUUUGUGAUAGAUCAACUACAAUGACUUGGCGGUUGGCAAUAACUUGUUAUUUUUGUUAUAAACAAAAUCUUAGAUUUGUUAUACAUGGUCUCUUUGCAUUAAAUGUCUACAAAAUGUUGUUAGAUUGAGCAGAAAUAUAAGUUGCCACUGCUGUUGAAAUCAAGUAUAUAGUAGUAUGUUUUGCAACAUGACAGUGUUUGACAAUUAGAACCAAAUUGUUUGAAUCUUCUUAUGUUUGUGUUUACAUUAUCUUCACGAAUUAUAUAUUCACUAUAAGUUGUAUACUAAUACGAUAUUUUUAUUAAUAAAGGGAAAUUAACCCAAGCCUAAAGAGAUAGUCGAUAGUGAAUUCGGUAGCAGCAGCUUUGGCAGCAAGAGUGUUCAUUAAGUAGUAGCACCAGAGUCCAAACUAAUCCCUUACGACAUAUUUUGAAAUGAUCAGAUGAUACCUCACAUUUCUUAUGUAAGCCCUAAAUUGUAGAGAUGUUGUAUCAUCUUUUACUUGGUUUUAUUGAGGUUUUUGUAUAUUAUACUUUGAAACUCACUCCAGUGACAAGGCUAGUAUUGCCUUUGUUAGUAUUAAUCUUAGUAAACUGUUAUUAGUUGCUCACAUGUAAAUAUGGACUACUGUUGAGUUGUAAGGCUAAUUGGAUGACAACCACUGAUGACUGACUACAUUAAUAUCGCUGUUGAAAUUUGUUUAUAUGUACCACAUGGCUGAGCUAUGUUUCUACAUUUAAGUGCUUGUAUUUACCUAUAUGGAUUAUAUCGCGGUUGAAAUUCUUUUAAAUACAUCACAUGGUUGAGGCAUGUUUUUAUAUUUCAAUGGAUGUAUUUGUAUUUAUGUCUAUAUGGAUGUUGAGAUUCUUUUAUAUAUAUCACAUUCAAAGGAUUAGGAAAUUGUUAUUGAUUGAUUUAUUUUAUAAUUAUUGCAUUAAUCUUCUUAACUGUUUGUGUCUUGAUUCUAACUUGCCAAAGUGAUUUUGCUACUGAAUAUGGUAUUAUGAAGGAAAUCAAUAUUUGGUUCACUCAUUCUAUGCCCUUUGCCUGCCUUUGUGUUAGAUUGCAAGUUAUGUUGGACCAUAGGAUUAGAAAUUGUAGUCUAAAAUUUUUUAUUUAGGCUUACAUAUGCAUAUUACUUAGAAAACACUAUUACAUUAAAUAUAUAAAACAAUAGAUUUAGGGACAUAUUACGUAAGGGUCAUAAAAUGUAUUUGAUUAGCUUGCUGUGCUUAAGCUUUAAGCUCGCAUUGACGUGCAUAAGUGUUCCAACUUUGUAUAAUGAUUGGAAAGUGGUGAGAUUUGAAUGAUUUUUGAAGAGUUUGUAGAUGCAUGGUUGAUAUGGAGGUAUGAGAGAAUAUUGGCAGUGAUGUUUUGAUUAUGUUGAAGGAAGAAGAAAGCUUCAGUUAUGAGAAGCAGAAGCUUUGUUGUUGUGUAGCUUGGCAAUGGCUAAUUAUAUAGACAACCAACAUAAAUAUUGGCAGCAACAAUUAUAAUUUCUAAAUUUAUUUUUUAAUUUUUUAUCGUAAUUCAGCUAAGUUAUUUUAGGAAUGGAUGAGGAUGAUCUGAUAAUUUUAUUGUAUUUAUAGCCGUUGGCACCAAGCAAAUAUAAUGCUAUUAACCAACAAUACACUGUUCUGAACAUGAAAAACGUGAUUUUCUUAAGUCAAGGGUAUUUUAGUCAUUAUGUCAGUCAACAAACAGUCUAAGGAUAGAAAUAAGAACGUAAGGGGAGGUUUGUGAGAAUAUGUGAGUACAUUCUAUUAAAGUGAGAAUACCCUAAACUUCAAGGGAGGUUUUUAAAAAUUAUCCUUCAAUUAUAAGAUCUUGCAAACAGUGAAGUUAAAAUUGCUUUGAUUCUACUCUUCUAUUUUGUUUAUCCAAUGAGUUGUCUAUUUUUGGGGUUUUCCCCAUGAUUUUUUUUUUGUUUAUUUUUUAAAUUACCAAAAAAAAAGAUGCUAUAGUCAGCAAUGUUUGGGCUCACAUGAACAUGAUGUUUUAUGUUAUGGCUAUCACUAUAAUGCUUUGUUAUCAUUGUUAUUAUUAUUUGAUUUGCAUAAAACAAAAAAAAAAUAAAAAAGGUGUAAUUAAGAGUAAUUAUAAACUUUUAAUUAAGAGUCAUUAUAAUAUUUGAUCUAUAUCAAUAUAUGACCAUAUACCAAAUAUCAAAAUAGAGGUAAGAUUUAUAAUAUCUGGAUACGAUUUUAUGAAUUUGAAAAAAAAUAAUUAGGUCUAUUUUUUGUUACAAAUUAUAUUAUUUUAUAAUAAAUUUUGAAGUCGGUUGAAUGUGGAAAUUUAUUUCAUCAAUUAAUUUAAAAAGGUACUAUAUAUAUGACAUGGUUGGUAAAUGUUAAUAUAAUGGGUGGGUAUGACCAAUAACUAUGCAUUUAUUUUAAUUAAAGUAAUAUGGAUAAAUUUAUUAAGAAUAGUUGUCAAUUUGUCAUCGUCACAGCCAUCACAUGAAGUCGUGGCACAAGAAAUUUUAUUUAUUUUUUUAAUGGAAAAUUAAUCACACUGAUUAACAAAUAAUUGGGAACCAGAAAAACUUUAAAAUAUUUUCAUGUCGGAUUAUACAACCCAAAACAGACUUUCCUUUAGUCUAAAACAGGGUACCAAACCAGAUAAGAAAAUCUUCAAAAGUUUUCUGAUGCACAGGAUCCUUAGAAAAGGCAAGUGCAGAGCAUAAUUCCUUAGGUUUUCAAAAUGAACAGAUUUAAUUCUUUAUUCUUUUUCUUUUCUAGAACUUCAUUUGCAGAGAGAGAAGAGAGGUUUAGGGAUUCAUGGAAUUAGAAACACACGAGUUUAUUUCUUUCAAACUUCUAUCUUACAAUGGAGAGGAGAAUCCUUUAUAUAGGAGAAUUCUCGGGGCGAUAGGAUAAGAUUCCUAUCUUUACAAAAGUAAAAGCAAAGAUACAUUAUGACACACCUUUAAUUAUUACAAAAGGACAAAAGAUGCUUUAAUAAUUAAAGCAUAACUUUUGACAAAAGCAAAAGCAAAAGCUUAAAGUAAAAGCAAGCUUUAAUGAUUACAUAGGACAAAAGCAUAAAGUAAAGCAUAAGAAGACAAACUACUUUUAUGGAGAGGAGAGAUUCAUGUAGUCAUCUUCAGAGGAACUUUCUGUUGCAUCGGGGUCCGUGUCACCAGAGUGCUUUUGGAAAAAAGAUUUGGAGAGUUUGAGCUUUGGAUGUUUGCAGGAGGGACCACGACAUGGUGGAUGAGGGCAAUUGUAUUCCCUCGGAGUACCCUUUGGAGUAUACGUUGGGGAAGUUUGGGUGGCUUUAUCGACUUGGGAGGGUCGGACUGGGGUAUUGGAAGGUCGAUGUGAUGGUCCUGGUGCAGAAGGGUCAGGUUCAUCCAUUGUGGGUUGGGGAAAUUGUUGAAGGUGUUGGCUGAGAGGAAGGAAGUCUUCCCAAGGGUCCUGGGAGUCUUGGUAGAGGAAGUCAGUGUAGUCUGGACGUUCUUCUUUAAUGACGAUUCCUGUGGACUUAGGUUUAGAUGUGGCUGAAGGAGUUGGGAUCAUAAGGAUUUCAUGUUGAGGACCUAAGGAGGUGUGUGAGAUAUCUUUUAAUGGCGGAGGUUUGUGGUUUAAUUGACAAAGGUAAUUGUGCAGGACUUCUUGGAGGUCGUUGUCAAUGAUAGCUAUAUGUGGUGCAGUGAACCAUUCAUAUGCUUGAUCUUGAGUCCAAAAGAGGUUGGUGGCUGGGUGUUGGAAGUAGGGCCUGUGAAUGAUGAAAACUGUUGUCCAUAAUUUUGCUUCAGAGGCAGGCAUACGAUCAAGGUUGUGAAUUUCUGAGAGUUGUUGGAGCUUCUUUCUCCACCAUGGUAUUGGGGAGAACCAUUCAAGGAGCGUCCAGGUAAGGGAGGUAGCAUUGUCGGGAUGAAGGAGAUAUUCCAAUGUGGGAGUAACUGGGAGGAUUAACUUGGUUGCAUAAAGGACUGUUAGGCACCAGAUGUACCAUAACACGUCUUCAGUGGUGUCUCUGGAUGGAUCAAGGGUUAAACCUGUAGAAAACAUAUUCUCUGGGUGGAAAGAGGAGAAUGGGAAGGGUUCUGUGACAAGGUAGGCUUUCAUGAAGAACCGAAAGAGAGCUUUUCUCGCAAAUUCUUGGAUGUCAAAGACAGAAGAGAAGGUUUUGUUGAAGGGAAAAGUUUUCUUGGUGAGAGCUUCUGGAGGUAGGGAGGUAGCCAUGGAAAUGAUCGGAAAGUGGUAUGUGGUGGAAAACAAGGUGAGAGGCUUUUCUGGUUUUGAGAGUCUGGAGAGCAUAUCAGGGAUGAGGUUCUGGGACCCCUUUAUAUGCUUAACCGAAAAAUCAUAUUUGGAAAACCAAUCUUUUAGUCUGAGUAACAUUUUCUCAGGAACAGUUUUACCUUUGAAAUGGAGAAUAUUGGGAAAGGCUGAACUGUCCAUUCGGAUGAGGAAGUGGUGUCCAAUCAAAUGAUACUCAAAUUUCUUGAUGCCAUUUUUGACCGCUAGGAUUUCUUUGAACACGCUGUGAUAGUGCUUCUGUGUGUCAGAAAAUUGGCCGCUAGCGUGAGCAAUAAAGUGAUCCUUGUCAUUGAGUUCUUCAAGGAGGAUGGCACCCCAUGAUUCAUCACUGGCGUCUGUCUGCAAGAUGCGUUUGCCAUCUGUAAUCAACUUUAAGGGAGGCGGAUUUUGCGCGAUCUGCUUGAGAGUAGUGACAGCAGUGGUGUGGUCAGCAUUCCACUCGGGGGGCUUCUUUUUUAAUAAAGCCGAAAGAUGAUGAGUGUAGUGGUCCACAUGUGGGAUGAAAUCACGGAUGUAAUUGAUGAUGCCGAGAAACUGUUGGACUUGUCUUUUGGAAAGUUGCUGAUCUGGAAAGUGAAGCAAUUCUUGGGCAAUGUGUUUUCCAGGCUGGUAAUGACCAUCUGUUAUGACCAUACCAAGGAAUUCGAUGUUGUCAGUGGCAAUGGUGCUUUUCUUGGCUGAUAGCAUAAUUCCAUGACGUUGAACAAUAUCAUAGAACUGUGUUAACAGCUGGCGAUGUUCAUCAUGUGAUCCUGAAAAAAGCAAGAUAUCAUCAAUGUAAAUUAAUGCAUGAUGCAGGAUAGGCUCAAAGAUUUUAACCAUGGAUUUUUGGAAAAUGGAUGGGGCAGUUUUGAGACCGAAAGGUAGGACUGUCCAUUGGAAAUGGGCAUUCGGGAUACAAAAGGCAGUUUUGGGACGGUCAGAGGGUUCAAUGCCUAAUUGCCAAAAACCUGAUUUUAAAUCAAAUUUGGAAAAGAUCUGGGCAUUUUUGAGAAAAGUAAACAUGCUUUGUCGGCGAGGCAAGGGAAAUUUGUCGUCUUGCAAAAACAUGUUUAGGGCUGAUAGUCAAUGACUAAGCGUUUCUUUCCGCGGACAAUUUCAGAAUGUUUUUCAACAUAAAAGGCUUGGCAAGCCCAUUGAGAAGUUGUGGGCUCAAUUAGACCUUGGGCUAAGAGUUGGGAACACUCUUGUUGGGCUAGGAGUAAGUCAGAUGGACUCAUUCCUGGGUGAGUGGCUUUGGUUGGGUUAAUAUCUUCAUUGAGUUUGAAAGGUAACUUAAUGAAGAAAGACUUAUUUUUCCAUAAUGGGUUUGGGUGGGUAAAGUCAGAAUGGGUAUCGGGACAGAAACUCAAAAGUUUGGUUGAAACAUCCUGGUAGGGCUGGGGUGUUUCAGACAGAUUGUAGAGUUUCAAAAUGUUUGUGUAUGGUUUGAACAUGGACUUGACUCGGAUUCCAGUGGGAAUGAUCUGGAGGUGUUUGAUCUGGUGGAGGACAUCAAAACCUAACAAGACAUCUUUAUUGGGAAGGGUUGAACUAAUAACUUUGGUCCAAAUGACACAAUUGGGAAAAAGUUGAAGACCAAUGGGUUUUUUGGUAAUCAAAGAAGUAGAGAAGACUUUGCCAUUGACGGCUUUGAAAUGUUCUUCGGACUGGGUCCAAUAUUCUGAUGGAAGAAUAUGUGGGUUCAACAUGCUGCGUUGGGCACCGGUGUCGAUGAGACCAAUUGCUGGAACGGGCCUUUGGAAUUUUGAGGGUAGGAUCUGGAUUUUGAUGGAUGGAAUUGGGACAGUAGUGUCUAGGGAUAGUAACUGUUGAUGGAAAAUCACUUGGGACUGAUCACUGUCGGAAUCAGAGGAAUUUUGCAGUGCGAACACUGUUUCAUCAUUAGGUUCAUCUUGUUCAGAGAAAUAGAAUUCCAGUUCAUCCUUUGCUGGAGAAUAAUCUGUAGUGGCUUGAAGAUGCUCAACAAGCCGAAUAGAUUUUUCUCUUUUGUUGGGACAAUCUUUUGCAAAAUGACCUUUUCUUUUGCAGAUAAAACAUCUGCUUGAUUUUCUUCUUUGGAAGUCUUUGGAGGAAGAGGACUUUUGCCGGAAGAAUCUGUAUGGUUUUCUGGAUCUGCGAGGUCUGGAUGAAAAUUCUGGAUUUUUGAAUUUCUUGAAAUGCCUUUUCUUCUUAGGACUACAAUCGCAAUCCUUUUUCUUUUGGCAUUUUAUCUGCAGAUAGGGUUUUUUGCAAGCGCUUCGGAAUGGUUCUUUGUCUUUUAACAGUUCUUUGAAAAACUGUUUUUGCUCGCAAAGUUUGUCAAGACAGGUUUUGGCAAGCUGGAAGAUUUUGCCAAGAGAGAUAUUUUCAACAGCAAGGUUGGAUGCUGCAAGUUGUCGCUGUAUGUCUGGUUGGAGUUCAUCUGGAAGGGAUGACAGGAAAACAUGCUUCAAUGUGGGCUCAUUGAAUCCAUUAAGUUUAUAGAACAGCAGGGACAUUCGUUUAUAAUGGAAGUCAAGAUCCUUAGCAUUGAGUGAACAGCAUUUCAUGUUGAGAUAAUCUCUUCAUGCUGCUUCGAAGACUGCAGAGGGGUCUCCAAGGAAUUGAUCAUGGAUAACCGCAAGAGCACCUGAGACUUCUGGUAAUUGAACAAAUUGCAGUUGUCGGUAUUGGCCUAGAGAAUCAAACCAAUCUGUUAGAGCACCCGUAAAACGAGUAGCAUAUUCUCUAAGGAAUGAUUCAGUUGUAGCUCCGGGUCUGAGCAUUUGGAGGUCAAUCCAGGCAGACAUUUCAUUGAGUCGGUCACGCCAUUUAUGGGAUGGAAGAUCAUCAAAUGUGAACCAAGGACCAUUGGACGAUUUUUGACUGGGGGAACUAGGCUGGGCUUGGGCUGGAGGAGGUUGGUUUGUUGCCGAAGAUUCAGGUAUUUCUUCAUCAACUUCGGAGGGAAUAUCAACAUAUGGCUCGGUAUGGGAGGUUUGACCGGUAGAAGGUUGAUCAGGUUGGGUCAUCAAAAUUCGGGUGAUGUCAGCAUAGGACUUCUCAGAGUCACUUGUGGAUGGUGAGGAGGCUGUGGCAGACUCAGUAUGGCUAUCAGUAACGGCUAGGUUGGAAUCAGAAGUUUGGGUAUCUGAAGUAGAGGAAUGGUCUACUGUAUGGGCACUAAACUGGUGCAUUGGCUGUUUAUCUUCAUGUUGAGGAGGUAGUUGUGGAGGUACUGGCGGAGAUACUGGUGUAGGAUCAGGAAAAGGUUGACCAGGGAUGGACAGAGAAGAAGGAUGUAGUGAGACAGGGCGAGAUUGUGGUCGGGAUUGUGGCUUAGGUUUGGGUAGUGGAUUAUCACGAAAAAGAGUAUGAGUCAUACCAAAGAGUUUGGACGGGUCAUACGGUUUGAUGGGGGAAAGCAUAGAGGCAAAAGGAUGAUAUGUUGGACCAAUGGAAGGGAUAGGAGGUGAAGUGGUAAAAAGGGAAGGCCUUUCAAUCUGAGCAAGCUCAGUUUUUAAGCGUCGGAUUUCCCUUUCCUUUUGAUCAAAUUCUGGGCCAGAAUAGCGGUGAGCAAGCAUAGUUCGUAGCUCGGAAUCAAGUUGGGUAAUUCUGGACUGGAGAUUUUGGUGGAUCUGUUGCAUCUGUGUAGUGAUGGAAUCAACCUUUGUCUCAAUCUGUUCAGUUCGUAAACUGAUUUUGUCAACUUUGGAAUUGAUAUUUAACAAAGUAUCAUUCUGGGCCCUGGCAUUUUGGGUUUGCCAGUUGAGAACAGACUCAAAGGGUUUAGGAGGUUCGAGGUGGCCAGUGGAGGUAAUUGGGGAAGGAACAAAAGGUUUAGACACAACAUUUCGUUGAGGGUCAGUAUGAGGUUCUAAUGAGGGAAAAGAUGAGGAGUAAUCAGACGAGGUGGAAGAAAACAUCAUACAAGCCAAUGGAGGUGUUUGAGGCGGAAUUGGUGAUGGAAUCUCAGUUUUGCAAUGCUUUGCAAUCCAUUUGAGUUCCUUUUUGUAAAAGGGUAAAGGAGCCGGUGGGGGUGGAGGAUCUGAUGGUGGUUUUGGAUUAUAGUGGUGACAUGAGGCCGGAGGUUUUUUCUUUUUGGGUUUCUUCUUGGUGGAAUAAUCAUCAUCGUCUUCCCAAUCAUCCCAACAGGGACAAUUUGGGUCACACAUGCCUGAGCCGGGGACAUCCCAUAGGAAAUGUCCAUUUUGCUUGGCUGGAUAAACAGGGUAGCCUUCGGAAUUGAAUCCGGAAAUGGGCAGGUCUUCCUGGGCUGUCUGAACAGCCGUGAUCAUUGAGGAGUAAGUAAAGGAGUGCCGAGGAGGCUCUUGUGGAGCACUGGGAGGUGGCUUAAAGGUGAGUCUGACAGUUCCAUCUUGUCGUCUUUCAAACAUGCUUUCAGAUGUCUGAAUUGGAGCUGUAUUAUUAUGGAACUGCUCAUAGUUGGAGAUCCAUUCAAGAGGCAUAAGCUUGAGAAGCUCAUGACGAGGAAUUUGUCUGGGGAUCUGGAUGAUAGUAGGGAUCUGGUCAGAUUCAGCUAACACCAUGAGGGUAUCAGAGUGGUGUUCUGGAGCGGGAAGAUCUAAGGCAUGAUUCUGAAGCCUAUAGACCAGUUGGUGGUGUAGGGUGGCUAUUUUUGCAGAGGAAAUUUGUUCGGCACCUUGAAUUUGGAUUUGGACUUUCAAGGUUGUGGGUAGGUUGGGAUCCUGGAGAGAAAGGUUAAAGUUUGGAUAAAAGGUGAGCAAGACACUUCCUGCAUGGAGGGUUGUGAGGACAGUGCCUAUAACAGCAUCUUGGUACUGUUUAAACCGGGUAUCAAGCAUAGCAAGGCGAGCUGUAACCGGUAAUCCUUUUCUGCCAUGAAGGGUAAGGAUUAAUCUGAUGCCGCCAAGAUGAAGAUGAGUAUAACCUUCACGUUUCCAGUGGGAAAGCAGCUCUGAAGGUAUUUCCAGAGUGACAUAUUGCUCAGCAGAGGUUGCUUGGAGAGCACACUGAUCCAGGCGAGAAGACUGGAUAUAUUCUUUAGGGUGUGGUCGUCUGGUAGAGAUUAAAGUGCGGAUACUACGGGCAAUAGAACUAGGACAUUUGUAAAGCUGGUAAGGACUGAGGAGAGGGUAAGAGGAUUCACUAAUUUGGGCUGAUUCAGGAAUGUAGGAAUAUUCGACAAGGUUUUCAAUCUUAUUGGUAGUGUGAGAAGUGCAAGAUUUGGGCAAAGAAAGAGUAGAAGAAAGAGUAACCGGAGUGGGAGAUGAAGAGGAAGCCAUGAAGGAGAAAUUCUCCCUGCGUCGUGAAGACUAGAAUACAAAGCAGAAUAAAGAAUAAAUCAUACCAUUUUGAGCAUAACAAAUAAUCAUGAUGGACUUCAUAAAUAAAAUAAAAGAAUUCGUCAUACUUUUUUAAAGAUUUACAAUUUAUGAAUACAAAUGAGCCUCUAGCAACUGGUUGGGUUAGAGUUCGAUUUGGGCCUUUGAUCAAAACAAAUAAACAAUACAAAAACUCAUUUUUCAGUAUUAUACUUAUCUCCAUAAGCAUGCAUUUAAUUUUUUCACAAAUUAUUUUCAAAUUUUUUGUUAUUAUUUAGUUAUUUUUAAGUAGAGUUUUUAAAAAUUAAAUAAGUUAUUUUAUCUCUACCACUAAAAACUCAUAUUUUAUACUUUUAGAAGUAGUGGUUGAAAGUUUUUUAAAAAUAUUAAAACAUCUAAAAUAUCAUUUACUUAUUUAAUUAUUUUAUUUUAUUUCUUUUAAAACAUAACUAAAAAAAACUUACCUAUUAAAGUAAUUUUGUUUAAAAUUUUCAAUUAAAACUCUCAUGGACCACCAAAUAACUAAUUUUCUUUAAUAAAUCUCUAUUUAUAAAAGUUCUUUUAACAAAAACUAUACUUAAAUAAGUUUUCCUUAAAAAAUUAUACCAAACAGUGCCUUCGCACUAUAUAAAAAAAAUAAAAAAAUAUCCUAAUUGUUGUAAGAUUUUUAUCUCAAUGACUCCAUCACAAUAAAAUUCGUGAGUGCUCUAAUUGUCCUCUCAUGUUCUAUAGUCAUGAGUUUUGUGUUGGGCCACUUAUUCAUUUCAUUAAUAAUAAAAGAAAAUGGUUUGAGACUUUGAGUAUUUAAAAAAAAAAAAGAUAAAAGGGGUUGAAUCUCCCACAAAUUUAAAAUAAAAAUGCAACUAAUUUUAUUUGAGUAACGCAGUACUUAUAUUUUCUAGAAGUUUUGUGGUUGAAUUAUGAAAUUACAAGAAUUUUAUUUUUUUGUUAAUUUAAUUUAUAAUUAGUGGACUGAUUCAUUUUUAAUAUAUUAGAUUAGUAAAAUGCAAUAAAUUUUUAGUUGAUUAAAAUAUAUAUUUAUUAAAUUAUAUGUAAACUUAUAAUUUAAUAAAUUAUUAAUUUAUCGAUUAAUUAAUAUAUGUUUAAAUUAAUAAAUUUUAUAUGAUGCCCACGUUAUUAAUUUAUAAAAAUUUGAUUGCACUUUGAAUUCUUUGUUACCAAACUAAACUGUUAAUCUUUAGACAGACAAAACUAUUUUUACUGCAACGGUAUGCAAGGAAGCGAAGUAUCUGCGUCAGCACAGCCUUUCGGUCGCCGUUGAUUUUACAUACUACAACAAAGUCAGCUUUCAUCAUCCACCAUCAAACCCACAUCAACUUCAGUCACUUCCAAGUAAUUGAUCAUUCUUCUUCAUGUUAUUUCUUAAUUUCUAUAAUUAUAAAAAACCUUAAACCCUUGAAGUGGUUGAAUAGAGAAACAGAGGAUGUUAGUGUCGUUCUCACAUUUUCCAACACGAUUCUCGGUUAGCUUUCUAUGCAUGGGAUUGUCUAUUUAUUUCUUUAUUUUUUGUUUUUAAUUGAAAAAAGUUUUGUUUGUGUUAAGUAAUAAAAAGUAUCAGCUCGGCCAUGCCCUCAUUUCUCACCCCGAGGCGAAUCUCCUCAACUGAAAGGCACAAGAAGAGUACUGGUAAAACAUCUUAUGACAGCAUGUGCCAACUAGAGACGAGCACCAACCAGAGAAAUAUACCGACCAGAGACGUAUACCGACCAGAUACCCAUCACCCGAAGAAAGGGCACACGAUCUCACGAAAUCGUGACAGUUUCGCUACGCCCCGAACCGUUGGGGGAGACAUGGCAUCCCACGUUUACCCACAAUCCAAUGAUUGGAAACCCAUGAGGGUCUGCCAUCACCCGAAAAAGGGGGACGUGAAUAGUACGUAGAAACGUGGGACAACGGCUAUAAGAAGCCAGGAAACCAAUGAAAAACUUUGAGAACGUUACAAGAAAUCACACAACCCAAAUUACAUAGCUUUCCCGUAAACACCUUGUGCUAACUUAAGCAUCAGAGGGUUUACGCCGGUAAAACCACCGGCAUCUCUGAUCCAUUUUGUGAACGCAGGUUUAGGAGGAGAAAAAAGGGUGAUUCCUACCCCAAGGGCUCAGGCAAUUGUGGAAACAGGAAGAAAGUGAUGUCUUCACUACUGACCACAUAAACGUUGGUGAAAAGAUCUGAUCGGGUGAAGGGCGAGUAGAUUUCAGCAUCAAAAUUUUGGCGCCGUCUGUGGGGAGCUGGAUAAAAAGCUACCACCAAACUAGUAGUCAUCAGAGGAGCACACGAACGGUCGGUUAUGGAUGUGUCAAGGAAGGAUGCCCUAGGGGGUGACAAUUAAACUGUUGAAAUAAUCACUCUCCGCGAGAUCGUGAAUGAAGCUAGAGAGAGGAUGAUGCAAGAUCGACUGGAACGGAUCGAGAAACAAAUGGAGACUCUCACGGCUAUAUUAUAUGAGCUGAAGGAUGAGCGAAGAAGGGAUUGUGAAACCACCGUGGUGAGAGAUGAAGCCGUGGCAGAACCCAGCCUACGGAGGCGUAGAAUCGAGGAGAUCUCUCCGCCGGUAGACCAAUUCUAUGGGGUUCAUCCCCAUAAAAGUGCGGGUCGGAUCCCAGAAGAGUGCGUAGAUGAAGGGAGGGACCAAUCUCGCUCCGGACGAGUUCUGGAAAUUGAUGGCCAAGGAGCAAAUAUUGAUGAAGGAGAGCUCAGACAGCGACUGCAUAAUGCCGAGCAGGAGCGAGAUCAAAUUGUUGCGCGCGAUCCUGACCGUGCUUUAGAAUUGGAGGGUGAGGUACGCAGGUUGGCGCAGGUGAUGGAUGAGAUCCAGGGCAAGAAAAAGCCCCCGAGCUGGAGGCUAAUGCUGGAUGAAGAAUCUCCGCUAUCAGCCGAGAUCAUGGGUACUAUAAUCCCAAGAGAUUUCCGCUUUCCCGACCUCAAAUACUCCGGGAGAAAUGAUCUACUGGUGCAUAUUGAGCAUUUCAAUGACAUGACGGGUGUGCAGGGGCUAACACCAGCUCAGAGGUGCAGGGUGUUCCCAUUGACACUAGAGGGACGAGCCCGAGAAUGGUACCGUAAGCUGCCACGAGGAAGUAUAAGGGGAUAUGAGCAGAUGUGCCAAGAGCUGGCUGAGCAGUUCCGAGGAGCGGUAGCCCCUGAGGACGAUAUAAUGGAGUUGAUGGGGAUGAAGCAGGAGGAACACGAAUCUCUUCGGGAUUUUGUGAAAAGAUAUCAUCGGGCCGUGCUCGAUCUGGGAGCUUUCAAUCACCUGCAUGCAUUGAGGGGAUUAAAAGAGGGUGUGAGGAUAGGCCGAUUGUGGUACAACUUGAGAAGUCCCAUUGUUCAGAAUUAUUCGACGGGGUUGAGCAGGCGAAGAGAGACAUAGAAAUUGAAGAAGAAAAAACGGCAAAGAUAAAGAGUGAGCAGCUAGAGGAGCUGAGGCGAAAGGAAAAGAGAACCCUGGGUGGGAGCGGGUCGGGAAAGCGAGCUGGGGAAUCGUCAGUGAUGGGUGGAAUAUCAGCUCGGUCUCGCCCUUAUCCCAUGACUCAGAGACCGCAACAGUUCCAACACAGCCGAGCUCAGCCUCAACGCCCCCCAUUCCCUGAGCGGCAAAGAGAAUUCCGACAGGUGGCUGCCCAUCCUUAUCACAACGCUCCCAGGGCACUGCAUGCAGUUAACUCCAGGGCUGGUCGACCAAACUAGCUACCUACAAUACCAGCCCGGGACGAUAUCCACGAUAGCCGAGCGGUCCAACUAAUUGAUCAGAGCUUAGCGUAUAAACAAUACACCCCAUUGAAAGUCUCUAUGGAGGAGUUGUAUGAGAGAAUCGAGGGACGAGGCCUGCUGUACCCUCCUGUCCCUAUAACAAAACCUGCUCACAGACGUGAUAAGAGUAGAUUCUGUAAAUUCCACGACACUCAUGGUCACACUAUCAGCCAAUGUCGUGACCUGAAGACUCAGGUGGAAGAUUUGGUGAGGAACCGGUAUUUGGAUGAAUAUGUAGAUGGAGUGUCCCCCGUCAUUGAACCACAAUAUACGCUGGGUGAUGGAGUUGAGAGGAGUCUAGAGCGUGAACAGCCAACUAUUCAGGUGAUAGCAGGAGGGCCAACAUUGGCUGGAGAUUCAAACAGAGCACGGAAGAAUUAUGGGAGAUAUGCUUUGACCAGCAAAGAGGUACUUUUCAAUUUGCCAACAACCAAGAGGGCGAAAGUAAGGCAAGUUCCCAUUAUGUGGACAGAUGAUGAUGAAGAGGGUGUUUUAUACCCUCAUGAGGAUGCACUGAUGAUUAAAGCGAUGGUGGCGGGUAAAGAAUUCCGGUGAAUAUUGGUGGAUACAGGCAGCUCGGUCGACAUACUAUUUAAGUCGGCCCUAGACGAUAUGGGGAUUGUGGAUUUGAAAUUGGAGCGGACGAACACAUCCUUGAAGGGAUUUGGAGGAGGACGGUUGACCCCCAUGGGGAUCGUCGAGCUGCCGAUUAUCGUAGGAGCGAAACCAUCUGAAAAGACAAUGAUGCUGGACUUUGUAGUAGUGGAAGAGAAAAGCCCCUACCAGAUGAUACUGAGGUGACCUUUUAUGAGGGCAAACCAAUGCAUUAUAUCCACGCAUUAUCUGGCAUUGAAAUACAGAGUAAACGGAGUCGUGGGCGUAGUAAAAGGUGACCAGAGAAUGGCGAGAAGUUGUUACGCUACAGCGGCCAAGGAGACACUACAGGUUACCACUCUGGAUAACCGAGGAGAUUCUAAAAAGGGUCGCCAAGAGCCAGUUGAGAAACUGGAAGAGGUUUUGGUGAGCAAGAGUAACCCUGAGCAGAGUGGUAAGGAUCGGGUCAGGAUUGGGCGAGGCAAUAAAAGGCGAGCUGGUGAAGUGCCUACAGUCCCAUGCAGAUAUAUUUGCCUGGUCACAUGAGGACAUGCCAGGAAUUGAUCCCAGGGUAGCUUGCCACAAAUUGGCAAUCAAGAAAGGGGCAAGACUAGUGAGGCAAAAAAGGAGGUGCUUUAACCAGGAAAGGUACGAGGCCAUAAAUGCUGAGGUGGAAAAGCUGUUGAGAGCAGGAUUUAUAAAAGAAGCUAAAUAUCCGGAGUGGAUUUCCAAUGUAGUAUUGGUAAAGAAGGCCAACGGGAAAUGGAGAUUGUGUGUGGAUUUCACAGACCUUAACAAGGCAUGCCCAAAGGAUAGCUUUCCCCUACCUAAAAUAGAUCAAUUGGUCGACUUAACGGUGGGUCACAGUCUGCUCAGCUUCAUGGAUGCUUUUCCGGGAUACAACCAGAUACCCAUGGACGAGCAGGAUGAGGAAAGUACCACCUUUAUAACUAACAUGGGUUUGUUUUGCUACAGGGUGAUGCCCUUUGGCCUGAAAAAUGCAGGGGCUACCUAUCAAAGGUUGGUGAAUAAGAUUUUCAAGCCAUUGAUCGGUCAAACUAUGGAGGUAUACGUGGACGAUAUGAUCACGAAGUCUAAAGAACCGAAGGAUCAUGUGAAGCACUUGGAAGAGACCUUUGAACUGCUAAGGAAGUACCAGAUGUAGUUGAAUCCGGAGAAAUGUGCAUUUGGAGUUAGCUCGGGCAAAUUUUUGGGGUUCCUGGUGAGCCACUGAGGGAUCGAGGCCAACUUGAAAAAAAUACGGCCAGUAACAGAAAUGAAGUCCCCCCGGACAGUUAAGGAGGUGUAGAGCCUUACAGGGAAGUUGGCAGCAUUGAACCGUUUCAUCUCGCGGGCCACGGAUAAAUGUCACCCUUUCUUUCAAACCAUAAAGAAAGGGAGGAAAAUGGAGUGGACAUCAGAAUGUGAGGAGGCAUUCGGGCAGCUGAAGGAAUAUCUUGCCCGUGCCCCGCUACUAUUGACUCUGAGAGAAGGUGAUCACCUGUAUUUGUAUUUGGCUGUCUCUAAAUGGGCUACCAGCUCGGUAUUGGUCAGAGAGGAGGAAGGAAAGCAACGCCCCGUGUAUUACACUAGCAAGACCUUGGUGGACGCAGAAACUAGAUAUCCACUGAUGGAGAAAUGGGUGCUAGCUUUAAUAAUGACAGCAUGUAAGCUUAGACCAUAUUUCCAGGCCCACCCGAUAGUAGUAAUGACUUACCAACCUCUUCGGCAAAUGCUCAAAAAACCAGAUGCAUCUGGUCGGCUAGUAAAAUGGUUUGUAGAGCUGAGCGAAUUCGACCUAUCUUACAGACCACGAGGAGCAAUCAAAGCCCAAGCCCUGACUGAUUUUAUGGUUGACCGUAUUGAAUCAGGGGAAGAAGUUCAGGAGGAGCAACCAGGUGAACAGGAGAAACAAAAGGGGGUGUGGCUGGUAAUGGUUGAUGGGUCACAUAGUGAACAGGGGUCUGGAGCAGAAGUUGUAAUACGAAGCCCAGAAGGGGCCGAGGUAUCCUAUGCAGUGAAAUUCGAAUUCCAGCUCACGAAUAACCAAGCCGAAUAUGAAGCCUUCAUCACUGAGCUCGGGCUUGCACACGCACUACGAGCAGAAAGGGCAGAAAUCCGAGCAGAGUCCCAGUUAGUCUGUAAUCAGCUCAGUGAUCAAUUCCAAGCGAGGGAAGAGAAGACGAGGCUUUAUUUGAAGAAGGCAAAGCAGAUGGUUGGGCUUUUCCAAGAAGUAGAAAUAAAGCAGAUAUCCCGGAAUGAGAACUAUCGAGCAGAUAUGUUGGCCAGAAUGGCCGCAAUUGCGGAUCCAAAGUUACCCAAGUCGGUUCCAUUGGAAGUGAGGACCUCGCCAAGCAUAGUGGAGGAGAUAGAAGUAAUGCGGGUGAGCACCGAAAAAUCCUGGAUGGACCCGAUUCUCUCAUACAUCCGCGAUGGCAUCUUACCAAAGGACAAGAAGCAAGCAAGGAAGUUGAAAUGUCGGGCAGCAAGGUAUACGCUACUCGAUGGGGUACUCUACCGCCGAGGAUUCACCUUGCCCCUUUUGAGAUGUUUGGAUGACGAGGAAGCAGAUUAUAUGUUGAGGGAGAUUCAUGAAGGAAUAUGCGGCAACCACUCGGGAGCGAGGACUUUAGCCUUCAAGGCACUUCGGCAAGGGUACUUCUGGCCGACCGUGCACCAGGAUGCGAAGGGGAUGGCAAAAAACUGUAAAGUCUGCCAAAGCUUAUCGGAGGUUCCUGCUUAGCCCCCAGAAAAGCUAACCGCUAUGUCAUCCCCAUGGCCUUUUGCCCAGUGAGGAAUUGACCUGAUUGGCCCAUUACCCAAAGGCCGAGGAGCCGCAACACAUGCGAUUGUGGCUAUAGAUUACUUUACUAAAUAGGUAGAAGUGGGAGUCCUCAGUCAAAUCACAGAGAGAAAGACAACGGAUUUCAGCUGAAAGAAUAUCAUCUGCAGAUACGGGAUCUCCUAUGCCAUCAUAACAGACAAUGGGAGGCAGUUUGACAACCACAACUUCAGAGAAUUUUGCCAAAACUUGGGUGUGGAUCUAAAGUUUUGUACCCCGGCACACCCCCAGGCAAACAUGCAAGUGGAAGCAGCCAACAAGGUAAUAAAGAAACUCCUGAAAAUCAGGCUGGGAGAGAAGAAGGGAGCUUGGGUCGACGAGCUUUCAGGAAUGUUAUGGGCCUACCGAACAACCCACAAAACCGCCACAGGAGAAACCCCGUUUGCCUUAGCUUUCGGCCAUGAGGCAAUAAUCCUAGCAGAAAUCGGGGUGGGAACACAUCGGACAGAGUAUUUCAACGAGGAACAAAAUGGCGAGCAGAUCUGCAUGAGCCUAGACCUACUGGAGGAAAAAAGAGAAGGGGCCUCGCAGAGAGUGGCCAAAUGCCAGCAAAGGAUCAUGCGCUACUACAACAAAAAUGUACGCAUGAGACAGUUCCGAGCAGGAGAUUGGGUACUUAGAAAAGUGAACCAAAACACAAGAGAUCCUAAUCAUGGCGUUCUUGGCCCAAAAUGGGAGGGCCCGUACAGAGUGGUACGAACAACUGGCCCAGGAGCUUACAAGCUGACUUACCCAGAUGGACGAGAUGUGAAGAGGUCGUGGAACGCUGAGCACUUGAAGAAAUACUUCCAGUAAGCAAAGUGUUUUACCAAGUUUUUAUUUCGAUAAGUUAUUUCUGUUAAAUGCAUGAUGAAUUGUGGCACAUGCAUAUAUUUCGCCUUUUGUAAUCCAUGCAAAGUUCAAUAAAGAUGAAUUCACCAUAAAUUCCCUCGCUAGACAAAUUUUACUAAGGCAAACAAGUGCCUAUUCCUGCUCGGUCGCCUAAAGGACCAGUAGGCAAGUUUUACAAAUUUCGUUAAGGCAAGCAAGUGCCAAUUCCUGCUCGGUCGCCUAAAGGGCCAGCAGACAGGUUUUACAAAUUUCGUUAAGGCAAGCAAGUGUCAAUUCCUGCUCGGUGGCCUAAAGGGCCAGCAGGCAGGUUUUAUAAAUUUCGUUAAGGCAAGCAAGUGCCAAUUCCUGCUCAGUCACCUAAAGGACCAGCAGGCAAUUUUAUAAAUUUCGUUAAGGCAAGCAAGUGUCAAUUCGUGCUCAGUCACCUAAAGGGCCAGCAGGUAGGUUUUACAAAUUUCGUUAAGGCAAGUAAGUGCCAAUUCCUGCUCGGUCGCCCAAAGGACUAGCAUGCAAGUUUUACAAAUUUUGUUAAGGCAAGCAAGUGCCUAUUCCUGCUCGGUCGCCUAAAAGACCAGCAGGCCGGUUUACCAAUUUGGUUAAGGCAAGCAAGUGCCUAUUCCUGCUCGGUCAUCUAAAGGACCAGCAGGCAAGUUUACAAAUCUUGUUAAGGCAAGCAAGUGCUUAUUCCUGCUCGGUCUUCUAAAGGACCAGCAUGCAAGUUCUACAAAUUUCACCAAGGUAAACAAGUGCCUAUUCCUGCUCGGCCGACUAAAGGACCAGCAGGCAAAGUCAAUUAAAUUUGUUAAGGCAAGUAAGUGCUUUAUCCUGCUCGGUCGGUGAAGGACUAACAAGCAAAUUUCCACGAAACCAUUAAGGCAAGGGAUCGCCUAUUUUUCCUCGAUCACUCAAAGACAAUCAGACAUAUUUUUAAGGUAAUUUGCAGAAAUAAUCCAUAAGCAAAACCAUGGCAAGAAAGCAACCAGAAAGCGUAAAAAUUUUAUAAGCAUUCAAGCAUUUGUAAACAAAUGAAAGUCUAGAAUUUACAUAAAAAAUAAGCCUAAGGAUUAUGAGGUUCAGCAGCCUCGGUGGGAGAAGGAUCAUCAAUCUCAGAAAGAGGAGGACCAACAACUUCUGGGGGAGCAGGCGCUGACCCAUGACCUGCUUCCAGAGCAUGAUCCCCUGCUUCCUCCUCCUGUACCCCACCUGAAAAAGCCUCCACCUGAUCCUGGUCCCCCUGCUCCUUAUCCCCCUGAUCUGACUCGACCAUAUAUUUCUGCACUCCAGCCUCCAGCUUGCUCAUGUUAAGCUCUGGAUAUUCUUCCUUAAGUACAAACAUGAUGCACUUGUAGCAAAAGGCAAGCCCAGAGUUAUACUCUGCAUCCAGCCGAUCGUCCACCUCAGCAGAUUUACCUUUCAGCUCGGCCACCUGCUCAUUCAAAGACUUGAUCUGGUCCUCAAAGGCCGUCUUCAAAGUAUCUCGCUCACUUUAAGUAGCCUGGAGAUCAGACUUCAAGUCACCCAACUCGCCCUCAAGCUUGGUGGAGUUGGACUCAGCAAUGGCCACUUUCUCCUCCAGGUCCAGGAUCUGCUUGUGCAGAUCAAGCAGCUUCUCUUUCGAGCGGUCAGCAGACUCAGUUUUUUCUUCAAGUUCUGGUUGUCAGCUUGAAGCCUCUUCUCAUGGCGCGUGAACCUGUUCUUGUAGCAAGAAACCAGAGUAGCCAGCUUAAAGGAGACCCUUUGAGCGGAACUAGCCAACUCGCUGAGGUUCAUGCUCUCAAUAUCCUUGACCAUUUUUUGUCCCACCAACUUGCCAUAGUCCCUCUGGUACGGGGUCAGAUAGUCACCCUAGUCCCGAGGCAGAAGAGGAGAGGAUCGGUCUCUAGAUUGAAUGCUGACCUCAGGACUCUUGUCACUAACUUUCUCCCCGCCAUUCUUCCGAGGUGGAGGAGGGGGCAGAGCAGGAGCAGAAGCCUUGGAGGAACCAAAAUUGAUUUUCUUCAAAGGAGGGGGGGGGGGGGAUUGCUGGAGCCACCGGAACCCCGAGCACGUUUCCUUGUGAUAGCACUGAGGAUCUUGUUAUCUAUCCCGGCAGCUACGUCCACUAAGCGUGACCCAACAAGAUUGGUUGACGACAAGAGAUCUUGACAGGUAGACGCAUUCACCACGACUCUGAAAGAAUAAACAAGGUUAAGGAACCCAAUAAGUAACGAUUAGAGAAGUGAAAUAUGCAGAAAAAAUAAACGACCUGGGGUGACAAAACACGUUGGAAUGUGAAUAUUACCACCAAGCGAAUGGAUUACUGGACACCAAUUUCCCUAGCAAAAAAGAAUUUGUUCUUCCAGUUUUUACAUGAGGAAGGAAAGCCGGUGAUAGGCUUCCUCUUUGCAGAGCUUGACAUGAAGUAGUACCAACCUGCUUCCUUUGGGCUGCUUCUCAGUUGAUACAAAUGCUUUACUUCCACAAGGGAAGGCUCCCCAAGUCCACACCUUUCCCAUAGCACAUACAAAGCUGAAAGAACCCUCCACCCGUUCGGGUGAAGCUGAUCUGGAGCCAUGUGGAUACCACCCAAUAUCCUGGCAAAAUAAGGUUGAAGGGGCAGCCGAGCUCCUAACUUGAAACUCUCCAGAUGCAUCGUUACAUACCCCCUUGGAGGCCGACUGAGGACGUCACCUUUCCCAAGAAUUACAAGGAGAAUCUCCUCAGGGAUAUUGUAAAGAUUUCUAAGCUUAAGUAGGUCGGUGUGGGUAGUGGCACAGGUAAUAUAGUCAAUGGGGUAAGCAUCUGCCUCCAUCCUAUGACCAAGAUUUCUCUUCUUAGAGGGUCUGCUCAGCUCGGAACUGCUCUCCUCACCGUCACCCACUUCCUCAGGGACCCCAGCCCCCCAGAACUGUGAUUCUCACCAGAGCCCGACGCUGGCCCACCACGAUUUCCCACGGGUUCUAAAUCAGGGGAAGGCAAAGUGGUCAUAGGGCGAGGGUAUUCAAGGGUAUCCCUAUGAUGGGAGGGACCUACACUGCGAGAAGAACAUAGGGGAUCAUUGGGUCCAAACAGGUUGGGGUAUGAAUCCUCUACCUCUUCGUCACUCUCAUCUACAAUUAUUUUUCCCUUUCGGUUUGACAUAUCGAAAUCUUAAAAGGGAAAGCACAGCAAAUCCAAGUAUAUGGGUACAAAAAAGGGACAAUACAGAACCCAAGCAACAACAAUUAGAGAAGAAGUUAAAGGUGAUACCUGGAAUAGACUGGCACUGGUAGCGUUGCCGUGACGGAGAAAGGACCCAGCAAACAGAGGUUUCUGACGUGGAAAGUGUGAUUAAAGUCCAAAGAGGGAGUUGGCUUACGGCAGAAUGGCAGAUAGGGAAACGCAAUGACAGUUUCAAUUUAGGGAUUUAAAACGAAAGGGGGAAAUUGAGGCGUUUAAGUUGCACGGAUGCCAGCUCAAUCACCGUAUAUCGAGGAUAGAUAAGCCGUCGUUUCAAAUUUCAAAUACGAAAGGGCAAGAAGCGACACGUCACUGGCCGUUAGAAAAGCCACGACGAGAUGUUAGCCCAGCUAUAUAUUGGACACGCUCACGAAGGCCCAUACUCAGACCAAAAUCUCCUUAAAUAAAAGACGGAACCUCAGAUCCAUCACAAUAACACGAAGACCAGAGAGAUAUUUCCCGGGGUCGGUAGGAUCCGAUUCUCAGUUUCUAAUCUCAACUCGUUUCACUCGCAAGACCAGAAACUGGGGGACUGGUGUUAAGUAAUAAAAAGUACCAGCUUGGCCAUGCCUUUAUUUCUCACCCCGAGGCGAGUCUCCUUAGCUGAAUGGCACGAGAAGAGUCCUGGUAAAACAUCUUAUGCCAGCAUGUGCCAACUAGAGACGAGCACCAACCAGAGAAAUAUACCGACCAGAGACGUAUACUGACCAGAUACCCAUCACCCGAAGAAAGGGCACACGAUCUCACGAAAUCGCGACAGUUUCGCUAUGCCCCGAACCGUUGGGGGAGACAUGGCAUCCCACGUUUACCCACAAUCCAAUGAUUGGAAACCCAUGAGGGUCUGCCAUCGCCCGAAAAAGGGGGACGUGAAUAGUACGCAGAAACGUGGGACAACGGCUAUAAGAAGCCAGGAAACCGAUAAAAAAGGGGACAGAAAAAUUGAGAGUAAAGGGAAAACUCUGCCAAAUUAAAACCAAAUUAUAUUCUAUACAAGUCUUUGAGCACGUUACAAGAAAUCACACAACCUAAAUUACAUAGUUUUCCUGUAAACACCUUGUGCUAACUUAAGCAUCGGAGGGUUUACGCUAGUAAAACCACCGGCGUCUCUUAUCCAUUUUUGUGAACGCAGGUUUAGGAGGAGAAAAAAAGGUGAUUCCUACCCCAGGGGCUCAGGCAAUCGGGGAAACAGGAAGAAAGUGACGUCUUCACUACUGACCACAUAAACGUUGGUGAAAAGAUCUAGUCGGGUGAAGGACGAGCAGAUUUCAGCAUCAACAGUUUGUUUGAUGACUUUUGUUGAAACUGUAUAUGGGUUGUUUGGUUUCUUGAAAAUGAUAAUAGGAAACUAUAAUUUGUAGAUGAUCUUAAAGAACUGUAUUGCAUGAAAUUUAUAAUGUAUAUUUGAUUUUCAAUAUAAUUCUUUGGGUUGAAAAUGAAAGGAUAUACGAAUCUUGAUUAAGUGCAUUUCAUUGGGAUUGUUCAGCAAUUAAAAUUGGAUUUUGCUUCUUCCAAUGAGUUUUGCGUCCAAUUACAUAUUGAAACACUUCAAUUUGUGUCAUAGUAUAUGAAAGCACCUCACGAGUGCUAUUGUUAUACGUAUUGGCAUUUUCACUUUUGUUACUGUUAUUACAUGGGAAAACUUGGUACCUUGCUUCACUAAUUUGUCGGGUAGCAGUAGUUGCAUCUUUGGCAUGAUAGAGCCUUAUAAAUGGGGAGUACAACCAUAUUUGCUAAAUUUAGAGUAUAAUGGAGUCGUACACUAGUUAUGCUAAGGCACAAUUGUCUUGCUUUUGUUGUAUCUAGGCAACAGGAAAAAAUAUUCACACAGUAACCAGUGAUCGUUUUGUGCUCUAUGGAGGUUCUGCCACUAUAUGCCAAAGGUUUUGUGGCUUAAAGCUAUGGUUACUUGACAGACUGAACCUUAAGCAUUGCAAUAAAAAGCAUGGACUAAGUGAGUCCAAGAUUAUAAAGAAUCAAGAUAAGUUAGAUAGUCAUCUAGAAACUAGUUCAUCAAAUGAUGGACGAGAUUCUGAAGGAGUUUCAACAUUAUCUGUACCUAAUGGUCGGUAAAGACUAUUCUAACACCUUUUUAUUUUUGUCAUUUGUUAUGUCUAUCAAUGUGAAUUGAUUUUGGUAUAUUCAUUUUCUCAUACUUUGCAAUUGGAAACUUACAAUCUCUAGAUUGUGGAACUUAAUUUUCCAUUGUAGUUACGAAAAGAACAACUUCAAAAUUACAAGCACAUUCCCUAAAUUUUCCUGUUCAGAGCGAUCAAGCACCUUCACUUUGCAUUGCUGUAAUACCACAAUUUCCCAGCAUUAUUUGCUCUCUAUUACAGUGGUUUUCUUCCGGAGGUAGUACCACAAUUUCUUUAUCUUGAAAGGCCUCUUUGCCUUUUAUCUAGAGAUGCUACAGCUAGAGUCUUCUUUUUUCACCAAGCCUGUUGUUUUCAUUGUUACAGUUACUAUGUUUUUACUUUUCUGAAUCAUUCAUCCAAUUAUGUUGUUAUGCGCAUCAAAACAUAUUCGACUUGCUUCUACUAUGGCAAGGAAAAUGGGAUGUUCCAAUAAAUUGAAUGAAAGAUAUUGUUCUCAUCAAUAUUUUACAAUUUUCCAAACUUGUUCUAAAAAUUUUUGGUGAAUUUCUGCUUUUUAUUAUUUUUAUCAUUUCUGCCUGCAGAAUGUGGGAAUCGUUGGUUAUUCAAGAAAGAAUUUGACAGAUGAAAACUUGAGGUCCAUCAUAGCUUCAACUUUGACUUGCCGCAUUGAUCAUCGGUAUGGUUCUUAUACAGUCAUACAAAUUCUCUUUCCUACCAUUCAGUUUCUUAUUCUAAAUCCUUGAGUGAGUCAAAUUACUGCCCCUUAUAAUUUUCGAAUGCAACGUGCACAAAUGCUAGAAGUUGCCUGAAUGAUCGAAAUUCAUGGUUGGCAGCUAUUUAUAUGCUGAUGGGGUUUCAUCAAUUUACAACCUUAGGAUCCUUUUGGCUACAUUCGCCAAAGUUUUCAAAGAGAGCAAAAAAAAAAAAAAAAGAGGAGGGGGUGGGUUAGCUUCAUGUCACAUUCUGUUAGCUAGUUGCUAGGGUGGGAUUUCUAUUGAUUUAAAGGAAUUAUUAGUGUGUUUUGGAAGGACCCUCUCAAGUGCAUCUAUGCAAGCAUUAGACUUUUGAAAAUGUGUUAAGUUGAAAUAAAUGCAACCAAGGCUCACGAUGUAGUCUAUCAAGUUAGUUUGAUUGCUAUAAAAUUAGAAUAGAAUGAAUUGAAGAAGUUUAAUAUGGCAUUUGUUCCUCAUGAUUUUAACAUCUUUUCAGGGAAAACUGUGGGGACAAAAUUGAUGCCUUUCUCAGUAGAACAUAUUAUCUUAAUGGUGGUUAUGACAACCGAGAAGGGAUGUUAAAGCUCAGCGCUUUGAUGGAGCAUAUCGAGGUGAGGUUGAUAAAAUCACAAAUCAGUGCGUCUGAUUUGGCGUGAUCUUAAUGAAACUAUUUGGCGUGAUCUUAAAAUUAUUGGCAUCAAAUUGUUGGGCUAUUAGCCGCUUACCUAAUGACUUAAGUUUUGUGCGUCUGAUUUAUCUUACAGUACCUGAUGAAAAAUUAAUGUUUCUUCUAUCUUUUCAAUCAUAAUUAUAAAAGAUCAACUUAUGUGCUUUCUUUUACCUCUAAAGAUUUGAUAAAAACAGAGGAGAAAAAUAGAUAUUAAUAGUAGUAAUGUGUGAUAGUUUAUACUAUUCAGUUCAUAUUCAUAUCUUAGACAGCAAAUCACCCUAUUCCAUUCUUGCAUGAUAGUUUUAUUUGUUGUAUCAUUAGUUGUUACAAAAUAAUACAUAAAUUUGGAAAUAUAAUAUGGCAAAACUUAUUAAUUAUACACUUAUUUGUAAUUAAUAUUGAACAACUUUAUAGUACGGAUUGUGUAAAGGUUGGUUUUCUGGAUUAAAUUCCUAAAAGAUAAUAGAUAAUAUAUUUUUCAUCAUUAAAAACACAUCUCAAUUAUUACAUUGUUAAAACAAAGAACAAGAAAGAAACUACAAUGAAGGUAGUAUAUGAGAUAAUGUCGUAAGACUCAAUUCACUUGUGUACAUUCUAGUUUAACUACACCAACUUUCUUUUUGUAUAAUUAAUAUUUCAUACUUUAAAAGUCAACUCUUUUUUGUCCCUUCUUUUCUCAAAUUCCUUAAACUAAAAGUUAAAACAUUUCUUCACUCUUAUAGACAAAGAGUAAUUAGCCAGAAGUAAAAUCAAUAGGGAUUGAUUUGAUUUAUCAAUGUUCAAGCUGGAUGCUUUAGAUAAUUGAUUUUUUAGCAGCUUACCUACCUCAGGGGGGAUCUGAAGCAAACAGGAUAUUUUACCUAUCUGUGCCGCAAGAAGCACUUCUGGAUGUUGCAUCCACUCUUGCCAUCUGUGCCCAGACCCAGAAGGGCUGGAACCGUAUAAUAAUUCAGAAACCUUUUGGGUUUGAUGCAUUGUCUUCUCAUCGGCUGACAAAAGCUCUUCUUUCCAAGUUCCAGGAGAAGCAACUAUACAGGUGAAUAAUCACAUUAGCUAUACUAAUGUAUUUGUGCACACGCAUUCAGUUUUAACUUUCUUACUUCUUCAAUUUUUCAGGAUAGAUCAUCUUCUGGGGAGGAAUCUCAUUGAGAAUCUUACAGUAUUAAGGUUCUCUAAUAUAAUUUUUGAGCCAUUAUGGAGCCGAACAUACAUCCACAGUAUACAAGUAAUUUUUUUUUUUCUCUAAAUGCAAUGACAUUCACUUGUGCAGCUAAUUAUAGCCACUACCUGUUUGAAUUUUCAUGCAGGUCAUUUUGUCAGAAGAGAUGGGUGUGCAGUCUGGAAGGUACUAAAUACUAAUAAUUCAUUUUAUCUUUACUAACAAAGCCAAUUAUCUUAUCCUCAUGUCAUUCUACGGUAUCAAUAUCAUGUUGUGUAAUUUUUCGGUUAUAUGAGGUAUUUUGAUGGUUAUGGAUCAUCCGAGACAUAGUGCACAGUCAUAUACUCCAAACCAUAGCAUUGCUUGCCAUGGAGCCCCCCAUAAGUCUCAACGGUGAAGAUAUCCGGAAUGAAAAGGUACCUUCUGUUUUUGCGAGAUGAUCUAUUUUAUUCAAAAUCAAUUUGGUUAAUCUUUUGUGUGUAAUGCACAAGUAAGAAUAUAGUUGAUUCUAGCCUUGAGUAGGCGUGAUUUGGUAUACUUAUGUAUGGCACAAAUAGUCCUUCUUUUUAUUCUCUUAGUGGACUGGUGGUCCAUUAUCAGUUUUAAAUCUUCUUUAUUACUACAUUCUUGAGUUUGUUAUAAAAAAAAAAAAAGCACAAGCAGGAUUAGAAAGCACAGGUAAUCUAUUUCCACUGUCCUACGGCAGUGAAGUUGAGGAAUAUACUUGUUAAAUUGCUAACUUUUUGUAGAUGUCCCUAACUUCAUGUGUCUUAUUGAAUCUGGUGAAAGGUAUAAAGGCAUCAGUUUAUCAAGUUGCAGCUUAUGUGAAUGUCAUUGUAAAAACAAAAGAUGAGUUCUGAAAAUCCUUAGGAAGAAAGUUAAUAAUUCUUAUGAGAUGGAGCUCAAAUUCUUGUAUCCAUGUGAGCACAAUUUUAAUAGAACUUAGCGGUUUUUCAACCAAAAAGGUUGCGGGCCAGCAUGCAAUUAUUUUGCUUUUGCAGAGGCUAUUUUAUAUAGCCUAAUUCUUAUGACAUCUUCGUAGAAGGUAUUAUAUUUGUUUUUAGGGGAAGGACAUCUAGUCCAACUUUCUCUGUAAAGAUUUUUAUACAAAUAAACAUUCUGUUUCUAACCCCUACCUCCUCAAAAGUGAAAAAUGAAUACAACAAAAAUUUGGUUGCAUGUGAUCAUGUUGAUAAGAAGCUCAUUCAUUUCAGGUCAAAGUUUUGAGGUCAAUCCGCAGAUUGGAGCCAAGCAAUGUCAUUCUUGGCCAAUAUAAAGCUACUUCUAGUGACAAGGUUGAUGUUAAAUUGAACAGCCUGACCCCCACAUAUUUUGCUGCUGUAUUAUACAUUGACAAUGCACGUUGGGAUGGCGUGCCUUUUCUAAUAAAAGCUGGCAUGGGACUAAUUAUCUUUUUGUUGUAUUUUGACCCCCACAUAUUUUGCUGCUGUAUUAUACAUUGACACAGUAAUAACUAUUUCAGUUCUGCUGGUUAUGCCUUAAUAGACAUUGUCGUGGUUUGUACAUUGCCAGAUUAUGAUAGGAACCUAGAACACACCCUUAAAAAGCCGGCUUGUAAGGGAAGUGUAACCAUCAGCUUAUAUUUCCAUUUAGAUUUACGGCUUAUAAUAUUUCUAAAAACAUAGAAUUAAGAAACAAAUUCAAGAGAGGAAAUUAUGACAUUAACCCGUCAGUCUGUCUUGUUUCAAUUCCAAGACAGUACAAACAAGAAUUCUUCAAUGGAUUGGUGUGUAAUACCUGCAAUGGGUACCGCUGUCCGUUUUUUCCAGAUAGCCAUCACUUUGUAUCAUGCAUAAACAAUUAAAUUAUGCAUGUAACAUAACCAACUGUUGGUAUAAUUGAGUGAAAAUAAUUUUUUCUUUAUUUAUUUCUUUUUUUUUUUCAAUAUGUAUAGCAAACUGUGGUUACAGAUUUUUGUGAUAAAGUGCAGCCAACAACUUAGAUAAGCAUCACUUGUGUAGGUUUCAUCUUGUAAGUUGUUCUGACAAUUCAUGGGCAUCUCCUAGUCUUUGACGUUUUGAUUGUUCAUAUGGAUCUUGUUCCAUGACAACUCAAAAUACAUAAUAAAUAAAUGCAUGGCUUAAACCAACAUUUUUUUUUUGGGCAAUAUGGGAUGUGCUCAUCAACCUUGCCACAAAUGAACUAAUAUUACGUGACGUGCCUGAUGAGGCCAUUCUAGUCAGAGUCAACAACAAAGUUCCAGGAUUAGGCUUGCAAUUGGAUGCUUCAGAGCUUAAUUUGCUCUAUAAGGAUAAGUAAGCACUUCAGCUUUUGGAACUUGUUCUGUUUUUGCUAUUCACUUGUCGUCACCUUUGAUAUCCUUCAUGUGCUUGUCUUUUGUGUUAAUACUAUAGGUAUAAUGCAGAGGUGCCUGAUUCAUACGAACAUCUUCUUCUUGAUGUUAUUGACGGCGACAACCAUCUCUUCAUGAGAAGCGAUGAGCUUACUGCUGCAUGGAAUAUUUUAAACCCAGUUUUACAGGAAAUAGACAAGAACAGUAUUGCACCAGAACUUUAUGAACUGGGUGGUAGAGGUCCCGUUGGAGCAUAUUAUCUUUGGGCGAAACACGAGGUUCAGUGGACCGAAGAUUAGAGGCAACACUUCUUAUAGGGUAAUCUUGCUAAUCUUUCCACAACUAAGACAAAUAAAUGGUAACUUUGUACAUGUAAAUUGUAUGAAAUUAGGGUUGAGAAAUUCCUAUCUGUAUUCAGAGGAUAAUUCUCAAGAGCAUAAACCCCUAAUUGAAAUUGGAUUUUUCUUGUAGAUGAUUUGGGUUAUGCUGGCAAACGAUGUCCUGAAAGCGUGCAUCUGAAUCAAAAAGUACCUUAAACUUCAUUUUGUAAUGAACAAAUGAUGGAUGGUUAUUUGCUUGUUUUAAUAUGAAGAUUUGUGUAUGGUUUUUUGUUAUGUGUGAUCAAAGAGUAAGCUGUUGCUAGAUUGUACAUAAAUUGUUGAUGAUAAUGGAUAUCCGUUUGGUGGUUUUGGGUAAAUGUGUCUGAUACCUAAAUUCUCUUUGACUAUUAAGAAAGGGGAGGAUAUGAAAAAGAGAAGCUAUCGAAAUAGAUGUACACUAUCUUAUUGUAGUAGGUUAUUUUUUAAUAUUUGUCCUAGUACAGUAGGACGCUCAAACUGUAGGAGACUUAUAGAGGUUCUUCUCAAGCAUGCUUUGGUGAGUGAAUUCGAUACCACUGAAGUGUAAUUUUUGAGGGUAUGUAUAAGAUUGGAUAUGUCAAAUAACCUGAGGAGCUUUGCUCAAAAGCAGCUUCAAAAACAAAACUUGUGGCAUGGCGGCUGCAUAAUGAACUUCUUAGUUGCCUUCUUAGUCUUUGCCCUUGUCAUCUCUUUGCUUUUUCACUUCAAAGGCUUAGCAUGAAUCUCAAGAGAGCUUGCAUUUUGCUAACCUGGAGUGAAUAAUUUUAUUUUAUCUGGUCCCUUAUUUAUGCAUCUGCUUAGUUGACCUCACAUAUAGCCGUAAAAGCAUCCAUGCUCCUGUGUUAUAUACAGAAUAAUAUUCUACUUUCGAGUAGGAAUUGCAUAAUGUUGUUGUUUCAAGACUACUUUUCACUGCAUUUUAUAAUGCCCUUUGAAGAAUGCUCUACAAAAUUGCAUAUAUCAAAAUUGCUUUACAGUAGUCGGUGGUUUUUAAAACCACGGCCCCAUAAUAUCAAACGGAUUUUAAAAGAUUGGACUGACGCAUCGAAAUUUGAUCGAACUGACGCAUCAAAAUUUGAUUGAAAGGUUAGCUAGCAACAAAACAUUUUUUAAUCUCGUGUUGCAGAUAUUAUUUUUUUUUUUCCAACAAAAGUUUUAUGCUUCUUGACUUAUGAAAUGAGAAAUAUUAUCGAUUAAUCCGGUAGAUUGAACAGAAGUACCAAUUCAAGAAAGCUAACAUUGUUAGCAGCUAUCACAUAAUCAACAUUAUCAUAUAUUAAAAAAAAAAGAAAAAAAUCCAAUCAUGUGACCCUUUAAUGAAUAAAACUUUUUCACGUACUUAAAGCAAAUAAUCAAGAAAUAGUUUAAAACCCACCAAGUAAAUAGAAGCCUUUUAUUCUAUAUAGAAGAAGAAUUCAGUUUUUAAUCACUGGACAAUUAGCUCAACGGCUAAAAAGUCAGUUACAAUAAAGCCCAUCAUAGAAUUACAAACAUAAUUUGCUUCUUUUAUUGGUAAAGUCAGUUGAUACCAUAGUUAAAUUGCAGGUUAAAAAAAACUGAAAUUACAAUAACACAAUCUAGUUUAGUUUAGAAAUUGAAAUCUAGUAUCAACUGGAAUCACUGGAUCAGUCAGUCUACUUCAAAAAUUGAUCUGUGAUUAAUAUCUAACACAAGGUAUAUGGGCCAAUAUUUUCCUUUAUCCGUUCUGCUCCUUUUUUUCAUCAACGGGCAAUCAUCGAUAUCUAGUUGCAAAAGUGAUUUAGGCAGGCCCUGUUUUGAAAAGUAUUUGAGCUUCGGACAAUUAUCGAGAUCUAGAAAUUCCAAUGAAGUGAGGUUUUCACCAAUUGAGGACAGGCGUUCCAGACUUGGCAUAUCUGAAAUCCUCAGUUGGAUUAGAGAGGCAGGAAACUGCGGAGAUGACACCAGGUCUGGGCAUCCUCCUCUAAUUCGUAAUUCCCUGAGAGAGGUGAAUCUGUGCAAUCCCCACUCGAGCAAUCGCUUUGAUAUCUUCAGAUCAUCAACCUCAAGAGAUUGGAGGUUGGUGGGAAAACCAUCCUCUGGGAAUGAUACCACGCUAGGGCACCGUCGUAUUUGUAAAUUUAGAAGAGAGGUGAGAUUGUGCAUGCAGUUGGGUAAGGCCUUCAGAAUCUCACAAUCCCAUAUCGUAAGCUCCGUCAGUUUCGUAGAAGGCAAUCCUCCUUCCGGAAAUGACUCAAGAUUUGGACAUUCAUGUUAAGUAAAUAAGAGCACCAGCUCAGCCAUGCCAGCACCAGCUCAGCCAUGCCAGCACCAGCUCAGCCAUGCCAUCAUCCUCACCCCGGGGUGGAUCACCUCAGCCGAGUGGUACGAGCAGAACACUGAUAAUGAGCCUUUCACAAACAUGGGCCGACCAGAGACGAGUACCAGCCAGAGGAACAUACCGACCAGAGACAUAUGCCGAGCAGAUAUCCCUUCCCCAAAGAGCGGGAACACGAUCUCACAAAAUCACGACAGUUGCGCUUUUCCCAGAAACGUUGAGGGGGACACGGUGUCCCACGUUUGCCCACAAUGUAGCAGUUAGAGUCCCAUGAGGGGCUGCCACUACCCGAGAAAGGGGGAUGAAGGGUGAAUAGAAACGUGGGACAGCAGCUAUAAAAGAGGAAGAAAUCAAUGAAGAAAGGGAUGAAAAAACGGAGAGAGAAGGGAAAACUCUGCCAAAUUAAAACUAGACUGUUUUUCUGCCUAAAAGGAGAGUAAAUCGUAAGCCAUUCCGAAAUCUAAAUUGAACCGUUUUCCCGUAAACACCUUGUGCUAACUUAGGCAUCGGAGGGUUUACGCCGGUAAAACCACCGGCAUCUCUGAUCCAUUUCUUUGUGAACGCAGGCUUAGCAAGAUAAAAAUGGGUGAUUUCAACCCAGUGACGUAAGCGAUCGUUAAGGCAAGAAAAGAGUGACAUCAUUCCAUUAAACAUAUAAGCGUUGGUGGAAAAAUCUGGUCGGGUAAAGGGCGAGCAGAUUUCAGCAUCAACAUUUUGGCGCCGUCUGUGGGGAGCUGGAUAAAAAGCUACCACCAAACUAAUAGUCAUCAGAGGAAGCACACGAAUAAUUAGUUAUGGAUGUUUCAAGGAAGGGUGCCUUAGGGGAGGACAAUGAAACUAUUGAGACAAUCACUCUCCGGGAGAUUGCGAAUGAAGCUCGAGAAAUGAUGAUGCAAGAUCGGCUAGAGCGGAUGGAGAAGCAAAUGGAGACUCUCACGGCCAUAUUGCAUGAGCUGAGGGAUGAACGGAGAAGGGACUAUGAAACCCCCGUGGGGAGAGAUGAAGUUGAGGCAGAACCCAGCCUCCGGAGGCGUAGAGUCGAGGAAAUCCCCCCACCGGUAGACCAACCACAUGGGGUGCAUUCCCAUAGAAAUACUGGUCAGGUUCCAGGGGAGCGCAUGGAUGAAGGGAGAGACCAACCUCGCUCCGGACGAGUACUGGAAAUUGGUGGCCGAGGAGCCAAUGUUGAUGAAGGAGAGCUCAGACAGCGGCUGCAGAAUGUCGAGCAGGAGCGAGAUCAGAUAGCUGCGCGCGAUCCUGACCGUGCUGUAGAAUUGGAGGGUGAGGUGCGCAGAUUGGCGUAGGUGAUGGAGGAGAUUCAGGGCAAGAGAAAGCCCCCGAGUUGGAGGAUAAUGCUAGAUGAAGAGUCUCCGUUAUCAGCCAAGAUCAUGGGUACUAUAAUCCCAAUAGAUUUCCGCUUCCCCGACCUCAAAUACUCCGGGCAAAAUGACCCGCUGGUGCAUAUUGAACGCUUCAACGACAUGACGGGUGUGCAGGGGCUAACACCAGCUCAAAGGUGCAGGGUGUUCCCAUUGACAUUAGAGGGACGAGCCCGAGAGUGGUACCGCAAGCUUCCACGAGGAAGUAUAAAAGGAUACGAGCAGAUGUGCCAAGAGUUGGUCGAGCAGUUUCGAGGAGCAGUAGCCCCAGAGGACGAUAUGAUGGAGCUGAUAGGGAUAAAGCAGGAGGAACAUGAAUCCCUUCGGGAAUUUGUAAAAUGAUACCACCAGGCAGUGCUUGAUCUGGGAGCUUUCAAUCACCCGCAGGCGUUGAGGGGAUUAAAAGAGGGCGUGAGGAUAAGCUGACUGUGGUACAACUUGAGAAGCCCCCUAGUGCAGAAUUAUUCGGCGGGGUAUGAGCAGGUGAAGAGAGAUAUAGAAAUAGAAGAGGAGAAAUCGGCGAGGAUAAAAAGUGAACAGCUGGAGGAGCUGAGACAAAAAGAAAGGAGAACCCCGAACGGGAGCGGGUCGGGAAAAUGAGCUGGGGAAUCCUCAACAAUGGGCGGGAUAUCAGCUCAGUCCCGCCCUUACCCCAUAGCUCAGAGACCACAACAGUUCCAACACAGCCGGGCUCAGCCUCCACGCCCCCCACUCUCGGAGCGUCAACGAGAAUUCCGGCAGUUGGCAGCCCACCCUUAUCACAACGCUCCCAGGGCACUACAUGCAGUCAACUCCAGAGCUGGACGACCCAGUCAGCUACUAUCAAUGCUAGCUCGGGACGAUACCCAGGAUAGCCGAGCAGUCCAACUGAUUGACCAGAGCUCGACGUAUAGACAAUACACCCCAUUAAAAGUCUCUAUGGAGGAGUUAUAUGAGAGGAUCGAAGGGCGAGGCUUGCUAUACCCUCCUGCCCCCGUAAUAAAACCUACUCACAGACGUGAUAAGAGCAGAUUCUCCAAAUUCCAUGAUACUCAUGGUCACACAAUAAACCAGUGUCGUGACCUAAAAACUCAGGUGGAGGAUUUGGUGAGGAACCGAUACUUGGAUGAAUAUGUAAAUGGAAUUUCACCCAUCAUCGAAUCACAGUAUACGCGGGAUGAGGGAGUUGAGAAAAGCCUAGAUCGUGAACAGCCCACUAUCCGUGUGAUAGCAGGAGGGCCGACAUUGGCUGGGGAUUCGAAUAGGGCACGGAAGAAUUAUGGGAGGUAUGCCAUGACCAGCAAAGAGGUGCUUUUCAAUUUGCCAGCAGCCAAGAGGGCGAAAAUGAGGUAAGUUCCCAUUAUGUGGACAUAGGACGACGAAGAGGGUGUUUUAUACCCUCAUGAGGAUGCAUUGGUGAUUAAGGCAAUGGUGGCCGGUACAGAAUUACAGCGAAUACUGGUAGACACGGGUAGCUCGGUUAACAUACUGUUCAAGUCGGCCCUAGAUGAUAUGGGAAUUUCAUACUUAAAAAUGGAACGGACAAAUACAUCCUUGAAGGGAUUUGGAGGAGGACGGUUAACCCCUAUGGGGAUCAUCGAACUUCCAAUUACGGUGGGAUCAAAGCCGUUUAAAAGAACAAUGAUGCUGGACUUUGUUGUGGUAGAAGAAAGAAGCUCUUACCAGAUGAUACUGGGACGACCUUUCAUGAGGGUAAGCCAAUGCGUUGUAUCCACACAUUACCUGGCACUGAAGUACAGAGUAAACGGAGUUGUUGGCGUAGUAAAAGGCGACCAGAGAAUGGCGAGGAGCUGUUACGCUACAGCAGCCAAGGAGACACUACAGGUUACCUCUCUAGAUAACUGAGGAGAUUCUAAAAAGGGUCGCCAGGAACCUGUUGAGAAGCUGGAGGAGGUUGUUGUAAGCAAGAAUAACCCGAGCAGAGUGGUUAAGGUCGGGUCAGAAUUGGGCGAAGCAACAAAAGGCGAGCUAGUGAAAUGCCUACAGUCCCAUGCAUAUAUAUUUGCCUGGUCUCAUGAGGACAUGCCAGGUAUUGAUCGCGGGGUAGCUUGCCACAAGCUGGCAAUCAUGAAAGGGGCAAGGCCAGUGAGGCAGAAAAGGAGGUGCUUUAACCAAGAAAGGUACGAGGCCAUAAAUGCCGAGGUGGAUAAGCUGUUGAAAGCGGGAUUUAUAAGGGAGGCUAAGUACCCAGAGUGGAUUUCCAAUGUAGUGCUGGUAAAGAAGGCCAACGGGAAAUAGAGAAUGUGUGUGGAUUUCACAGACCUUAAUAAGGCGUGCCCGAAGGACAGUUUUCCCUUACAAAAAAUAGAUCAAUUGGUGGAUUCAACGGCGGGUCAUAGUAUGCUCAGCUUCAUGGAUGCCUUUUCAGGAUACAACCAAAUACCCAUGAACGAGCAGGACGAGGAGAGCACCACCUUUAUAACUAACAUGGGUUUGUUUUGUUACAGGGUGAUGCCUUUUGGCCUGAAAAAUGCAGGAGCUACCUAUCAAAGGUUAGUGAAUAAAAUCUUCAAGCCAUUGAUUGGUCAUACUAUGGAGGUAUACGUGGAUGAUAUGAUCACAAAGUCUAAAGACCCGAAGGAUCAUGUGAAGCACUUGAAAGAGACCUUUGAAUUGCUGAGGAAGUAUGAAAUGAAGCUUAACCCGGAGAAAUGUGCAUUUGGAGUUAGCUCGGGUAAAUUUUUGGGAUUCCUGGUGAGCCACCGAGGGAUCGAGGCCAACCCGGAAAAAAUACGGGCAGUAACGGAAAUGAAGUCCCCCCGAACAGUUAAGGAGGUGCAGAGCCUUAUAAGGAAAUUAGCAGCACUGAACCGGUUCAUCUCGCGGGCCACAGAUAAAUGCCACCCUUUCUUCCAAACCAUAAAGAAAGGGAGGAAGAUGGAAUGGACGUCAGAAUGUGAAGAAGCGUUCGGACAGCUGAAGGAAUAUCUGGCCCACGCCCCGUUGUUAUCGACUCCAAGGGAGGGAGACCAGCUGUAUUUAUACUUAGCAAUCUCUAAAUGGGCAACCAGCUCGGUGUUAGUCAGAGAAGAUGAAGGAAAGCAACACCCAGUAUACUACACUAGCAAGGCCCUAGUAGACGCAGAAACCAGAUAUCCACUAAUGGAGAAAUGGGUACUAGCUCUAAUAACGGCAGCACGCAAGCUCAGACCAUAUUUUCAGGCCCACCCGAUAGUUGUGAUGACUGACCAACCCCUUCGACAAACGCUCCAAAAACCAGAUGCAUCUGGUCGGUUAGUAAAGUGGUCUGUGGAGCUGAGCGAGUUCGACCUAUCCUAUAGACCCCGAGGAGCAAUCAAGGCCCAAGCCCUGGCUGAUUUUAUGGUUGACCGUGUUAAACCAGGGGAAUAAGUCCAGGAGGAGCAACCAGUGGAACAGGAGAAUCCAAAGGGGGUGUGUCUGGUAAUGGUUGAUGGGUCACGUAGUGAACAGGGAUCUGGAGCAGGAGUUGUAAUACGGAGCCCAGAAGGGGUCGAGGUAUCCUAUGCAGUAAAAUUCAAGUUCCAGCUUACGAAUAACCAAGCUGAAUAUGAGGCCUUCAUUACUGGGCUCGGGCUUGCACACGCACUACUUGCUGAGAAAGUAGAAAUCCGAGCAGAUUCCCAGUUAGUCUGUAAUCAGCUCUGCGACCAAUUCCAAGUAAGGGAAGAGAAGUUGGGGCUUUAUUUGAAGAAGGCGAAGCAAAUGGUUGAGCUCUUCUGAGAGGUAGAAAUAAGGCAGAUAUCCCGGAAUGAAAAUUACCGAGUAGAUAUGUUGGCCAGAAUGGCCGCAAUUGCAGAUCCAAAAUUACCCAAAUCAGUUCCACUGGAAGUGAGAACCUCGCCAAGCAUAGGGGAAGAAGCAGAAGUAAUGCGAGUGAGCACCGAAGAAUCCUGGAUGGACCCUAUUCUCUCAUAUAUCCGGGAAGGCAUCUUACCGGAGGAUAGGAAGCAAGCAAGGAAGUUGAAAUGUCGGGCAGCAAGGUAUACGCUACUCGAUGGGAUACUCUACCGCCGAGGAUUCACCUUGCCCCUUUUAAGAUGUUUGGAUGACGAGGAAGCAGAUUAUGUGCUGAGGGAAAUUCAUGAAGGAAUUUGUGGCUACCAUUCGGGGGCGAAAACUUUGGCUUUCAAAGCACUCCGGCAAGGAUACUUUUGGCCGACCAUGCACCAGGAUGCAAAGGGAAUGGCAAAAAACUGUAAGGUUUGCCAGAACUUUUCAGAGGUUCCUGCUCAGCCUCUAGAAAGGCUAACCACCAUGUCAUCCCUAUGGCCUUUUGCUCAGUGGGGAAUUGACCUGAUUGGCCCGUUACCUGAAGGCCGAGGAGCAGCAACACAUGCAAUUGUAGCUAUAGAUUACUUCACCAAAUGGGUAGAAGUGGGAGUCCUCAGUCAAAUCACAGAGAAAAAGACAACAGAUUUUAUUUGGAAGAAUAUCAUCUGCAGAUAUGGGAUCCCCUAUGCCAUCAUUACAGACAAUGGUAGGCAGUUUGACAACAACAACUUCAGAGAAUUUUGCCAAAACUUGGGGGUGGAUGUGAAAUUCUGCACCCCAGCACACCCCAAGCAAACGGACAGGUGGAAGCAGCUAACAAAGUAAUAAAGAAACUCCUGAAAACCAGGUUGGGAGAGAAGAAGGGAGCUUGGGUCGACAAGCUACCAAGAAUGUUAUGGGCUUACCGGACAACCCACAAAACUACCACGGGGGAAACCCGGUUUGCUUUAGCUAACCAUGGCGCUCUUGGCCCGAAAUGGGAAGGUCCUUAUAGGGUAAUACGAGCGACUGGACCAGGAGCUUACAAGCUGGCUUACCCAGAUGGACUAGAUGUGAAGAGGUCAUGCAACGCUGAACACUUGAAGAAGUACUUCCAGUAAGCAAAGUGUUUUACCAAGUAUUUAUUUCGAUAAGUUAUUUCUGUUAAAUGCAUGAUGACUUGUGGCACAUGCAUAUAUUUCACAUUUCUGUAACCCAUGCAAGUUUCAAUAAAGAUGAAUUCAACAUAAAAUUCCCCUGCUAGUAGAAUCCAUUGAAUUUUACUAAGGCAAGCAAGUGCUUAUUCCUGCUCGGUCGCCUAAGGACCAGUAGGCAUUUUCACGAAAUUUUACUAAGGCAAGCAAGUGCCUAUUCCUGCUCGGUCGCCUAAGGACCAGCGGGCAUUUUCACGAAAUUUUACUAAGGCAAGCAAGUGCCUAUUCCUGCUCGGUCCCCUAAGGACCAGCAGGCAUUUUCACAAAAUUUUACUAAGGCAAGCAAGUGCCUAUUCCUGUUCGGUCCCCUAAGGACCAGCAGGCAAUUUCACGAAAUUCUACAAAGGCAAGUAAAUGCAUAAUCCUGCUCUGUCGCCUAAAAGACCAGCAGACAAAUCUACAAAUUUGGCUAUGGCAAACAAAUGUCCAUCCCUACUCGGUCGAUUAAAGGACCAGCAUGCAAAGCCAACUAAAUAUAUUAAGGUAAUUUGCAGAAACGAUCCAUAAGCAAAACCACAAAAAAAAAAGGGGCCAACAGAAAGCAUCAAAAAUUUAUACUCAAAUGUUUACAAAACAGAUGAAAGUCUGAAAUUUAUAAAAAGAUAAGCCUAAGGGUUAUGAAGUUCAGCCGCCUCCGUAGUCGAAGAAUCGGCAAUUUCAGGAAGAAGAGGAUCAGCAACAUCGGGGGGAGUAGGCACUGAUCCUUGACCUACUUCAAGAGCACGAUCCCCUACUUCCCCCUCCUGCACCCCACCUAAAGGAGCCUCCACCUAAUCCUGGUCACCCUGCCCCUUAUCCCCCUGGUCGGCCUCGGCCAUAUAUUUCUGCACUCCAACUUCAAGCUUGCUCAUGUCGAGCUCGGGGUAUUCUUCCUUAAGCACAAACAUGAUGCACUUGUAGCAAAAAGCGAGACCAGAGUUAUACUCUGCAUCCAGCCGAUCACCCACAUCGGCAGAUUUACCUUUCAGCUCGGCCAACUGUUCAUUCAGAGACUUGAUUUCCCCCUCAAGGGCCGUCUUCAAGGUAUCUCGCUCGCUUUGAGUAGUCUGGAGGUCAGAUUUCAAAUCACCCAACUCACCCUCAAGCUUGGUAGAGUUGGAUUCAGCCAUGGCCACCUUUUCUUCCAGAUCCAUGAUCUGCUUUUGCAGAUCAAGCAGCUUUUCCUUCGAGCGGUCGGCAGACUCAGCUCUUUUCUUCAAGUCCUGGUUGUCAGCUUGAAGCUUCCUCUCAUGGCACGUGACCCCUGUUCUUAUAACAAGAAACUAUAGUAGCCAGCUUGAAGGAGACCCUCUAGACAGAACCAGCCAAUUCAUUGAGACUCAUGCUCUCAAUGUCCUUGACCAUUUUCGGUCCCACUGACUUCCCAAAGUCCCUCUAGUACGGGGCCAGACAGUCACCCUGAUCACGAGGCGGAAGAGGAGAGGAUCGGUCCCCAGAGUGAAUGCUAACCUCGGAGCUCUUGUCGGUAGUUUUCUCCCCACCGCUCUUUCGAGGUGGAGGAGGGGGCAGAGCAGGAACAGAAGCCUUAGAAGGACCAACACUGGCUUUCUUCGGCGGAGGAGGAAGAGGAUUGCUGGAGCUGCUUGGAGCCCGACCACGCUUUCUGGUCAUGGCGUUGAGGAUCUUGUUAUCCAUUCCGGCAGCUACGUCCACUAAACGCGAACCGACCAGGUUUGUUAAUGACAAGAGAUCUUGGCAGGUAGACGCGUUCACCAAAGCAGUCUCCACCUGGAGCAAGGGUCUGUCGUCAAGCUCCUUGAUCAAACCCCACGACUCUGAAAGAGCAAAACAAGGUUAAAGAACCCGAUAAGUGACGAUUGGAGAAAGAAAAUAAGCAAUAAAUAAACGACCUGGGGUGACAAAGCGCGUUGAAAGGUGAAUAUCACCACCAAGCGAACGGGCUGCUGGGCACCAAUUUCCUCCAGUAAAGAAGAAUUUGUUCUUCCAAUUUUUAUAUGAGGAAGGAAAUCUGGUGAUCGGCUUCCUCUUUGCAGAGCUUGACAUGAGGUAGUACCAGCCUGCUUCCUUUGGGCUACUCCGCAGCUGGUACAAAUGCUUUACCUCAACAAGGGAGGGCUCCUCUGAUCCACACCUCUCCCAUAGCACAUACGUAGCUGAGAGAACUCUCCACCCAUUUGGAUGCAGCUGACCAGGAGCCAGGUGCAUACCACCCAAUAUCUUGGCAAAAUAACAUUGAAGGGGCAACCGAGCUCCUAAUUUGAAACUCUCCAGAUGCAUUGUCACAUACCCCCUCGGAGGUCGGCUAGGAAAGUCAUCUUUCCUGGGGAUUACAAGGAGAACCUCUUCAGGUAUGUUAUAAAGGGUUCUAAGUUUGAGCAGGUCAGUUGGGGUGGUGGCACAAGCUAUAUAAUCGAUAGGGUAAGAAUCCGCCUCCACCCUAUGACCAAGGUUUCUCUUCUUAGGGGGUCUGCUCGGCUCAGAACUGCUCCCCUCACCGUCACCCACUUCUUCAGGGACCCCAGCCCCACUAGAACUAUAGUUCUCACCAGAGCCCGACGCGGGUCCACCUUGGUUUCCUACAAGCUCUAAUUCAGGGAAAGGAGAAGUGGCCAUAGGACGGGGGUAUUCAGGGGUAUCCCUGUAAUAGGAGGGACCUACACUACGAGAAGAGUGAAGAGGAUCACUGGGUCCAAACAGAUGGGGAUAUAAAUCCUCUAUCUCUUCAUCACUCUCAUCUACAAUUAUUUUUCCCUUCCGUUUUGACAUAUUGAAGUUUAAAAAGGGAAAGCACAGAAUAUUCAAAUGUAUGGGUACAAAAGGGACAAAUACAGAAUCCACAAUACAAAAACCCAAUCAAUAACAACCAGAGAGGGGGUUAAAGGCUAUACCUAGAAUAGGCUGGCACGGAUAGCACUGCCGUGACAGAGAAAGAACCCAGCAAGUGGAGGCUUCGGACGCGGGAAGUGUGAGCAAAGUUCAAAGAAAGAACCCAAUCCAACCUUUUUACUAACGACUCAAGCUUCGAACAGCCUUGGACAUCGAGGUACUUAAGAGCCUGAGGUAGAUUUCCAUUCCGUGUCAAGAAAACAAAAUUCGAGCAAUAACUGACCUGAAGGUGCUCCAGUGUGGCAGAAAAGGAUGUGAGGGAGGUGCACCCACUGCUGCGACCGCGAAUGUCCUGUUCCCUUGUCAAAGACCUUAAAUUAUCACAUCUAAAGAUAAUCAGCCGCUUCAAGAGAUGUACUGCUAUUAAUGGCCAGACUUUCAAGAGAUGUACUGCUAUUUUGCAUCCAUGCCUCAGGUAAGGAUUCCAAAGCAUCGCAUCCUUCUAUUGUAAUUGUUCUCAGCUGGGACAGUAGAGCAAAAUCUGGAAAUGAAACAAGUGAAUUACAACUCCGAAUCUUCAAACUCUCAAGAGAUGAAUUGGAGUUGUGCAUCCAUGCCUCAGGUAAGGAUUCCAAAGCAUUGCAAUCUUCAAUUUUAACUGUUCUCAACUGGGAAGGCAGAGCAACCUCUGGAAAUGAAACAAGUGAAGUGCAGCGAUAUAUCCGCAUCUCUGUAAGGGAACUAAGGGUGAGCAAUGCUUGUGGGAGCCUUGUAAGGCCUUCACAAUUACGCAAUUCUAAAAAUUGAAGCCUGCACGGCAACUCUGGUUGUUGCUGGUCAUGUUCUUCCUCUAUUACCAAGGAAAUCUUUAGCCGAUUAAGGGAUUGAAUGUCAUGCAGCAACCGAGUUUCACUCUGCCAUAAAUAUGUUAGCUCUUGAACACCAUCAGUCUCUAAAUUUUCCAAUUUAGGUAGCCCUUUGUCACGGGAUGAGUAUUUUGCGCAGCUAACCCGUGCAACACUUAGACAACUUUGCCAAAUAUUGCUAAGUAAGCCUAGAGCUUCUCGAACUAAAGAAGAAAGCAAUGGAGCCAAAUAAGAAACUUGUAUUGCAUAAAGGAGAGAUUACAAUGCUUGAGUGCUCAAUGCUUGUUGUUGUGUUUGUUGGAUGCAAAUGCCUAAUGCCAUCCCAUAUUUAUAGGGGAGGCUUGCCAAGCUCUAGAGAUUCUAGAGAAUUCUACCACUUCCUAGCUAUUUACAUGUGCUGGAAUUGUAAGGAGAAUUCUACAGUAUUUACAAGCUCACAUGUUCUAGAUUUGCCUAGAACUUUCCGGAAUUGGGCCAAGCUAGCACUCUUGGCCUUGUGUUGGAUCUCUAGCCCGAAAUUGUGGGCAAUUGGGCUAGCGAAUUGGGCGGUCCGCAACAUCCUCCCCCACCUAAGCUCGUGGCGUCUUCGUCGCACUUUCGUGCUUGAAGUGUUGAAUGUGCUCGGCAAAUUGCCACAAUCCUCUUCACGUUCCCAAGUGGCUUCGCUCUCGGGGAGCUUUUUCCACUUCACCAAGUACUCGCUAUGUGCUGGCACGCCCCUCCUCGAAACCACGCGGUCCGCAAUGAUGUAAUCCACAUCUUUGUCGAACGCGGUGACAACGGCAGUUGGCGCGCGCCUUGAUUCUCCGUGACUUGGGUCUCCCAUGUCUUCGUGAUAUGGCUUGAGAAGGCUCACAUGGAAGACCGGAUGGAUCUUGAGUCUUGGCAGAAGUUGGAGUUGAUACGAGACGUUGCCCACGCGUCGAACAACUCGGAAGGGUCCCUCGUAGCGCCUCACUAACCCCUUGUGAACUUUCUGCAAAGUCUUGAACUGUUGGGGUAGGAGCUUGAUCAUGACUUGAUCACCUUCCUUGUACUCAACAUGCCGUCUCCUUGUAUCCGCCCAUUUCUUCAUUUUCCUCGCGGCUUUGUCGAGGUAGGCUCGCGUGAUGUCCGCUUCCUCAUGCCAUUCACGGGCGAGCUUGUGUGCCGCGGGGCUUUUCCCUCCGUAAGUCGAGGCUAUGGUGUUGGGGGUCAUAGGCUGGAAUCCCAUAAUGAUCUCGAACGGACUCUUGCCCGUAGCCUCACUUCGCUGCAAGUUAUAAGAAAAUUGGGCGAUGUCGAGUAGUUUCGCCCAAUCCCACUGAUGAGCGCUCACAUAAUGCCUCAAGUACAUUUCGAGGAGGCCAUUAAUGCGCUCGGUCUGCCCAUCCGUUUGUGGGUGGAAGCUUGUCGAGAACUUGAGAUCAGUCCCCAACAUCUUGAAGAGCUCCGUCCAAAAACGCCCAGUGAACCGAGGGUCUCGGUCGCUCACAAUGCUCCUUGGAACUCCCCAAAGCUUCACAAUGUGCUUGACGAAUAGGCGGGCUGCCUCAUCCGCUUUGCAAUCGACUGGUGCGGCAAUGAAUGUGGCAUACUUGCUGUAUCGGUCGACAACAACCAUGAUGCUGUCGCACCCUUCAGACUUGGGCAGCGAUGUGAUGAAGUCCAUGGAGACACUUUCCCAUGGCCUUGUUGCUAGUGGUAGCGGCUCCAACAAUCCCGCUGGGAGUUAAUGAUCCACCUUGUCUUGUUGGCACACAAGACAAGUUCGCACAUAUGACUCGAUGUCGUCCCUCAUGUGCGGCCAAAAAUACGAGGCUUGAACUAGUGCGGUGGUGCGCUCUAUUCCUGGGUGACCAGCCCACUUGGAGUCGUGGCACUCCUUGAUUACUUCCUUCCGCAAGUUUCCCCACCUUGGCACGAACAGCCGAUCUCCCUUAGUGAGGAGGAUGCAUUCCUCUUGCCAAAAUCGCCUUGUCUUGCCUUUGAGCACCUUCUCCAAUAAAUCCUUUGCUAACGGAUCUUGUUGGAGGCCUUCCUUGAUGCGUGAGACAAGGUCGGACUUCGGUUGGCUCAUGCUAAGAGUUGCCAAUUCGGCUUUGCGGCUUAGUGCGUCCGCAACAACAUUGGCUUUCCCCUGUUUGUACUCGAGCCGGUAGUCGAAUUCCGCUAGAAAAUCUUGCCACCGUGCUUGCUUCGGACUCAACUUCUUUUGAGUUUGGAAGUAGCUUGUCGCUACGUUGUCCGUCAUGAUUGUGAAGUGUGAGCCAAGCAAGUAAUGUCGCCACACUCUUAGACAAUGGAUGAUGGCUGUCAUCUCCUUUUCUUGUACCGUGUAGCGGCGUUCCGUAUCAUUUAGCUUUCGACUCUCGAAUGCUAUAGGGUGGCCUUCUUGCAUGAGGACUCCUCCUAUGGCGAAAUCUGAGGCAUCUGUUUGGACUUCGAAGGGUUUAGUGUGGUCCGGAAGAGCGAGGACGGGUUCCUCUGAAAUUGCUCUUUUCAACUCCUCGAAUGCGCGUUGGCACUCUUCGGACCAAUACCACGUUCUGUUUUUCUUGAGCAUAUCCGUUAAGGGUGCCGCCUUGGCCGAAUAGCCCUUGAUGAAGCGGCGGUAGUAAUUCACCAGCCCAAGGAAUGAGCGAAGCUCGGGCACUUUCGAGGGAGGUUCCCAUUCGAGGAUGGCCUUCACUUUGGCAUUCUCCAUCAUGAGCUUCCCACCCGCAAUCUAUGACUAAGUUGAAUUGAAGUAAUUACAGAGAUGAUGCACAUGUUCAAAAAUGAAUCUCAAAGGAACUUCUCUAAAUCCUUCAAAACAUAAUAUUAAUUAGCAGUUAAAAAGGACAUAGGAAAAGAAAAAUAAUACAGGAGAAAGGUCUCACAUGAAAAGCUUUUGUUUUUUUCUAAGAAACAAAAGAUUAUAUAUUAAACAAUAAGAGAUAUGUACAAGGAUCAAUGCAACUACAAAUAAACAAAAACAAGGAUGUGUAAAAUCAACCAUGCUUCCGAAAUUCAUUUUGAAAGUCUUUGUACAAACCAUAAAAUUUAUUUGGGAAGCACAAAAGAUGCUAAGGAAGACAAACCAAGGAAGUUGCAAGCUUAAACUUUUCUAUAGAUAGCAAUUGGUAUAAUGAACCAUGGUAAGAACGUCAAUUUAAAAUGUCAAAGAAAUCUACGUAUAUUCAAGCAGUUCAAGUUAAAUUUUGAGAGUUAAACAGGUCACACUGAGAAUUGAAUCAAAAGCCUACCUCGAUGUAGUGGCUCAAGUAAAAGCUUGCCUAUAAAAAAAGUAAACAAGAACUGUGAAUUAAUUGUUAUGUGGGGUCUGCUUGGAACCCAAUUCAGUCUAGCUUUUAUGAAAUCGAGUUCUUUUCUUAGGUUUCGAAUUAUUGUUAUGCAAUUAGAACUGUGUUUGUUUAUCUACACUUUUUCUUAAUUGAAAAUUAGCCAAAGGAUGGUAAAAUUAGGUGCCACAACCAGAAAAAAUGAUGAGCAUUUGCUCUUCUCUCUGUCAAUGUUCCCAGAACUCUUAACAAGAUUUACAUGCUGAAGAAUGUGCACUAUUCGAAGACCGUGUAAAUUGUAUAAGCAAAGAUAUAACGAAGCUGAUUGGACAGGCUUCCCACCAAACGCAUCAAAAACCCAGACACUGCCUUAGGAAGCCAUUUUUUAAGUUGACAAUUGGAAUCUUAUCUGUGAAUUGCAGAAAUAAUGCUAUUUGAACUUUCUCCCAAUAGCAAAAGUGAGAGUGAAUGAAAUAAGCAACACUACAAGAAAAAUGACCUAUUAUGAUAGGUAAAAACUGUCAUCUUAGGGAGUAGAUGACGGUUAUCCUUACUGUCAUUAUAGCCAGCGUCAAGAAAAGAUGACAGAUAAAAUCGCGUCACAAGUUGUGAUAGAUUUUACCUAUCAUAAUUAUGUCAUACUACUUAGAAGAGGGAAAUUAUUUUUUUAUUUUAUAUUUUCAUUUUUUUAAAAAUUUUUGGAUUGUAUUUUUUUUUUGGGAUAUCAAUUGUGUGUAUGACUAGUAUUUUCUAUCACAUUUUUUUUGAAAAAAUUGAUUAUUUAUUUUAUUUAUUAAUUUAAAAUAAAAAUUAUGAAAUUUAAAAAUUUAAAUUAUUAAAAUUAUAUGAAAGAAAAUAAAUUACUAAAUGCAAUUAAAUCCAAAACCAAUGAACUAAAUUAGUGAACUUUAUUAACCAUAAAAAUAUCCAAAGUACAUUACAUUAGUUAAUCCAUAUUCCAAAGUCAAGCCAAUAGACAACAAAGGCCAAUCCAAAACCAAGCAAAGUACUCCGCAUUCAGCAACAUCCAGCAACAAACCUACACAAAAUGUAGUCUUCCAGCAACAAAAUUGCAAAAUCUAGUCUUCCAGCAGCCCCAAAGCCAAGACAUGAAAAUUCAUCCAGCAUCAGACCUAUGCAAAAUGUAGUACUCUGCUAUUCAAUCCACUAAUGCAAUUCUAUUGAUUGGUGAUAAAAUUGAGCUAAAAGAUGAUGUUUAAGGAUGAUGGUUCUCUUGGAGAAAUUAUGAGCGUCAGAAGAACUUUGUUGAUAAGGCGUGGGCGCGUGCUGUCAACUGCGAACCUGCAGUUUUUAGUUUAACGUGUUUUGUAUUUUUGGCUACUUUUGUAAUUACGAAUUUAAUAUUUCAGAUAUUAGUAUUUUAUUUUAAAUAGAAUUCUAGAGGAGAAGAGAGAGAGAGUAUUUAAGGGAGAAAUCUAUUGUGAAAAAGGGGGAUUUUGAUUGGAGAAAAAGAAAGAAACCCUAGAUCUAAUUUUUCUUUUCUCUCUAUGAAGAACUAAACUUAUUUUUCUGGUUGAAGGUUAAUGAAGCUUUGAUUCAUCACUACUGUGAGAUCUUUCUUAUGCUUUAAUUAUUUUAUUACUUUUUGGGUAUUUGUUUAUUCUCUGAAUUAGUUUCAUGAUUAUGUUUGUUAAUUAGGUAAUUGGCCACUAUUUAAUUAUCAACUUAAUCUAUUGUUAAUUAAAGGAUUCUUCGUAUGAAGAUUUUAAUGUUUGUGACAAAUAACAUAGCAGUGAGUUAUGUUAUGAGAAUAAACAAUAAUUUAAAUGAAUCAUCAUAUGUGUUGAUUAGGAUUUGGGUCUCUCUGGUUUUUCAGGCUGUCAAUUGAUUAAAUCCUAUGAUCGUAUCUAGGGUUGUCUAUUGAUUAGGGAAAUAUCCAAUGGUCGUACCUUGGUUAUCGACUAGUUACGGAGAGAUUGGCUAUUAGAGGGUCUCAAUAGCUAUAACCGGUCUAUUCAUAAGUAAUAAUAAUCUAUAUUUGAAUCAAUGAUUAGUAGUCGAAUCAAGCUGAGUUAAUUCCUUCAACCAGAGCUUUCUCCAAUUUGAAUUACAACUUUAAUUUGCAUUCUUGUUAUUUUAAUUUGAUUUGUAUUAUUGUCAACAAUUCCCCCAUUUUAUGUUUUGCGUUUUAAAAGGAUUUAAAUAAUUACCGAUCUCUGUAGACACGACCUUGCUCAAUCACUACACACAAUUUAUUUAGAGUAGGAAUUUAUUUUUGUUGGCUUCGACAACCAUCAAAUUUUGGCGCCGUUGCCGGGGAUUGGUGUCAUUUAUUUAAUCCUUUUUACGUUUUACUUGGUAUAUGGUUCGUUCUUCUCGUACAGGUACACUUUCGUUUGAUCCUGAAAUUGAGAAGACAGCUCGCCAACUGAGACAGCAGACGAAGCGAGCUAAGCAACGAUCCUCGUCGCCUUUGCUUUCUGAAACAGAUACGGUGCCUGAUUUAGUUGAAUCAUCUAGCGAUUCAGAAGAACAAGUGAUGGAUAGACCUGCACCUAUAGAAAGAACUCUUAGAGAGUUAGCUGAACCAGACUUGAAUCAACAACCACUCUGCAUUCAAUAUGUAGACUUGGAGGUAAAUUUUGAAUUAAAGUCUGGUCUUAUUCAUUUAUUACCCAAGUUUCAUGGUUUUGCAGGUGAAGAUCCUCAUAAACAUCUUAAGGAGUUUCAUGUUGUGUGUUCAAGUAUGAGACCACAAGGCGUGACUGAAGAGCAGAUUAAGCUGCGUGCUUUUCCGUUCUCUGUAGAUGGGCUAGCUAAAGAUUGGUUGUACUACUUGCCUCCUGGAUCGAUUACAACGUGGAAUGGUUUGAAGAAGCAAUUCCUUGAGAAGUACUUUCCUGCUUCAAGAGCUGCCAACAUCAGAAAAGAUAUUUGUGGGAUCAGACAACUUCCUGGAGAGACUUUGUAUGAGUAUUGGGGGCGAUUCAAACAAUUGUGUGCCAGCUGUCCUCAGCAUCAGAUUUCUGAUCAACUUCUUAUUCAAUAUUUUUACUAAGGACUGUCAUUGAUGGAUAUGAGUAUGAUAGAUGCUGCUAGUGGAGGUGUGUUGGUGAACAAGACCCCUACUCAAGCAAGGGAGUUGAUCUCAAAUAUGGCUGCCAAUGCACAACAAUUUGGCAGCAGACAAGAUGCCACUUCAAGAACGGUGAAUGAGGUAAAUAUUUCUUCUGUUGAACAACGUUUAGAUAAACUUACUUCUCUUGUGGAAAAGUUUGUUGUAGGUAAUGUGCAACAAGUGAAGACUUGUGGCAUUUGUUACAAUAUGGGUCAUUCAACUGAUAUGUGUCCUACACUUCAAGAAGAACCCGUUGAACAAGCCAAUGCAGUUGGAGGAUUUCCAGGCAUGCCUCAGAGGAGGUAUGAUCCUUAUGCACAAACAUACAAUCCGGGAUGGAAGGAUCACCCCAACUUCAGCUAUGGAGUUAGGCCGUCAGGAUUCCCACAACAGUAUCCACCAAGACAACCAGCACCUCCACAGUCAAACUCCAAGUCAGGUAUAUCUCUUGAAGAAAUUGUUAAAUCACUUGCGACUAACACUCAACAAUUUCAGCAGGCAACUACAGCAAGCAUUCAGAAUUUGGAGAACCAAAUGAGUCAAUUGGCGACUACAGUGAGCCGUCUGGAGUCUCAAGUAUUAGGCAGAUUGCCUUCACAAUCUGAGGUGAAUCCAAAGCAAAACGUUAGUGCUGUCAUCCUUAAAAGUGGGAAGGAGUUGCAAGAGCCUAGUAAGAAAGUGACAAAGCAUGUAGAAGAUGAGCUUGAAAAGAAUGAAUUGAUGCCUCAAUCUCAUGAUGCGGAACCCACUAAAGCGAAACCCCUACCUAUUGUGAUACCUCCUCCUUUUCCAAGCUGGUUUGCAAAAUCCAAGAAGGAGGAACAAGAGAAAGACAUCCUUGAGACAUUUUGCAAGGUUGAGGUAAAUAUUCCUUUAUUAGAUGCUAUAAAACAAAUACCUCGAUAUGCUAAAGUCCUUAAGGAACUGUGCACCUCUAAGAGAAAAUUAAGAGGAGAUGAAAAAGUUCACAUGGGGGAGAAUGUUUCAGCAGUUCUUCAAAAGAAACUACCUCCUAAGUGCAAGGAUCCAGGUAUGUUUACUAUCCCUUGUAAAAUUGGUAGUGUUAGAAUUGAAAAGGCUUUGUUAGAUCUAGGAGCUUCUAUUAAUGUCAUGCCUCGUUCCAUUUAUUCAUCUUUGAAUGUUGGUCCAUUAAAAGAAACUGGCGUGAUAAUUCAACUAGCUGAUAGGUCUAAUGCAUAUCCUGAUGGGGUAUUAGAAGAUGUCUUAGUACAAGUUAAUGAGUUGGUUUUUCCUGCGGAUUUUUAUGUACUUGAUAUGGAAGAUGAUAACUCCUCUAAUUCUGUCCCAAUUUUGCUAGGAAGACCUUUUCUUAAGACUGCUAGGACUAAAAUGGAUGUACAUAAAGGGACUCUCACUAUGGAGUUUGAUGGAGAGGUUAUAGAAUUCAAUAUGAAUGAUGCCAUGAAAUAUCCUAGUGAGGAACAUUCAGUAUUUUCUGUGGAUGUUAUUAACCCUAUAGUGCAGGAAAUUUUUUACAAGAAAAAGACGAAGACAUUUCAUGAUAGAUGAUUUUGAGAAAUGAGUUCUCUGUUGGUCAAAAAGUUCUUCUUUUUCAUUCUAAGCUUAAACUUUUUCCAGGUAAAUUACGUUCUUGCUGAGUUGGACCUUUUAUUGUUACUAAUGUUUUUCCUCAUGGUGCAGUUGAGAUUCGAAGUCCAACCUCUGACAAAGUUUUUAAGGUUAACGGUUAUCGCUUAAAACCUUUUUAUGAAGGUUUUUCGGUAAAUAUUGUGGAGGAAAUGGCUCUCGAGAGUCCUAUUUAUGGAGAUUGAUGCAUAAAUGUGUCUAGCCAAAGACAUAAAACAAAGGCGCUUUUUGGGAGGCAGCCCAAAUGAUUUGUUUAUUUUGGUUUUUGUUUUAUCUUCUUUUAGUUUUGAUUCAGAUUUUUUUUUUUUAAAUGUGUUUGCUUAUUUUGGCCAGAAGAAAAUUUUUGAUAAGGCGUGCCCACGUUUUAACUAAUAAGUACUUCUGUAAUUUUUAAAGUAAAAUAGUUUUAAGGCGUGCCCACGUACUUAUUAGAAAAGUACUUCUGAAAUUUUUGGAGUCUCAAAGUGAUUCAUCAAAAAAAAAAAAUUUUAAAUUUUUUUUUUAUUUAAUUUAAUUUUUUUAAAAAAAAUGAAAAAAAAAAGAGAUUUUCUUUUGUUCUUCUUUUAUAUGUUUAUUUAUUUAUAAUAAAAAAAUCAUCAUUGUUAAAAAAAAAAAAAAAAAAUUUUUUACUGUUCACAAAAUCCCUAAUUUUCCAGAUCUUGUUUUCUUCUCCAGCCGCUUGCAGCACACCAGCAGCAAACCAGCCCGCCGAAAAAUGCAAGCCCCCGCGCGCACAGCACCAGCAACGAGCACUCCCCGCAACGCAACCCAGAACCAGCUCUCGCGCGCAACACAACGCGAACGCAGCAGUGCAUAGAUCCAGCCCCGCAACACAGCGCGAACCAGCAACGCGAACCACCAGCGCCCAACGAAGUCCCACCAGCGCGCAACGCAGCACAGCACCCGCAAAGCAAGCCUCACCAGCGCGCAACGCAAGCCCGCAACGCAGCAACGCAACACAACCAGCCUACGCCCUGUAUUCCAGCCGGGUAAAUCGAAAUCCGUGAGUGCAAUUAUUGUAACAACGCCGAAGAGGAAAGCAUCCACUUCUAAGUCAUCGAAAAAGACACCCAUCGCAAAGAAAUCUAAGAUUGCCACUCCCACUACGAUUCCAUGGAAUACAAUUUCAGAUUCACGCCAAGCCAUGAGACAAAGAUCGAAACAUGGAAAAGGCAUGAGUAUUUUGCCACUUGCGGAAUCCAAUCUCGGAGGGUGCCUCGCAUUCGCAACUCAACAAGAGAAAGAGAGGUACAAAGAUAUUUCCAUGCGCAAAAUACUUCCAGCUAAGUAUAUUCAUUACCCGACUCUUGAAAAAUUGAAUGUUAAGGAUAAUUUUGAUUCUUUGAUAGAUAAGAUUGGGUUGCGUAAGUUUGUUGAUGUUGAUUGUUUGGGUUAUGUUGAGUUGAUUAGGGAGUUUUAUGCUACUUUUCAAUUUAAUAUGCCGAAUGAUUUUACUUUGCAUACCCCGGAUGUCAUUAAGUUUAGGUUAAUGGGACGAAAUUUUUCACACUCUAUCACGGAUUUUAACCUAGCUUUAGGAUUCAUUGAUGAUGAUUAUUCUACUAGUGAUGAAUAUUUAGGAACAACUUGUGACUUUAGCGAAAAUUUUGAGCCUUAUGGCCUUUGGCGUAAUUUAUCUGUUGAUCACAAUGCCUAUGACCCUAGUAAAUCAAAGAGUUCUUUCUUACGUGAUCAUGUUUUGAAAUGUGUGCAUCGAUUCUUAGCAUAUAAUUUUUUAGGCAAGAAAGAUCACUCAGGAAUUUUCUCUAAAACUGAAUUUUAUUUUAUCUGGUGCAUGUUAAAUGAUGUGAAGCCUAAUUUAGGUUUUUGGUUAGCGGAUCAAUUUCAAAGCGUGCUUAAACGGUAUAGGACUUUAUUUCUUGGUCCAUACAUUACUCUGUUAGCUAUAAACCUAUGUGUGCUUGAUCCCGACAAUAAUGAUUUGCAUCCUGCUUGCAAAAAGGAAUUUUUGGAUAUGUCUGUGUUUGAAAGAACAGGUGUGGUCGAAUUCAAGGAGGGGAGAUUUCAGUUUACUGAACCAGGACCCACUCAACUUCCGAAGAAGCUUUAUGCUAGAAGUGGUGCUACCUCUGAUGACGAGUUUGACGACGACACUGCUGCCCCGCCAACUAUUCCUUCUACAUCCGCACCACCUUUGAGCAUUCAGUUAGAGAAAAUGGAGCACAAGCUGAACAAGAUGGAGCAGAAUUUGGCCGCAUACUUCGAGAGUGUGGGAUUUACCCCACCAUUUCCGCCAAACCCAUAGACGUUAUGUGGAUCAAAGCUCACAAUUCAGGGAAGUUUUUUUGCCUUUAAUCUUUUAUCCUUACGCUUUAAUUUUUAUGUGAGCUUUGAUUAUCUUACAUUGGGGACAAUGUAAGUUCUUGGUGUGGGGGAGGGAUUUUUGCAUUAUUGAUGUCUGGAAUUAUUAUUUUCACUCUACUCAUCUAUUUUCACUCUACUCAUCCUUAAAUGAUUUUGGAGUUAGUAUGCUUCAUAUAUUAUUAAUUUUCUUUUCCUUUCUCUCUCACUACUCUUUUCCCAUCUAUCUCAAAUUAUUUACAUCUAUUUUUUUCUAUCAUACUAUUUCAUCACUCACAUUUUAUCUUUCAUUUUUUUUACUACAUACAUCUUUCUCGCUUAUUAUCCUUUUUACAUUUCCUUUUAUAUCUCACUCAUACCUUCUUCUCAUUCUACACCACUAUUGAUGGUUGAUUCAUUUGAAGAGUGUACAUGAUUUGAUGGCAAAUUUACCAACUUUGUGAGGAUUUGAGCCUAUGAGCAACCACUUUGCUCUAAUUAUUUUUGUUAUGUGAAUAUCAAUCUUAGUUUGUAUAUUUUAGAACUUGCUUUGUUAUGCAUGUUGAAGCCACAUUACGGGAUUUUAUGCAUUAAAAUGAUAAGGGCAAACCAUUUACCAUUUUUCUAUUCUCGCAUUUUCUUUUUCUCUACCCGAAGACUUUUAUUUGCUACCUUUCUUUGAGCCUUAACCAUUACCCAUCUAAUUCUCUCCGUCUACUUAACCAUUUUUCUUCUUUUUUAGGCCUCAAUUUAAGGAGAUUUUUGGACUCAUUGUGUGGAUAUAUUUUGUUGCUUUUUCUACCUUGUAUUAAAGUUUCUCAAUUAGAUCAACAAGCAUUAUGCUUGAAUUAAAUUGUGCAAGGUUCGUUUCUUUUGUUUGAUUCAAAAAAAAAACAACAAAAAAAAGAAAAAAAAAAGAGAAAAAGAAAAAUCGAAAAAAAAAAAGUCGAAAAAAAAAAGUUUACAUUCUUGGUGACUUGAGUAGAAAUAAGCAUUUUGAUAUCAUAAGUUCAUUCAAUGAGUUCAUUCUUCUCAUUUUGAUCUCUUUUUCUUUCAUAGACCUUUCUUUUUCAUUUAACCUAUUUAACCCCAUUACAACCCUUUUAAGACCCUUAGAUUUUUGCAUUUAAUUCAUGUUUUGUGGAUUGAGAUAUGAUAUAUAAGCAAGCUUAUGGUAAUAGCAUUCUUUGAUUUGAUUUGAGUGCAUAAAUGACACCCUAAACACUUUGAGUGCAUGGAGUGAAGUUAUUGAGAGGGCUAUUAAAUCUUGUCGCACUUGAAUUUUGAAUGGAUCUUCUUGGUGGUUGAAUGUUCUUAUUCUAUCUUAUGAAAUUCUAUGCUUUAAAAUCCUUGUCUCUCGAAUAUUGAUCGACUUAAUUUCUUGAGGUAUGCUUGCUUAAAAUUGUUUUUGGAUGAGUUGAGAUGAGAAUUGAGUGGAGAUUUGAGAUUAAUCUUGAGUUAUAUGCUUGAGGACAAGCAUCAUCUUGGUGUGGGGGAAUUUGUUAGAGUGCAAUUCAUGCACUAGUUUUGCAUUGUUUACUUCCCUUAAUAUCGAUGUUUUGCACUUAAUAAUAAUGAUUUACUUGUGUUUUACUUUUGUAGGUGCAAUUCUAUUGAUUGGUGAUAAAAUUGAGCUAAAAGAUGAUGUUUAAGGAUUAUGGUUCUCUUGGAGAAAUUAUGAGCGUCAGAAGAACUUUGUUGAUAAGGCGUGGGCGCGUGCUGUCAACUGCGAACCUGCAGUUUUUAGUUUAACGUGUUUUGUAUUUUUGGCUAUUUUUGUAAGUACGAAUUUAAUAUUUCAGAUAUUAGUAUUUUAUUUUAAAUAGAAUUCUAGAGGAGAAGAGAGAGAGAGAGUAUUUAAGGGAGGAAUCUAUUGUGAAAAAGGGGGAUUUUGAUUGGAGAAAAAGAAAGAAACCCUAGAUCUAAUUUUUAUUUUCUCUCUAUGAAGAACUAACCUUAUUUUUCUGGUUGAAGGUUAAUGAAGCUUUGAUUCAUCACUACUGUGAGAUCUUUCUUAUGCUUUAAUUGUUUUAUUACUUUUUGGGUAUUUGUUUAUUCUCUGAAUUAGUUUCAUGAUUAUGUUUGUUAAUUAGGUAAUUGGCCACUAUUUAAUUAUCAACUUAAUCUAUUGUCAAUUAAAGGAUUCAUCGUAUGAAGAUUUUAAUGUUUGUGACAAAUAACAUAGCACUGAGUUGUGUUAUGAGAAUAAACAAUCUAAUUUAAAUGAAUCAUCAUAUGUGUUGAUUAGGAUUUGGGUCUCUCUGAUUUUUCAGGCUGUCAGUUGAUUAAAUCCUAUGAUCGUAUCUAGGGUUGUCUAUUGAUUAGGGAAAUAUCCAAUGGUCGUACCUUGGUUAUCGACUAGUUACGGAGAGAUUGGCUAUUAGAGGGUCUCAAUAGCUAUAACCGGUCUAUUCAUAAGUAAUAAUAAUCUAUAUUUGAAUCAAUGAUCAGUAGUCGAAUCAAGCUGACUUUGUUGAUAAGCCAGCACAUGCAGCAGGCAGCGCGAGCAGGAGCUUUCCGUGCAGCGCGAGGGAGGUUUUUGGCACGUUUCCGGUGUGACGGCGGCAGCAAACUCGGCGUCGGAGAUGGCUGGAAAUUGUGAACAGUGGCUGCCCUUUGUGGUGAUGGCGGCUGGGGAGAGAAAAAGAUGGAUUUAGGGUUUUAAUGGUUUUUAUCAUUACAAUCCCUAUAGUUCCAUAGAUUUUCUCUUUGGGCUGAUAAGUUUUAAUUUUUUGCAUUUAAGUCCAAAAACUUUUUUGGGCUUAAAGAAUCCUAGUUUUAGGCCCAAUUGAAAUUUGGGCUUAAUGGAUUAUAAUGCAUAGAUAAAUUGAACACAUUAAAUCUAUUUUUGGUCCAAAAGUUUUAUUUUAAUAAAAAAAAAUUUUUAACUAUUUAUUUCUUUUUAAAAUUAAAAAUUGGACCAAUUAUAAAUUUAAAAGCCCAAUUUCCCCUAGUCCAUUAACAAAAACAAGAUUAUGGAAGAUGGACAUUGACAAGAAGCCCAAUGAAGAUUAGGCUUAGAGUUAAUGUAUUUUUCAUUAUUAGGAAAGCCAUGAAUUAAGAUUAUUUAAUUGUUUUUCUAUAUGUUAUGUUUUGGAUGAUAACAUGCCAUGAUAACAUGUCAUAUAGAAUAGGUAGUGCCACUCUAUGCAUAAUGAUACAUGUCAUUCAUUAAUAAUGAAUCUCAUUAUAUUGUUUGAAAUUUGUACAUGCUUAAUAAUAUUUGAUAUCAUCUAGAUAAUAUUAUAGGAAGCAUGCAAUUAACAAUAUGUAUGUUUUAAAAAGGAAAAACCAAUUUUAAAAUAUUGAGUGGGAGAGGGAAAAUUCAAGAUAAUUUUCCCACGGGCUCCAUUGUUAGUUCAAUAAUAAAAUUAUAUAUAUACCUCGACUUCAUGAUACGGUGAUGCUCCCUUCGAAGGGUAUAUAUAUUAGAUAUUUUAUUUGAUGAACUUCUUCAAAGAUAAAAUUGAAAUAUUUUUCAAUCGAUUGUUCACCCCAACGGUGACUAUUGAUAUGAAAAAUACGUAGAUUGAAACAAUGGUUAUACACUCAACUAAAAUUUGUUAUUAACCUUCCCAACGAAGCUCUGUUAACAAAUUUAGGCCCAAAAAGAUAACGAUAAUUAUUUAUCAUGUCUCUACAUGAAAGUAAAUAAUCCAAUGGGUAAUUGGGUCUAGUAAGUAUAGACAUGACUUCCCCACCGGAUAGCUUGUCAAAGCGGAACUAGAUUAUCGUUACAAUAAAUUAAAAUGCAUUUAUGGUUUUAUGCAUUUUUGUCAUUUAUUGUGAAUAUUAUUUCAAAUUAUUUAUGCAUGGAUGUUUUAUUUUUCAGAAAAUGUCUUCCCUGAGCCCACUUACUAUUAUUCUGAGUCAAAACAAACUCACUGGAGAGAACUAUAUAGAUUGGAAAAGAAAUCUAUUCAUUGUCCUGACUGCUGAAAAUUAUAAAUAUGUCUUAACCCAGCCAUGCCCUCCAGUUCCAGCGGAUGAUGCUCAUAGAAAUCAGAGGAGGCUUUAUGAGAAAUGGCAAAAGGCCAAUGAAAUGGCAAAGUGCUACAUUUUAGCCUCGAUUUCUAAUAUUCUGCAGACCAAACAUCAGAACUUGGAGACUGCCACUGAAAUAAUGGAUAGUCUCCAACAGAUGUUCGGGCAGAGUACUCGCUCAGCGAGACAAGCAGUGCUGAAAGGAAUUAUGAACAGUAAAAUGGGGAAGGGCACAAGAGUUCGUGAUCAUGUCCUCAAAAUGAUGGACUAUUUGAAUGAGGCUGAGAUUCAAGGAGCACAAAUCGAUGAUAACUCAAAGAUUGACAUGGUGCUAGAAUCUCUACCAAAAACAUUCAAGGAGUUUAAGGUCAAUUAUAACAUGAACAAAAGAAACAUGACCUUAACUGAAUUGAUGAACGAACUCCAUUCUGCUGAAGAGAUCUAUCGUGCUGAGAAAUCUCUGGGAAGCAUAAAUAUUACUGAAAAAAGUUCAUCUUCUGGGCCUAAACCGAAAGGCAAAGGUAAGAAGAAAGCUGGGAAAAAGAGACCGUCUACCAAGCAAGAUGGCAAGCCGAAAGGCAAAUGCUUCAAGUGUGGACAGAAAGGUCACUGGAAAAAGGAUUGCCCUAAGAUUGUGAAAUCAGGUAUGGGAAAUCUUUUUGUAAUUCAGGCCUGUUUAGUUCAGAAUCCUAUUGACACUUGGGUGUUGGAUUCAGGAGCAACUAAUCAUAUUUGUAAUUCACUUUAUUGGUUUCAGGAAACCAGGAAAAUAAGUGAAGGAAGCGUCAAGCUGCAGUUAGGGACAUGACAGUUCGUGUCAGCAGUAAAGACUGGAUUUGUUUUAUUAUCUUUUAAUAAUGAGACUUUAGUUUUGAAUAAUUGUCUUUAUGUUCCAGACAUUAAGAGGAAUUUAAUUUCAGUAGCUUGUUUGUCAAAGCAAGGGUACACUGUAAAUUUUGGAUCCUCUGUUUCUAUUUUUCAUAAUAAGAGACUUAUUUGUUCUGGUACAUUGGAAGAUAAUUUAUAUCAUUUAAGUCCAAUGAUCCAUUCUAUGCAUGACACAGUAAUAAAUAAUGAUGAGCAUACACAUUUAUCUAAGAAAAGAAAUAUUUCUUCCAACCAAUGUUACCUCUGGCAUUUACGCUUGGGUCAUAUAAACCAAAAUAGGAUACAGAGAAUGAUCAAAGAUGGACUCUUGGGUCCAUUAGAAAAUAAAUCAUUGCCACUCUGUGAAUCCUGUUUAGAAGGGAAAAUGACCAAAAGGCCAUUCUCGGCCAAAGGAGUACGUGCAACAGUACCACUUGAAUUUGUACAUACAGAUGUAUGUGGACCAAUCAAUGUACAAGCUCGAGGAGGUUAUGAGUAUUUCAUCACUUUUACUGAUGAUUACUCAAGAUACGGUUAUGUUUAUCUGAUGCGUCAUAAGUCUGAAGCUCUUGAGAAAUUCAAAGAGUAUAGGGCUGAGACAGAAAAACAAUUAGAUAAGAACAUAAAGAAACUUCGAUCUGAUCGAGGUGGUGAAUUUCUCUCAGGAGAUUUCAAAGAGUAUCUGGUUGAAAAUGGGAUUAUAUCUCAAUUGACUGCCCCGGGAACACCACAACAAAAUGGGGUAGCUGAAAGAAGAAAUAGAACUCUUUUGGAUAUGGUGAGAUCUAUGCUUAGUUAUUCGUCAUUACCAAUCUCUUUUUGGGGACUAGCACUGGAAACUGCAGUUUACCUUUUGAACUUAGUUCCAUCUAAGUCAGUGCCUAAAACCCCAAUAGAAUUAUGGUCAGGUCGCAAACCAAGUUUACGACAUGUCCGUAUUUGGGGAUCACCAGCACAUGUGCUGAAACCAAAGGCAAACAAAAUGGAUUCACGUUCUGAGGUUUGUAUGUUUGUGGGGUAUCCCAAAGGAACAUGGGGAGGUUUAUUUUAUAGUCCUCAAGAUAGGAAAGUGAUCGUGAGCACACAUUUCACUUCCCUUGAGGAAGACUAUAUGAAUAACUUCAAACCUAAGAGUAAGGUAAUACUUGAAGAACUGUCAGGUGAUCAGGUUGAUGCUCAGCUUUCAAUGCCUGUUACAGAACAUGAAGAACAGCAACAACCAGAUGAUCAACACAGGAUUAACCCUGAACAACCAUCACUUUUAGAACCUCGUCGUAGUGGGAGGGUAACUAGGUUACCUGCGAGAUACAUGCUUUUGGGAGAAACCUAUACGGCUAUCUCAGAUGAACAUGUACAAGAUCCCACUAGUUACAACGAAGCUCUAAUAGAUAGAGAUGUUGAAUUUUGGAAAAAGGCCAUGAAUCAAGAAAUGGAAUCUAUGUAUUCCAAUAAAGUCUGGGAACUUGUAGAGGCACCAAAUGGGGUAAAACCUAUAGGAUGCAAGUGGAUCUACAAGAGAAAAAGAGGAGUAGACGGAAGGGUGGAAACAUUUAAAGCAAGAUUAGUAGCCAAAGGGUUUACUCAGAAAGAGGGAAUCGAUUAUGAGGAAACUUUUUCUCCGGUUGCUAUGCUUAAAUCCAUCAGGAUUCUGCUCUCCAUUGCUGCCGUGCUAGAUUAUGAAAUUUGGCAAAUGGAUGUCAAGACUGCCUUUCUCAACGGGCAUCUUGAAGAAAACAUCUACAUGCAGCAACCAGAUGGAUUUAUACAAAAAGGCCAAGAACACAUGGUAUGUAUGUUGCAGAGAUCCAUUUAUGGAUUGAAGCAAGCAUCCCGGUCAUGGAACAUCAGAUUUGAUCAAGCGAUAAAAUCGUUUGGAUUCAUUCAGAACAUUGAUGAACCAUGUGUGUACAAUAAAAUUCAAGAAAAAUCUGUAGCCUUCCUAAUUCUUUAUGUAGACGAUAUUCUCCUAAUUGGAAACGAUAUAGGAGUAUUGACUACAAUAAAGAGUUGGUUAGUAAAACAAUUUGAUAUGAAAGACCUGGGAGAGGCAAGUUAUAUUCUUGGUAUCAAAUUACUACGAGACCGGAAGAAUAAAACUUUAGCCUUGUCUCAAGCGGUCUAUAUCGAUAAGAUAUUGGCUAAAUUUAGCAUGGAAAAUUCCAAGACUGGUUUAUUACCAUUCAGACAUGGAAUUACAUUCUCUAAGGAUCAAUCACCUAAAACAUCUGAAGAGAUAGAGAGAAUGAGACGAGUUCCCUAUGCAGAAGAUGUGGGAAGUCUUAUGUAUGCCAUGCUUUGCACUAGGCCAGACAUCUGUUUUGCGGUAGGGAUGGUUAGUAGAUAUCAAUCUAAUCCUGGACCUGAACACUGGACUGCGGUCAAGCAUAUAAUGAAGUAUCUGAAAAGAACUAAAAAUUAUAUGCUUGUGUAUUCUGGUGAUGAACUCAUUCCAGUGGGUUAUACUGAUUCUGACUUUAUGUCAGAUAAGGAUUCCAGAAAAUCAACUUCCGGCUAUGUGUUUACAUUGGGAAGUGGAGCUAUUAGUUGGAGGAGUGUGAAACAAUCUUGUAUCGCAGACUCCACAACUGAAGCUGAAUAUGUGGCUGCAUCCGAAGCUGCAAAAGAAGCUGUAUGGCUCCGCAAGUUCCUACAAGAUCUUGAGGUGGUACCUGCUGUAACUGCACCCCUGAAACUAUUUUGUGAUAAUGGUGGUGCGGUAGCUCAAUCUAAGGAACCAAGGAACCACAAGAAACAAAACAUACUGACGGGAAGUAUAAUCUUAUAAGGGAAUAGUGUAGAAAGGUUAUAUGACAGUACCCCAAAUGGCAUUAGAUGCUAAAUGGCAGAUCUUAUUACAAUGGCCAUUAGUGGGAAACCUUUAUAACCUGCACUUAGAGCCCUAGAGCAUGUACAAUAUGCUAGAUAUGCUUUGAGAGCUAGUGGGAGAUUGUUGGGAAAAUAUGCUCUUUAAAAGCAUAUGUGUUUAUUUAAUUGUAAUAAAUAAUUUUUCUGAUUAAUAAAAUAAAUGAGGUAUUUUAUUCAAAUAUCUUAAUUGCAUUAAUAUUUGUAUUAAAGUCCAUUUAAUCAUAUUAUAUGUAUUUAUGUGAUCACCAUGUGGAUUCACAGAAGACAUAAAUACAAGUUAUCUUAUGAUUAAAUAAAUUCAGUUCGCAGUUGAUAAAUAAAGUUGGGCACUUUAUUUAGGUAUAGACUGUAAUAAAUUCAUUGAAUGAUUUGUCUUAAUCAUGUAUGAAUUUAUUGAUGUAGUACGACUACAUUGAACAGGAUCACAUAUGAGAUUUAAUUAACUUUGUAAUAACUGUCAGACUUAUUAAAUCUCAUAGGCAUUGAUUUUACUGUAAUCUUAAUCUUGAGUUAAUUAUGAUUUCAUGAUUGUAAUUGUUAUUCCAUUUGAGUUACCAAUGGGCACGACACAUCCUUGUGGUCAAGAUUACCCGGUAUCUUGGUGGGAGCAAUUAUGAGUAUUGGAGUUAUGGAUUAACAAUAAAGAAUUUGUACAACACAUCUCUUGAUGGGUUUUCGGCACUUGAUCAUAGAAUUCUCUGGCCAGAGUGUGUCAACAUAUUUAGUAUGUUGAAAAUGAUCAUUAGAAAAAACCAGUAAGGAUCAAGGAAUAAGAUGUUAUUAAAUUGAUUGGACAGUUGAGAUAUCAAUUUAAUUAACGAUGUGGUACAAAGGAUUGUGCAGUAAAGAAAUCAAUGUGGCUUGGGACGAAUUAUUAUUCGAGCAUACAAUUAUGGAAGUCAGUUCCAAUCUUUUAGUGGAGUAGAUUUGGAAUUAAAUAAUUAGGCUAGUUUAAUUACAGGCCUAAUUGUUAUAGCCACUAUUGUAUGUUCCCAAAUGAUCCCCGGGUUAGCUCAUUUAAUUGACUGCACCACUACUGGACUAAUAAGCAAGAUAACUAGCUUUUUGGGUCAAAAGCCUAAAUAUAUCAUUUAGUGGGAGGCUCCAUUUAAUUAGCUUAUGUGUAAGGGGCCUUAUGUUAUUUUACAUGGUGGGUCCCCUAUUAAAUGAAAAGUAACGUGAGUUUUAUUUUGGACAUUAUUUGGAGCCUAGAGUUUUCACUAAAGGGAGAUAAAUAAGGCUUAUUUUCUCAAAAGAAAAAAGAUAGAAGCCACUUUAUACAGAUCGGAGAAUAAGAUUUUUCUCUCUAUUGUUGAGAGAAAAAUUUUCUCGUGCUAGUUGCUUUGGUAGUGAUAAAGGCGCCCACACGUCAAGUGCAGAUCGAACCUGAGUCAUAACCUGGAAGAUCAUUGGUGACAGUUCGUGAUCUAACAAGCGUGGUGGUGACGGAUCGUGAUCUAAUAGGAGUGGUGGUGGCGGAUCGUGAUCUAGGAGCCUAAAUCACUUCAGCGGAAAAAGCCAACUCGGAUUUUCAAGGUACGAUUUCUGGAUUACGUAUUCCUAUAUAUUAUAUGAGAGCGAUCUUCAAAAGGUUUUAUAAAAAUUUAAAAACCUAAUUUUUCCCAACACCAUUGUUACUCAAACUUAGGUGACAGCACAUGCAAAGUGCAUUCACAGCUAGCUAAGACUAAGUCCUGUGAAAAUUCAAGUUUAAAAACCAUCAUUAAGAUGAAAAAUGAAUUUGAAAUAUUUGAAAAUUAACUAAAUUAUUCUUCUAUUUUCCUAAUACUAAAUAGUGGAAAUGCAUUUUUAUUAUCUUUUUUUUGGGAUAUUCUUUUACCAUUUUUCCUUUAAUAACAAAUACUCUAGAAGACAUUCACGGUUUAAUAUGUUCAUAAAAUAAAAUAAAUGUCUAAUUUAAACCUAAUUUGAAUCGGUUUGAAUGCUACUAUUACAUUCUUUUUACAUUAGUAGAUCUUUUGGCUGAUUUUCAGGUCGGAUUUCCAGUAGUCUAGUGAAUAUAUCAUAUUAUGAAAGCAUAGAAGAAAUCAUAAGUCAAGCUGGUGAAAAAGUAAAUGAGAAAUGUACCGUUUUCAGCGAAAUAAAACUUUGGGAGCUUAAUUAUUUACCAAGGUUUACAAUCUUUUGUUGGAAGAAUCACACUCUUUGAAUGGAAUGAGUUUACAUGACACAUUGCCCGAAUAUGAGAACUUUUUCUCAGUGAGUCUUAUGCACGCCAAAGUUACACAAAAUGCGAGCUAAGUGACUAAAAAAUGUUGGAUUCUUAUUGGAUUUAGCACCAACAUUUGAUUUAUGUGUUUCAAUUAUAGCUUAUUUGAUUAAGGUAAUUAAUUUCAAUUAUAGCUUAUUUGACAAUUUGGAAAUAAAAUGUAGCGAUCAUCAAUCUUGUCCAUCAAAUUAAAUACGCUUUGGAGGACAGUGGAGAUUAGAUAUUUUCAUUUAAUAGUUCAUUUUGGUUGAUUUAUUUUUCAGUUUUCAUAAUGCCUGAUGAGACUACUCUAGAGUCAGAGUCAACAAUAAGAUUGUAGGAUUGGGCUUGAAUUUUGGUAUUUGAACUUGUUCUGUUCCUGCUAUUUAAUUCUUGUCACCUUUGAUGUCCUCCAUGUGCUUGGACAUGUGGAACUUAUAAGUGCCAAGCGUUAUUUGUUUGAAUCAACAGAAAAGCAUAAAUCAAGUUAUUAUUUAUCUUUCUUUUAUUAUGGCACUUUCAGUUUCUCUGUUUUGUGAAAUUCUCUUUUUGUGAUUUUGGUCAUCUGGUUUUUAUAAAAGUAUGUAUUAGUCUCCACCCAUUCAAAUUUUGGUUUAUCUUUAUUAAUUUUAGCCACUUAGCUUUACUAAAUAUCAAUUCUAUGUAUAUGCAUGCUGCAAAAUGAACCCUAAGAUAAGAUCAUGCAGACAUACAAUUGAGAAAAUUUGAAUAUCAGGAUUUUCAAACCAAUAAUACAUAUAAUAAUUUCUCUUUUCCUUCAACAUAUCUCUAGUUUAGUUAUCAAUUGAUUAUCUAUUUACAAUUAGAAUAAUAUUAAGAUCCUAACAUUUGAUUCUCAACCAAUGUGGUAUCUACCCAUUGGAUGGCAGAUAAGUAGCUUUGCUAGUUAUAAAAUUUAUCGUAUACAAGAUGAAUGACACAUAACAUUAAGAUGCAAGUUUAAAUACUUUGUAUUAUUAUUACGAAAUACAUAUUCAUGUGGAGAUAUCAACCGUUAGACGUAAUUGUGAGAGGGAAAAUAUUUUGAGUAGUAGAGACUAUAAAAUUUUCCUUUUUUUUUUUCGGUUGAAAGAUGAAAAAUGAAUAAGACAAAAAAAUCUUCAGAAACUGAACAAGUCUAUUUUGCAAUUGUGAAUUAUUUGCGAUUGUGAUUUGUGAUGAGUAAAGCAAGCAAGAGCGUGUAAUAAUGUGCGGCAGAAAAACAGGCUUUGCCAUCCAAAAUUUAUUCUUUUCACUUUUCUUUAAAUUUUCCAUUUUCCAUUAUUGCGAAAUUGCCAAAACAAAAUUGCAAUAUUUGAAUUUAUUUUGAAAUUGAAAUUACACAUAGAUGGGAGCCCUACAGCAGCACUACUAGUUACAUUAAAAAAAAAAAUCCAAAUGGAGUUUGUCUAUAGAUUCCUAGUAGAUUUCAGAUUACAAUGUAUAUAAACAAUUUAAAUAAAAAAAACUCAAGAGAACAGUUGCAAAAGGAAAAUGAUGGAGAGCUAUAUAAUUUUUAUUUUGUUACAAAGAUAAUAUAUAAUUAAUUUGCAGGUGGCGUGGGGUAUGCACAAAGGCAAUUUAAGAGCACUUUAGGCCGCAGACCAGCAACCAGAAUCUCUCAGAUUCAAAAAUAAUUUCAUAGCUACAAUGACUAUUCUGCUAAUAUAUGAUAUGCAUUUUGUUUAAAUACCUGUGAUAAAAACCUGCAACACCAAGGUUAGCCAUAUAAUGCAGAGUGGAGAUUUUCAUCAUGAGGCCAUUCUAGUCGGAAGCAACAUGGUAAUCAUCCUAAUAAUCUUUCCACAAGUAAGACAAGUAAAUGACAGCUUUGUACAUGUAAAUUGCGAUAAUUGCGAUAGUAAAUUGCGAUCAAACCAAAUCCCUUGAGUUGAUGUGUCUGAAAGUUUCUUCACUGCUAUUUCUCGUCCAUCUAGCAAUAUGCCCUGGAAUAAAAGUACAAUCAACUCAUGUUCAAGGUUUGAACUCAAGACUUUGGAUUUGAUACCAUAUUAUUUAAACAGUCGGAUGAGAUACUAUCACACCGACAGGGCCAUAUCCACCCUCCCCAAGCUUAUUUUUGAACCUUGUUACUAAAUUCAUCAGCAACUGCAGAAUUUGAUACUUUGCUCUUUGUUUCUUUAGCUGAGUCCAAUAACCCUAUUGAUAAUUAAAAAAUAAAAAAAUAAAAGAUACAGAAUCCUGGUCAGUAACUUGUUCCCAGAACAGAAAUAUACAGCAUAGGAAAGUAGAGUAAACCAGCUGCAGUUGUCGGGCAAGUGAUUUCUAAUAAACCCAACUCGUUUUGUUUCUUUUUAUCAUCUUCCUGAGCUGUAAAAUUGAUUACAGUGGUAACCAGAAAUGGCAUAAAGAUGUUGAUGCAAAUCAUUUUCAAUCUAUUACUUUAAUAAAAUAGAUUUUCGUGUUUGAUCUGUCAGAUUCUUGCUCUGAGAUAUUGUAGACCACAACUUUAGCUAUGAAACUGCAAUUUUUUUUUUUUAAUAUAUUCUGAAAAGAGAAAUCAGAAAUUUCGAUGGUUCCAGAUUUUUAAAAUAGCAAGAGGGAAACUUUAAUGAGUUAAAUUAAUAUAACUCUAACUAAAUUUCAUCGUAUGUCCUUUUGUUCUGGCUAAAUAAAAAUCCUGCAAGCAAUUAAAAAAGCAAUAAACUAACAAUUUUGGCAGGCCGUUGAAAAGCAAUAAACUAACAUUAUAAAAUCAUUGAUUAAUUUAACUAGCUGCAUACAAACUCAGAAAUGAACUUGGAUUAAACAGCUUUACUUAAUAAUAGAGGAUGAUAAAACAGAUUACUUAGAAUCAUUAAUUAAAGCUUUGCUUUCUUGCAGCUUGCGAGAGCACCCAAUUAUCGUGAUUGCCACGCAACAUAACCAAGCAGCUCCCUUUCCUUGCCAUGAGAAACCUUGUUAAUGUCUUCGCAAUAUACCUUGUUAAUGUCUUCGCAAUGUAACUCUUGAUGCCUUAUAGAUCAUGUCUCAUGCAUCUGUAAUUGCCGGCACUUUUGAUGGUGCAUCAAUGCUAUAUCCUCAGGAUUCACCAGAAUCCAAGCAUAUAUCUUUAAUAAGGAUCACCAAAACCAGCUCAUCAGCUGCAUGAUCUCCAGUAGAAUCUACGCUCUGAGGCACGUACCUUUGUUCUGGUUGUGGACGACCUCAUGAGAUUCAUAUACUUGAUGAUGAUGAGGAUUUUGGUCCCAAAUUUGGACAAAUACCUCUUGAAGAAUCUAUGCAUUCAAGUGACAGUGACUCCAUGGAAAGUGAUCAUAGUGAAGAUAGUUUUCACUCUGGCCCUUCCUCCUUUGACCCUAGGAUCACCACCAAUGCCGCCAUUGUUCAUGCUGCCAUUACCGACCACCAGCCGCCGCCACAUGCGCCGUCACCAGUGGAGCUCCUCCUAAUACUCUUCGUGAUCUUCCUACUUUUGUUGCAGCCUUUGUUCGCUCUUCUCCUCCAUCUGCCUCUUUUGCUCCUAAUCUUGCCCAUCUUGAGGCCACCAUUUUGAAACAAGGACAAGAUAUUGCUAAUCUUUCUACUCGUUUGGCCAAAUUGCAUGCAAAACUACUUCCCUUUUGUAAUCUUUUAGCAAAAGAGAGGGAGUAAUUUGUUUCAAGUCUUCAAUUGCUCAAUGCAAUGAGUUAGGGGGAGUAGUAUUUUCCAUUCUAGGGAGAGAUUUUAUUCAAGAAUUUUUAAUUUUUGGAUUCUAGUUCUUAGGGAGAGUUUAUAUUUUUAUUGCUCUUAAUUUUCUGCUUAAUGUUGUCUUUCCAUUUAUUGAUCAAUAAAAUUAGCAUUUUGUUUUAAUUCUUGCCUUGGUUUAUUUUCAUGAACUAACAUGCUAAUUGUCAAUUAUUUUGGUUAGUUCCUUGUUGUUUAUACUUGUCCAAGUUCAUAUCUUAGCGCCAAAGCUCAUGGAAGACUUGUGUUGGAUUGCUUUUGCCACAAGAAUGCCAAAAGGGGGAGAUUUUUAAGUCCAUUAUUUAUAGAGUUGGCAUUUUAUGGCAAGUCUAGUUAAAUUGGAAGUUUAUUUAUUGCAUAUCUUGUAAUAGGGAUUAAUUUAUUAAUUCCCUAAUUUAGUGAGAUUCCAAUUUAUUAGGAAUAUUUGUUUCCUAAUUUAAUUAGAUAUCUAUUUUAGCAAUUCAAUUAAUGGUGAGAUUCUAUAAUUGGCGCAUGAGAUCUAUUUAGAGCAAGAAGUUGGUUCAAACAGGAAGUCAUUAAAUGCUCUAGAUAUUUCUUAGGAGACAAGUAAGGCAAGAAGAUCAUAUUUAAUCAUAUUCAGAUUCAUGGGAAUUAUAAGAGAACUCUUAUUUGGAAAAAAUUCAAGUUUUUUAAGACUUGCUAUUUUGGUAAAACCCUAGUGCCUAUAUAAAGAGAGAUAUUUCACAAUUGAAGGGUGAUCGCACAACACAAAGCAUAAAGCAGAGAAGCAAAAUUUGGUCUCCUCCCCAAAGAAUCCGGAUUUGGCGCAUAAUGUUGUGUUCAUUUGUUUUCUUAUCUUCUUUUCAUCUCUGUGGAGAGUCUAUAUGGAUCUUGGAUCACUAGACAUUAAAGAAUUGAAGAAUUGCUAUUGAUCACUUUGCGAAGUGCCUUGAGGAUCGUGGAUCAAGACGGGUAGUAAUUAUUCAAGAGAAGCAGAUUCAUUCUAAGGUAGAGUAAACUGUAUGGUGAUAAAUUGUAAGUGAGAGUUUUAAGUUUGGUAAAUCCAUAGGUUGUAACAUCUCAACUUAGUGAAUUGCUUUUCAUCUGGGCGUGGCCUUGUGGAUGUAGGAUUGAUUAAUCCGAACCACGUAAAAAUCUUCGUGUCAUCUAUUUUCUGCAUUUUAUUGUGUUUUUGGAAAACUAAUAUUUUUUAUGCGGAUGAACAGUAAACGUGAACAUUAAACGUGAACAGUAACUGUGAACAGUUGCAGUGAAAAGUAACAGCGAACAGUAACAAUGAACAGUACUUCUGAAAAAAAUUAAUUAAGUAAUUAAUUUUUUUAUAUUUAAUUGCCUACAUCUAUUUUCGAUAGAUCUAAAUUCCUAUAACAAGUGACCACUGGCCAACACACAUUAAAGUUGGGCAAAUAACAGUGAAAAAAAUGCUUGAAUUUGUUCAAUCCACUAGAUUAAUCCAUAAUAUUUCUCAUUUCAUAAGUCAAUAAGCGGAAAACUUUUGAAUGGGAAAAAAAAUCUGCAACACGAGAUUAGAGAUAAUUUGAAGAUUUGAAUUACUGAAAUACGAAUUCAAGAAAGCAAGCUAUCACAUAAUCAACAUUAUCAUAUUAAAAGAAAGAAAGAAAGAAAGAAUCCUAUCAUGUAACCUUUAAUAAAUAAAUCCAUUUCACAUACUUAAAACCAAAUAAUGAAGGGAAAGAAACAAUUUAAGACGUAGCAUACCAAAUAAUAAAAGACUUUAAAACAAGGGUUAAUUUCGGCCUAUCCCUUUCGUGAAGUGACAAUCUUCAAAUCGCCCCCUUAUUAUUGAAAACAUCAAGUUACCCUAAGACUUGUUAUCUCUUUGUUAUUUUUAACAGGUAAAAGGAUAAAAUAGUAUUUGAACAUUUUCCUAAUAGUCAAUUAACGGAAAAAGGUCAAACCUAGGGAGACUAAUUUUCAUGGGUCCAAAUCUUUCUAGGUUCUUUAAAACACAAACAAAUAUUUAUAAUAUGCUCCCUAAUACUUUAAAAUAUUUCUAUUUUGUGCCUAUAUGACUAAUUUUUUUGAACGGAUUAAACUUUACCUUUUUGUAUUUAAAAAUUUUAUUUUAAAAAAUAAAUAUAGAAAUUAAUUAAAAGCGACAAAUGGAAAAAGAAUAAUAUUUUAUCUUUUUCAUUUUUUUAUUAUUAUCAUUAUUUUUUUUUCAUUUUGUAAAGGUAUUUAAAAAAAUAUACAUAUAAAAAAAAGAAAAAUCAAGGAACAAAAAAAAAAUGCUACUGGAGUUUUACCAAACACCUUCACCACACACAACCUAGAAAUCUUCUAGUUCUUAGCUUAUUCACUAGACUCAAAAUAUUAAUCUUCUAAGAAAAACAAAUCACAUAAAUUAGAAGGACAGCAGACUCCACUUUUUUUUAAUCCAUUCCCACAAACGGCCAAACCAAAACCGAAAGCCGCACACCUUCCAUCAUCCUAAUUCAUAUAGCACUAUUGUUGAUGCAUCAAUUUGGAUAGGAUUUUAACAAAGUUCACUAUGGCUAUUGUUUCUUUAUUUCUCUUUCUUCUUCUUUUCCUAACUUUUUUUUCCCUUCAAAAUUCAUCAUUGCUGAAGGUAGCUUUAAAAACCCACUUGCACAACACACACAACCAUUUAAUUCUACCUUCUUUUGUUAAUUUCAACAAAAUUUAAUACUCACUCUUAUAUUUUAUUUUGCAAAUGACUUUCACCCAGUAUUUUCAAUUUCCCUAAUGGAUGAUUGGUUGUUCUGGGUUUUGGAUUUUAUAGAUUUUGAUUUCUGGGUUUUGGAUUCUAAUAUGUAGAAAUUAAGUUUUAGUUUUGAUUUAAUGUGAGAUUAGAUUUGAAUAAUGGUUGUAUGGUUGUCAUGUACAUGAAAGGAAAAAAAUGAAAAAAAAAAGAUGGAGUAAGGAUGAGAAAAAAGCAAAUGAAAGAAAAAGACGAAGAAAAAUGAAAGAAAUGAAAAAAAAAAGGACGAAAGUGGCAUGGCUUGUAAUUUUGAAAUUUGAUCUUGGUGGCAUUAUUGUGAUUUACAUACGAUGACAUGUCUUAUAAUUUGCUUAACUAAUAUGUCUAAUUUAAGAAAUCUAUCAAUUUAUUUAGGUCCAUUAAGUUAUUUCAACAAUUAUUUUCUAAUUUUUUCUUCACUGUUUAUAUAUUAAUAUUUUAAUAGUUAAUUUUUUCAUUUUUCAAUGACUAGUCAUACAUCAACUAUUUUUUUCCAUUUUUCAAUGAUUAGUCACACAUUAACUAUUUCUUUUAAGCCUUACAAUGCUGUUACAAGAAUAUUCUAUUAGGGUAUGGGGUACUUUCGUACUUUUAUGAGUUAACGGCAGUCAAUAGUUAAAGAUAACGAGUUUUAGGGGGUAAUUUGAUGUUUUCAAUAAUAAGGGGGUGAUUUGAAGAUUGUCACUUCAUGAAAGGGGUAGCCCGAAAUGAACCCUAAAAACAAUACACUUGAAAAGUGUUCACACACGUUUGAUACGGGUGUCAUUUAAGGGUAUAUGACUUAUAAUUUCCCUUGAUGUUUUCAAUAAUAAGGGGUGAUUUGAAGAUUGUCACUUCAUGAAGGGGGUAGCCUGAAAUGAACCCUAAAAACAAUAGCCUCAAGUCCUUAACUAUGUGGAAGACUUUUAAUUUUUAGUAAGAAGAUAAUUAAUACCCAUAAAUAUAAUCGGCACAUAAGAGAAAUGUAAGCUUAAGGUUUUUUUUUUUUGAAAAAAAAAAUUAAAACGUCACUCACCAAAUAAUAGAAGACUUAAAGACAAAAGGCUUAUUUUGUAUAGAAGACUUUAAUUUUUAAUCACAAGACAAUCAACUCAACAGCAGAAAAGUCAAUUACAUAAAGCGCAUCAUGGAAUCCGAAACAUAAUUUUCUUCUUUUAUAAAUAAAGGCAGUUGACACUACAGUUAAAUUACAGGUUAAAAAAAAUACUCAAUCUAGUUUAGUUUAGAAAUUGAAAUCUAGUAUCAACUGGAAUCACUGGAUCAGUCAGUCUACUUCAAAAAUUGAUCUGUGAUUAAUAUCUAACACAAGGUAUAUGGGUAAUCAUGGGCCAAUAUUUUCCUUUAUCCGUUCUGCACCUUUUCUCUAUCAACGGGCACUCAUCGAUAAUUAGUCGCAAAAGUGAUUUAGGCAGGCCCUGUUUUGAAAAGUAUUUUAGCUUCGGACAAUUAUCGAGAUCUAGAAAUUUCAAUGAAGUGAGGUUUUCACCAAUUGAAGACAGGCGUUCCAGACUUGGCAUAUCUGAAAUCUUCAGUUCGGUUAGAGAGGCGGGAAACCGUGGAGAUGACACCAGGUCUGGACAUCCUCCGCUGAUUUUUAAUUUCCUGAGAGAGUUGAAUCUGUUCAAUCCCCACUGGAACAAUGGCUUUGAUAUCUUCAGAUCUUCAAACUCAAGCGAUUGGAGGUUGGUGGGAAACCCAUCCUCUGGGAAAGAUACCAAGCUAGGGCAUCGACCUAUUUCUAAAUGUAGAAGAGAGGUGAGAUUGUGCAUACUGUUGGGUAACGCCUUCAGAUUCUCACAACUCCAGAUCAUGAGCUCAGUCAGUUUCGUAGAAGGCAAUCCUUCUUCGGGAAAUGACACAAGAUUUGGCCAUCCAUCUACCCUAGUCUUUUCAAGAUGGUGGAGAUUAUGCAAACCGACGGGUAAUGAUUUAAGAUUUUCAAGCCAUGAAAUAGUGAUUUCUUCAAGGGAUGUGUUGUCCAACCUUUCUGCUAACGACUCCAGCUUUGAACAGUCUCUGAUCUUGAGGUACUUAAGAGCCUGAGGUAGAUUUCCAUUCCGUGACAAGAAAGCAAGAUUCGAGCAAGAACUGGCCUCAAGGUGCUCCAGCGUGGCAGGUAAAUCGUUUUCUGAAGAAAAGGAUGUGAGGCAGGUGCACCCACUGCUGCUACCGCGGAUGUCCUGUUCCCCUGUCAAAGCCUUAAAUUAUCACAUCUAAAGAUAAUCAGCCGCUUCAAGCUCGGAGGUAGCUGGAUUAUAGCAAUAUAUGUCAAAGAAUCACAACUAUCAAUGGCCAGACUUUCAAGAGAUGUACUGCUAUUUUGCAUCCAUGCCUCAGGUAAGGAUUCCAAAGCAUCGCAUCCUUCUAUUGUAACUGUUCUCAGCCGGGACGGCAGAGCAAAAUCUGGAAAUGAAACAAGUGAAUUACAACUCCGAAUCUUCAAACUCUCAAGAGAUGAAUUGGAGUUGUGCAUCCAUGCCUCAGGUAAGGAUUCCAAAGCAUUGCAAUCUUCAAUUUUAACUGUUCUCAACUGGGAACUAAGGGUGAGCAAUGCUUGUGGUAGCCUUGUAAGGCCUUCACAAUUACACAAUUCCAAAAAUUGAAGCCUGCACGGCAACUCUGGCUGUUGCUGGUCAUGUUCUUCCUCUGUUACCAAGGAAAGCAGUUGGGGACAUCUUGAAAUCUGCAACCGAUUAAGGGACCUAAUGUCUUGCAGCAACCGAGUUUCACUCUGCCAUAAAUAUGUUUGCUCUCGAACAUGUUGAAUCUCUAAACGUUCCAAUUUAGGUAGCCUUUGUUCAAACACUUCUUUUGCCAUAUCCCCUGAAUGCACUAAUUUCAAUGAGCUGAGGUCGAUUGGGCUGCUCAGCACCACGCCUUUACAUCCAUCGAUCUCUAAUUCACGGAGAGCAGGAAGACAUUGAAGUGUCACUAGCAACUGUUCACACCUAAAAAUGUUGAGCUUCUCUAAUAAAAGAAGACGUUCGGGCAAUGUUCCUUGAAGUUUAGAACAACUGCAAACAGAAAGCAUUUGCAGCUUAGGAAACACUUCAUCUACUUCUUGAGCAGAUCCAUGAGGAUUAAUUCCACUCUUCCCAUUCCUGCAUAUCCACAAAAGAAAGAGUCUCCAGUGAUGGAAAGGACACUGAGCAACUGCUUCCAUAAAAUUCCGAACCCACGCUCUUUACUCUACCCAUUCCACUUAUCACAAGAUCCUUUAGAAAUGGUAGUUGCCCUACUGAUGGCAAAGAUGUACACGUGCCACAAUUAUCAAAUUUAAGACGCAUCAAUUUUGAGAAUAAAGAAUCUCCUAACCAAAUUGGAAAUUUAGUACCACCGUAGCCUGUGAUAGUGAGCUCUUCCAGCUUUUGAUGAGGUUUUAGCAUGUCAAUCACUUGUGUUUCAGUUUUAGGCUCCACCGCAUCUCUAAAACUGCAGUGCGAUCCAAAAGUAUAGUACCGAACACCCCAUUGAAGAGAUAAAGCUUUAAGAUUCACCUUGCUGUUUAAUUGGACCUCACUAGCAUCGCCAACACCUUUCACGUUCUCCAACCUCGAAAUUUCAAGUGUACCUUGAAGAUGCACCAAGGACUUCAACUCUCUUAACCCAGAACCACCGUCUUUUCCCACAACAAAACUACCCAACGUCAAGAGAGAAGUUAAUUUACCAAUUCCCUUCGGCAUUUCCUCCAAUGACCCAACAUUAGAAUUGUUCAGAUGAUGCAACUUCGUCAGGUUUCCCAUGUCUUUGCACAACUUCUUAAGCUGGCGACAAUCUUCCAAUAAAAGUGUAUGCAAGUUGUACAGUGGUUAAUUGAUUCAGGCAAAAUUUCAAUUUUAGUUGUAGAUAAGUCAAGAAACCGUAAAUGCUUAAAAUUUUCAAUUGCCUUCGGUAGCUCGAAGAUGUUAUACCCACGCAAAGAAAAGACCCUUAAGCGCGGGAGAUUCAAAAGCCGCUGAAGAACACUCCAAGCCAAAUAACGACGAGGCCGGAAAUCGGAUAAGUUUAUUGGUAAAAAGGUUCGCAAUUGUCGUACGUUGCAGAUGGACUCUAACCUAUUGUCGCCAUCAUAUGCUCCCUGAAUGUAUGAAAAAUGACGGAGCCCUUUAGAAAACUUUUGUCGGUUUUCACCUUCUGGGGUAUCCUCCAUUCUGAAGCAUGUCUCCCCGGCAGCCCACCGAGCAAGGUCAUUAAUGAGGUCGUGCAUCGCAAAUCGGGAUGCAUCAUAGGUUGACUGGUAAAAUAAUGACCUUGAAUGUAACUCCUCAACGAACUCGCGGCCCAAAUCUUCCAUUUUCCUUUUACUGUUUUCUUGGUGCAAGAAACCUUCAGCCGCCCACAAUAAAAUUAUCUGCUCUUCUUGAAAUUCAUAAUCUUUGGGAAAUAAUGAGCAGUAUGCGAAGCACUGUUUCAACUGUGGAGGAAGAAAAUGGUAGCUCACUCUUAGGGCCGUUAUAAUAUCACAUUUGUCAUCUGCGAGAUCCCAUACUUCAGUUUUGAGCACAUUUUCCCAGUCUUUAGGGUCAUCUUUGCCGCGUAAAAGACCACCAAGAGUUUUUGCGGCCAACGGCAAUCCUUUGUAUUUCAUGGCAAUCUUCUGUCCGACUUCCUUCAACGAUUGAUGCAUGUUGAAAUCCCUAGCCCCCAGGGAGUGUUGAGUGAGCACACGCAAACAGUCGUCUUCUGAUAACACUCCCAGUGCAUAUUCUCGAACACUUCCCACCUUUAAUGCGACAUCGUGAUUGCCAGUGGUGACAAUAAUCUUACUUCCUGGCGCGCCAGCUUUAAACGGCCGGUUCAGAAGCUCCCAAUCAUUGUAAUUGUCUUUCCACAAGUCAUCCAAAACAAACAAAAAUUUCUUUUUAAGCAGUUCCUUCUCCAGCUUCUCUUGAAGUGAAUUUAAAUCGUUAUCAUUAACAGUCACGUUAGAAAUGGACAUGUGCAUCGAUUUUGUUACCCUGAAAACAUCAAAAUCCUCAGAGACACAAGUCUACGCUUUGAUCUCAAAACGACGUCGCACUCGAUCAUGUUUAUAGACAAGCUGAGCGAGAGUUGUCUUCCCGACACCGCCCAUUCCAAUUAUAGAAAUAACAGAGAAUCGAUCAUCAGCUCUUAAAUCAUCCCUCAACAACAAUUCAACAAUCUCCUCCUUCUCUUUUUGCCUGCCAUAUACCUCGGCUUCGUUCACCAAAGAUGUUGAGGGUAAUCUUUGUCUGAAAUUUCUAGACUUCCCAUCUGAAAUCACAUUUUUCAGCUUCAGUAGGCCUUUUUGCCUUUCAAUAUCUUGCAACCGAGCAGUGACCUCCUCCAUUUUCGACACCAUCUUGGAUUCGAACUGAACAGAUCGAGGGCUAAAAUUGGUGCAGCAAGUAGGAAUGAACUUACGAAACUUACUCGUGCUAGUACUGGGUUGAUAAGCAGCAGCUGGUUCCUGAUGCAGCAACUCCCUCCGCAGAGUUUCAGUUUCGAACUCAUCCAACAGGUCUUCAACAUCAUAAGCCAAGUUCUGAAGAUCGUCGAGCCACGUCUUCACCGACUUGUCAUUUGUCUGCCUAUCCUCAGCAUCUGCAAGCACUGCCUGAAUCAUCUCCAACAUUCCCUUCCACUUGAUGAAAUCAGCCUUCAACUUCUCAUGCCGUGUAAACAGUUCAAGUCCCUUUGAAGCCAGCUUUUUGAUCAGCAACUCAACUGACACACUAAGCACCGCCUCUCCGAUGAAUGACAUUUUUUUUUUUUUGGGGGGGUUUAAGUAAACAGAGUAAAUUAUGAAAAAUGAGGAAGAAAAAAUGUGCAGAAAUUGAACAAAGUCUAGUUUGUUGUUGUGAUUAGAGUGAGAGCAAGCAAGAGAAUGCAAUGUGUACUGUAUGCCACAUAUGUCAAGAAAAACAAGUCUUUCCCAAUGCUAUCGAAUCUAAUUCUUUUUUUUUUUCAAAAAUUUGGACAUUCUUUACUUAUUAAUCUCUUUAUUCUUUAAUUUCUAAGUGAUUCUUGCUACAGCUAUUAUUAUUAUUAUUAUUUCGUGAUUUGGGGUAUCUGCUUUUAUAAAAACAUAUUGGUCUUCUUUCAUUCAAGUUUUUGCUUUAUCUUUAUUAAUUAGGCAUCUUACAAAGCUUUCACUCUAUCUCUAUCCACUAUACAAGUAAUGUAUUUGCCAAAAUUGUUAAAACAGAAUGACAUUAAUUUCUUCUCCAAAACUUAUCAUUUCUUUCGAAUAUAUGAAAACGUAGUGUUAUUGAUUCUCACACCGGUAAAACAUACACAACCCCAUAAACCGUUGAACUAAAAUGACAGAUUAUCCAAAUUAAUUCAAGGUCAAAGUGGAAAAGCGCUUUAUUAAUUGUUAUUAGAAGUAAUUAGUGUUGGGGAAAAAUCAGGUUUUUAAAUUUUUAUAAAACCUUUUGAAGAUCGCUCUCAUAUAAUAUAUAAGAAUUCGUAUUCUAGAAAUCGUACCUUGUAAAUCUGAGUUUGCUUUUUCCGCUGAAGUGAUUUAGGCUCCUAGAUCACGAUCCGCCACCACCACUCCUGUUAGAUCACGAUCCGUCACCACCACGCUUGUUAGAUCACGAACUGUCUCCAAUGAUCUUCCAGGUUAUGACUCAGGUUCGAUCUGCACUUGACGUGUGGGUGCCUUUAUCACUACCAAAGCAACUAGCACGAGAAAAUUUUUCUCUCAACAAUAGAGAGAAAAAUCUUAUUCUCCAAUUUGUAUAAAGUGGCUUCUCUCUUUUUCUUUUUGAGAAAAUAAGCCUUUUAUAUCACCCUUUAGUGAAAACCCUAGGCUCCAAAUAAUCCAAAAAACAAAACCCACGUUAUUUGCUUUUUCAAUAAGGGACCCACCUUGUAAAAUAACAUAAGGCCCCUUAUACAAAAGCUAAUUAAAUGGAGCCUCCCACUAAAUGAUAUAUUUAGGCUUUUGACCCAAAUAGCUAGUUAUCUUACUUAUUAGUCCAGUAGUGGUGCAGUCAAUUAAAUGAGCUAACCCGGGGAUCAUUUGGGAACAUACAAUAGUGGCUACAAUAAUUAGGCCUGUAAUUAAACUAGCCCAAUUAUUUAAUUCCAAAUCUACUCCACUAAAAGAUUGGAACUGACUUCCAUAAUUGUAUGCUCGAAUAAUAAUUCGUCCCAAGCCACAUUGAUUUCUUUACUGCACAAUCCUUUGUACCACAUCGUUAAUUAAAUUGAUAUCUCAACUGUCCAAUCAAUUUAAUAACAUCUUAUUCCUUGAUCCUUACUGGUUUUCUCUAAUGAUCAUUUUCAACAUACUAAAUAUGUUGACACACUCUGGCCAGAGAAUUCUAUGAUCAAGUACCGAAAACCUAUCAAGAGAUGUGUUGUACAAAUUCUAUAUUGUUAAUCCAUAACUCCAAUACUCAUAAUUGCUCCCACCAAGAUACCGGGUAAUCUUGACCACAAGGAUGUGUCGUGCCCAUUGGUAACUCAAAUGAAAUAACAAUCACAAUCAUGAAAUCAUAAUUAACUCAAGAUUAAGAUUACAGUAAAAUCAACGCCUAUGAGAUUUAAUAAGUCUGACAGUUAUUACAAAGUUAAUUAAAUCUCAUAUGUGAUCCUGUUCAAUGUAGUCGCACUACAUCAAUAAAUUCAUACAUGAUUAAGACAAAUCAUUCAAUGAAUUUAUUACAGUCUAUACCUAAAUAAAGUGUCCAACUUUAUUUAUCAACUGCGAACUAAAUUUAUUUAAUCAUAAGAUAACUUGUAUUUAUGUCUUCUGUGAAUCCACAUGGUGAUCACAUAAAUACAUAUAAUAUGAUUAAAUGGACUUUAAUACAAAUAUUAAUGCAAUUAAGAUAUUUGAAUAAAAUACCUCAUUAAUUUUAUUAAUCAGAAAAAUUGUUUAUUACAAAUAAAUAAACACAUAUGCUUUAAAGAGCAUAUUUUCCCAACAAUCUCCCACUAGCUCUCAAAGCAUAUCUGGCAUAUUGCACAUGCUCUAGGGCUCUAAGUGCAGGUUAUAAAGGUUUCCCACUAAUGGCCAUUGUAAUAAGAUCUGCCAUUUAGCAUCUAAUGCCAUUUGGAGUACUGUCAUAUAACCUUUCUACACUAUUCCCUUAUAAGAUGAUACUUCCUUCCAAUAUGUUUUGUUUCUUGUGGUUCCUUGGUUCCUUAGAUUGAGGUACCGCACCACCAUUAUCACAAAAUAGUUUAAGGGGUGCAGUUACAACAGGUACCACCUCAAGAUUUCGUAGGAACUUGCAGAGCCAUAUAGCUUCUUUUGCAGCUUCAGAUGUAGCCACAUAUUCAGCUUUAGUUGUUGAGUCUGUGAUACAAGAUUGUUUCACACUCAUCCAACUAGUAGCUCCACUUCCCAAUGUAAACACAUAGCCGGAAGUUGAUUUUCUAAAAUCCUUAUCUGACAAAAAAUCAGAAUUAGUAUAACCCACUAGAAUAAGUUCAUCACCAGAAUACACAAGCAUAUAAUUUUAAGUUCUUUUCAGAUACUUCAUUAUAUGCUUGACCGCAGUCUAGUGUUCAGGUCCAGGAUUAGAUUGAUAUCUACUAACCAUCCCUACCGCAAAACAGAUGUCUGGCCUAGUGCAAAGCAUGGCAUUCAUGAGACUUCCCACAGCUUCUGCAUAGGGAACUCGUCUCAUUCUCUCUAUCUCUUCAGAUGUUUUAGGUGAUUGAUCCUUAGAGAAUGUAAUUCCAUGUCUGAAUGGUAAUAAACCAGUCUUGGAAUUUUCCAUACUAAAUCUAGCCAAUAUCUUAUCGAUAUAGACCGCUUGAGACAAGGCUAAAGUUUUAUUCUUCCGGUCUCAUAGUAACUUGAUACCAAGAAUAUAACUUGUCUCUCCCAGGUCUUUCAUAUCAAAUUGUUUUGCUAACCAAAUCUUUAUUAUAGUCAAUACUCCUAUAUCGUUUCCAAUCAGGAGAAUAUUGUCUACACAAAGAACUAGGAAGGCUACAAAUUUUCCCUGAAUUUUCUUGUACACACAUGGUUCAUCAAUGUUCUGAAUGAAUCCAAGUGAUUUAAUCGCUUGAUCAAAUCUGAUGUUCCAUGACUGGGAUGCUUGCUUCAAUCCAUAAAUAGAUCUCUGCAACUUACAUACCAUGUGUUCUUGGCCUUUUUUGUAUAAAUCCAUCUGGUUGCUGUAUGUAGAUGUUUUCUUCAAGAUGCCUGUUAAGAAAGGCAGUCUUGACAUCCAUUUGCCAAAUUUCAUAAUCUAGCACUGCAGCAAUGGAGAGCAGAAUCCUGAUGGAUUUAAGCAUAGCAACCGGAGAAAAGGUUUCCUCAUAAUUGAUUCCUUCUUUCUGAGUAAACCCUUCGGCUACUAAUCUUGCUUUAAAUGUUUCCACCCUUCCGUCUACUCCUCUUUUUCUCUUGUAGAUCCACUUGCACCCUAUAGGUUUUACCCCAUUUGGUGCCUCUACAAGUUCUCAGACUUUAUUGGAAUACAUAGAUUCCAUUUCUUGAUUCAUGGCCUUUUUUAAAAUUCAUCAUCUCUAUCUAUUAGAGCUUCGUUGUAACUAGUGGGAUCUUGUACAUGUUCAUCUGAGAUAGCCUUAUAGGUUUCUCCCAAAAACAUGUAUCUUGCAGGUAACCUAGUUACCCUCCCACUACGACGAGGUUCUAAAAGUGAUGGUUGUUCAAGGAUAAUCCUGUGCUGAUCAGCUGGUUAUUGCUGUUCUUCCUGUUCUAUAACAGGUGUUGAAAGCUGAUCAUCAACCUGAUCUCUUUUAUUUCUCUAGUUUUACCUUACUCUUAGGUUAUAAGUCAUUAUAUAGUCUUCCUCAAAGAAAGUAAAGAAUAUUUCUAUAAAUACAUUCCUAUCUUGAGAACUAUAAUUCAGACUUUCCCUUAUUCCUUUAAGAUACCUAAAACAUGCAAGCUUCUGAACACGAAUCCAUCUUCUCUAUCUCUGAUUCUAGUAAACUCCAAAUACGAAUGUGUCUCAAACCAUGUUUGUGACUUUUUCAUAAUAUCUUGGAGUAGUAGACACCGAGAUAGAUGAAACUAAGUUCAAUAAACUUUGUAGUUUCAAAUACUAGUAUCUGGAAUCAAAAAGGUAAAUGAUAAACCACUUAGUAUAUAUCUUGUCUUAUCCAAAAGAAUCUUGUUUCUCCAUUUAAUUACACUAUUGUAUCAUAGUGUUCAUUGACAACCAAAUAAUGCUUGAAUUCUCCAUAGAGAUAUUCUUUGUUUCGAUCAUAUCGAAGUUCUUUUAUGUUCCUGUCUAAUUGCUUCUGUCUUAUCCACGUACUCUUUUGAAUUUCAAAAGCAAUGGAAUCAUGACGCACUUAGACAAACAUAAAUAAAAUGAAUAUUCAUCAACAAGAUUGAUAGAAUACUCAUAACCUCUUAUAACAUGUAAACUGAUUAGUCCGUAUACAUUUGUAUGCGCUAAAUCAUCAAAUACAAUGUUAUGCUUUUAGCUCAAAAAGAGCAUCCUUGUCAUAUUACUUUUCUAAAUAAGAUUUAUAGAGUUACAAUGAUCAAUCUUAAUAGGCCAACAAGUCUAUCAUUAAUCAUUUUCUUAAAAUCUUAUUAUAGUUUAUAUGACUUAAGCAUAAAUAUCAGAGGUAAUAUUUGGUUAGAAGAAACAUUUCUUUUCUUAGAUAAAUGCAUAUACUUUUAAUCAUUAUAUCUUACUUUGAAUAGAUCAAUGUACUUUUAUGAUAUAAAUUGUCUUUAUAAAUAACCAAAAUAAGUAAUAAACAGAGGAUUCAUAAAUAACAGUGUACUCCUGUUUAUUAAAACAAGCCACCGAAAUUAAAUUCCUCUAAUAUUUGGAAAAAUAAAGACAAAUAUCAAAACUAAAGUCUUGUAAAAUUGAUCUAGUCUUUCAAUUGAUAUAAACUAGCACGUCCUCAACUGCUAUUUAAAGCUUUCUUCACUUAAUCUCUUGGUUUCCUGAAAACCAAAUAAAUGAAUUACAAAUAAGAUUAGUUAUCUCAGAAUUCAUUAUUGUAUGAUUCAAUAGAAAUCUGAACUAAUUAGGAAGCUUAAAGAUUUCCUAUACCUGAUUUUAAUAAUCUUAGGACAAUCUUUCUUCCAGUGACCCUUCUGUCCACAUUUGUAACACUUGCCUAUUGGCUUGCCACUUCUUUUAGUGGACAGUUUGCCGAUCCCAACUCUUGCUUGCUCAUUCUUGUCUUUCGACUUAAGCCUUGAAGAGAAUCCUUUUUCAGGAAGUUUUCUGCUAUGAUAAAAUUCUUCUAUAGCAUGUAGUUCGUGCAUUAAUUCAAUUAAGGUCAUAUCUUUAUUGUUUAAGAUAUAACUGACCUUAAACUCUUUGAAUGUAUCAGGUAAAGAUUCAAUCACCAUGUUAAUCUUUGAUUUAUCAUUGAUUUGAACACCAUGAAUCUCUACCUCAUUCAAAUAGUCCAUCAUUUUGAGGACAUGAUCACGAACUUUUGUGCCCUCUUCCAUCUUAGUAUCCAUAAUACGUUUUAAUGCUGCUUCUCUGGCAAAAUGGGUAUUUUGCCCAAACAUAUGAUGAAGACUAGCUAUUAUUUCAGUGGCUGUUUCCAUGCUCCGAUGUUUCUUAUGCAGUUCCAUAGAAAUCGAAGCCAAUAUAUAGCGCUUAGCCAUUUUGUUAGCUUCGCACCAUUUCUCAUAAGGCUCCCUCUGAUUUCUAUAAUCGUAUAACGAUGGUUCAGGAGGGCAAGGCUGGGUCAACACAUAUUUGCUUCCUUUAGCAGUGAGGAUAUUAAAUAGAUUGCGUUUCCAAUCUAAAUAAUUUUCGCCAGUGAGUUCAUUUUUAACAAGGAUAAAUAAUAAUGGGUUGAUGGAAGACAUUUUCUGAAAAAAAAAUAAAAUACACAUGCAUAAAUACUUUGAAACAAUAUUCACAAUAAAUGACAAAAAUGCAAAAAACCAUAAAUGCAUUUUAAUUUAUUGUAACGAUAAUCUAGUACCGCUUCGACAAGCUAUCCGUUGGGGAAGUCAUGUCUACACUUACUAGACUCAAUUAUCCAUUGGAUUAUUUACUUUCAUGUAGAGACAUGAUAAAUAAUUAUCGUUAUCCCUUUGGACCUAAAUUUGUUAACAGAGCUUCGUUGGGAAGGUUAAUAACAAACUUUAGUUGAGUGUAUAACCAUUGUUUCAAUCUACGUAUUUUUCAUAUCAAUAGUCACCGUUGGGGUGAACAAUCGAUUGAAAAAUAUUUCAAUUUUAUCUUUGAAGAAGUUCAUCAAAUAAAAUAUCUAAUAUAUAUACCCUCCGAAGGGAGCAUCACCGUAUCAUGAAGUCGAGGUAUAUAUAUAAUUUUAUUAUUGAACUAACAAUGGAGCCCGUGGGAAAAUUAUCUUGAAUUUUCCCUCUCCCACUCAAUAUUUUAAAAUUGGUUUUUCCUUUUUAAAACAUACAUAUUGUUAAUUGCAUGCUUCCUAUAAUAUUAUCUAGAUGAUAUCAAAUAUUAUUAAGCAUACGCAAAUUUCAAACAAUAUAAUGAAAUUCAUUAUUAAUGAAUGACAUGUAUCAUUAUGCAUAGAGUGGCACUACCUAUUCUAUAUGACAUGUUAUCAUGGCAUGUUAUCAUCCAAAACAUAACAUAUAGAAAAACAAUUAAAUAAUCUUAAUUCAUGGCUUUCCUAAUAAUGAAAAAUACAUUAACCCUAAGCCUAAUCUUCAUUGGGCUUCUUGUCAAUGUCCAUCUUCCAUAAUCUUGUCUUUGUUAAUGGACUAGGGGAAAUUGGGCUUUUAAAUUUAUAAUUGGUCCAAUUUUAAUUUUGAAAAGAAAUAAAUAAAUAAAUAAUUUUUUAUUUUAUUAAAAUAAAACUUUUGGACCAAAAAUAAAUUUAAUGUAUUUAAUUUUGUCUAUGCAUUUUUUAAUCCAUUAAGCCCAAUUGAAAUUGGGCUUAAAACUAGGAUUCUUUAAGCUCAAAACGGUUUUUGGACUUAAAUGCAAAAACUUAAAAACGUUUCUGCCCAACUGGAAAAUAUGAAGCUAUAGGGACCUCCACGAUAAAAACCAUGGAACCCUAAAAUCAUAUUUUUCUUUUCCUCUUCUUCCCCAGCCGCCACCAGCACAAAAACCUCCACCACUGUUCAGAUGCCAGCCGACCUCCGACGCAUCUCCGACAUCGAACCACCUGCCACCGCGUCGCCGGAAACGCAUCAAACUCGCGCGCGCUGCUGGCCACGCUGGCCGCGCGCGCUGUUUGCUGCGCGAGCAGCCUGUGCCAUCGCGUGCUGCGCGCACAAGCCACGCUUCCCGCGCGCGCUGGCUGCUGCGCGCUGCUGCUGCGUGCACGCUUGCGUUGCAGCGCGCGCUGCUGGCAGCAUGUGCUGCUGGCCGCGCGCUGCUCGCGCAGCAGCGUGUGCUGCUGGCCCCUCGUUGCUGAAAUUUCCGGCCUCGAUUGUUUGCGCUCGUUUUCCAGUGAUGAUGCUUCGGUGAUUUACAAAUUUUCAACGCAAAUUUUGGCUUACAAAAUUUCAAUUACAGUAAAAUAAAUCAAGAGGGAAUUAUGGUGAUAAAAAACCACCCCUCUUGUUACAGAUCCAAAGAAAAAUACAUCGAAAAAUCUAACCAUGAAUUAAGACAAACCAUAACAUGCUUUAUUCAUAUAUUAAACAAAUAAUAUAUAUCUGAAUAAAUUGUGCCACUCUAAUACAUAAAUUUCAAGAAUGAUUUCAUACAAUAUUCUUAUAUAUUAAUAUGAGAUGGCUCUGAUACCAAUUGUUGGGGAAAAAUCAGGUUUUUAAAUUUUUAUAAAACCUUUUGAAGAUCGCUCUCAUAUAAUAUAUAAGAAUUCGUAUUCUAGAAAUCGUACCUUGUAAAUCUGAGUUUGCUUUUUCCGCUGAAGUGAUUUAGGCUCCUAGAUCACGAUCCGCCACCACCACUCCUGUUAGAUCACGAUCCGUCACCACCACGCUUGUUAGAUCACGAACUGUCUCCAAUGAUCUUCCAGGUUAUGACUCAGGUUCGAUCUGCACUUGACGUGUGGGUGCCUUUAUCACUACCAAAGCAACUAGCACGAGAAAAUUUUUCUCUCAACAAUAGAGAGAAAAAUCUUAUUCUCCAAUUUGUAUAAAGUGGCUUCUCUCUUUUUCUUUUUGAGAAAAUAAGCCUUUUAUAUCACCCUUUAGUGAAAACCCUAGGCUCCAAAUAAUCCAAAAAACAAAACCCACGUUAUUUGCUUUUUCAAUAAGGGACCCACCUUGUAAAAUAACAUAAGGCCCCUUAUACAAAAGCUAAUUAAAUGGAGCCUCCCACUAAAUGAUAUAUUUAGGCUUUUGACCCAAAUAGCUAGUUAUCUUACUUAUUAGUCCAGUAGUGGUGCAGUCAAUUAAAUGAGCUAACCCGGGGAUCAUUUGGGAACAUACAAUAGUGGCUACAAUAAUUAGGCCUGUAAUUAAACUAGCCCAAUUAUUUAAUUCCAAAUCUACUCCACUAAAAGAUUGGAACUGACUUCCAUAAUUGUAUGCUCGAAUAAUAAUUCGUCCCAAGCCACAUUGAUUUCUUUACUGCACAAUCCUUUGUACCACAUCGUUAAUUAAAUUGAUAUCUCAACUGUCCAAUCAAUUUAAUAACAUCUUAUUCCUUGAUCCUUACUGGUUUUCUCUAAUGAUCAUUUUCAACAUACUAAAUAUGUUGACACACUCUGGCCAGAGAAUUCUAUGAUCAAGUACCGAAAACCUAUCAAGAGAUGUGUUGUACAAAUUCUAUAUUGUUAAUCCAUAACUCCAAUACUCAUAAUUGCUCCCACCAAGAUACCGGGUAAUCUUGACCACAAGGAUGUGUCGUGCCCAUUGGUAACUCAAAUGAAAUAACAAUCACAAUCAUGAAAUCAUAAUUAACUCAAGAUUAAGAUUACAGUAAAAUCAACGCCUAUGAGAUUUAAUAAGUCUGACAGUUAUUACAAAGUUAAUUAAAUCUCAUAUGUGAUCCUGUUCAAUGUAGUCGCACUACAUCAAUAAAUUCAUACAUGAUUAAGACAAAUCAUUCAAUGAAUUUAUUACAGUCUAUACCUAAAUAAAGUGUCCAACUUUAUUUAUCAACUGCGAACUAAAUUUAUUUAAUCAUAAGAUAACUUGUAUUUAUGUCUUCUGUGAAUCCACAUGGUGAUCACAUAAAUACAUAUAAUAUGAUUAAAUGGACUUUAAUACAAAUAUUAAUGCAAUUAAGAUAUUUGAAUAAAAUACCUCAUUAAUUUUAUUAAUCAGAAAAAUUGUUUAUUACAAAUAAAUAAACACAUAUGCUUUAAAGAGCAUAUUUUCCCAACAAUUAGAACAAUAUUUCCACUAUAAGAGAGUAUCGUUGAGCCAUAGCUCUCUUUGCUCGAAAUCUUAUGUAAAUUAAAUUGCAGUAAAAAAUUAAUAUUAAAUAGUUGAACCACGUAAGAAAUAGAAACCAUAGAAAUUGUUUUGCUUCAACUUGAGUUUUGGAUUGCUCUAAAUUGAGAAGAUUCGUCUCCUUGAGCUCAUUGCAACACAACAUUCUUACAUUGAAAUGUAACAUCAUAUGAUUAAGCACAAAUUCAGUAAAAAAAAAAAACUUAAUAUUAAUUUGUUUGCCGGUUAUUGAGAAUUAAGCACAAAUUCAUGAUCAUUGAAAAUAAAUUUCUACUGAAGCAUGGGUAUAGUGAACAAAUAUCCACAGCAAUCCCAUUUUCAUGGCCUGUAGUAUAUUGUCUUAUAAAAGUAUUGUUUUCUAAUUUUUUAAUGGGGAAAAGCCACCUACACUUCCAAAGUUUGUUUAAAUAGUCACGCAGACUCUCUUAAUUUUAUAAAUGGUCAGUUAACUAUUAUACCCUUUGAUUAUAGCAACCUAAUAAUUGAAUCUAAAUAAACUUUUUUAAUAAAUAUAAAUUAAAAUUAAAAUAUUAUACCAUAUGAAAUAAGAUAAAAUUUAUAAAUUAUUUUAAAUAUUAUAAAAGUUUGUUUAACAUUAUUGAUAUGUCAUAUUCUUUUAAUAAUAAUAAAACCUAUUUGAUAAAUUAAUAAUGUUAAAAUAAUUAUGCCGAAAAUUCACAGUAAUUUACAAAAUUUAUUUUAUUUUAUUUAUAAUAUUUUUUAAUUAUGUCUAUAUUAGUAUAAAUUUUCAAGUCAAUUUUUGGAUUAGUAGAUUUUAGAAUUAAUAAAAUUCAUCGGGAUAGACUAUAAUAGCCUAAUAUUAAAAAUAAUUUUCAUUAUAUACAUUAUUUUAUUAAUUAUACUUAUUGUAAUAGUUUAUUUUGUAUCAUAUAAUAUUUAUUUAUUAUUUUUAUCUUAUUGCUAUAUUUAGUUUUAUUUGGGUUGUUAUAAUCAAAUGGGAUAGUACUAAAAGAAAGGGAUUUGUAUUAAUAUUUAAGCAAAGCUUGAGAGCGUGGGUGACUUUUUCCCUUUUUAAUAUGAAAAGUAUACAUUGAGUAGAACUGGAAAAUAACAUUUUGCUUUAGUUUUUUGAAAAAAAAAAAAGACACAUGUAUUUGAAAUUUGAAAAUUCAAUUUUUUUUUAAUGCUGCGAUGGGAACGAGAAAUCUCAGCCACUAAAUAUCAAUCACUACCCUCUAUUUUUACUUCAAUUAAUGUGACCCGAGUGCAAAGUACAUUCACGAACAGAUGAGUUGCGUCCUAGGGCUGAAUUCAAGUUUAAAAACCAGCAUUAAUAUGAAAAAAGAAUUUGAACUAUUGGACGAUCAACUAAAAUUAUUCUUCUACUUUAUUAAUACUAAAUAGUAAAGCUGCUUUUUCAAUAUCUUUGUUUUUCUAUACAUUUUUUUUUUCCUUUCUUUCUUUAUUGGCAAGUACUCUAGAAGACAUUCACGGUUUUCUCUAUUCAUAAAAAAAAAAAAAAAAAAAAAAAUGUAUGCUUUUAAACCCAUUUUGAUUCUGGCUAAAUACUAUUCUUACAAUUUUUUGCAUCAAAAUAUACCCAGGUGACUGCACGUGAAAAGUGCAUUCACGGUUAGCUAAGCUAUCUCUUGGGACUAAAAAUUCAAGUUUAAAAACCAAUAUUAAGAUGAAAGAUGAAUCUGAAAUAUUUGAAAAUUAACUAAAUUAUUCUUCUAUUUCACUAUCAAAUACUAAAUUGUUCUUUUUCCUUUUUUUCCUUUAAUAACAAGUACUCUUUAAGACAUUCACGAUUUACCAUGUUCAUAAAACAAAAAAUUAUCUGCUUUUAAACCUAAUUUGAAUCCGAUUGAGUGCUACUCUUAAAAUCAUUUUACAUCAAUACAUACUUUGGCUGAUUUUCAGGUUGGACUCCCUAUGGUGAAAAGAUAGAAGAAAUCAUAAGACAAGUUGGUGAAGAAUUAAAGGAGAUUUAUACUGUUUUCAACGAAACAAAACUUUGGAAACUUAACUAUUUACCAAGGUUUACAAUCUUUCCUUAUGAAAAUCACACUCUUGAAUGGAAUGAGUUUAUGUGACACAUUGUCUCAGUACGAUGAUUUUUUCUUAGGGAGUCUUAUGCGCACCAAAACUGUGCAAAAUGCAAGCUAAGUGACUAAAAAAUGUUGGAUUCUUAUUGGAUUUAGCACCAGACUUGAUUUGUGUGUUUCAAUUAUAGCUUAUUUGAUUAAUGUAUUUUCAGUUAUAGCUUAUUAAUUUGAUUAAGGUAAUUUGGGUUACUUCUGCAAAUGAAACUAAUUUGGAAAUUAAAGGUUGAUCAAUGAUCAUUAAUCUUGUCCAUUAAUUAAAUAUGCUUGGAAGGACUGUGGCAAAGCGUAAAUCAAGUCAUUAUUGAUCUUUCUUUUAUGAUGGCACUUUAGUUUCUCAAAAGUCUAUUUUGUAAUUGUGAAUGAUUUGCGAUUGUGAUUUGUGAAGAGUAAAGAAAGCAGGAGAGUGUAAUGUGUAGCAGAAAAUCAAGCUUUGCUAUCUAAAUUUUAUAAUUUUCUCUUUUCUUUUAAUCUUACAUUAUUGCGAAAUUGCCCAAAAAAAUUGCAAUAUUGAAAUUUGUUUAUUAUUUUUUUGAAACUGCAAUAUUUGAAUUUAUUUUGAAAUUGCAAUUACACAUAGACAGAAGCCUCAUAGCGGCACUAUUAGUUAAAAUGAGCACAAUGUUACCAUCACAGGCAGCCCUAAGCACUACACAUAACUUCGCUCUACACAUUAACUUCAUACAUAUAAAAGGCAAUAGCAAUUACAUUACCCUGCAACAGAACAUCUUUGUCAUUGAUCUGUUAAUUAUUUUGCGUGUUUUUUAUUCGAUACAUACGUACGUGAGUGAUGCUGUAUCUAUCUACAGGUUCUGUCAUUCUUAUGAUGCCCAAGCAUCGUUUCAGUAGGUUUCAUUGCUUCUAAAGCUAAAAAGCUUGCUCCGGCACCUAGUUGAAAAUGAGUGAAUUACAAGACAAUUAAGUAGUGUUGUUAUUAUCAGUAGUAUUUUUUUAUUAACUUCUAGAGCAAUGAUUUCAAUUUCAAGGCAAAAAGCCAGUCAAUAGACAAUUAAGUCUCGUUUCAUUUUCUCAAAAUUUAUGCUCCCUCAAUUCUGUUGCACCAGACAAAAAUAAACUUAAACCAUAUCUGAAAAGAGAAUACGGCCUGAGAUCACAAAUGCUGGGAAAUUUAAAAAAUGAAGAAAAAAAAUGGCCAAUACAGAAUAAAGCAGAGCAAAUAUCAGAGUAAAAUAGAAUUUAUUAUUUGCUAACCAUGAAAUAGUGAUUUCUUCGAGGGAUGUAUUGUCCAACCUUUUUGCUAACGACUCCAGCUUUGAACAAAAUCUGACACGAAGGCAUUUAAGAGCCUCAGGUAGAUUCCCAUUCCGUGACAAGAAAUCAAGAUUCAAGCAAUAACUGACCUCAAGGUGCUCCAGCGUGGCUGGUAACUCGAUUUCUGAAGAAGAGGGUGUGAGGGAGGUGCACCCGGUGCUGCUACUGGGGAUGUCCUGUUCCCCCGUCAAAGUCCUUAAAUUAUGACAGUUGUUAAUAAUCAGCCGCUUCAGGCUCGGAGCAAGCUGGCAUGUACUGCUAUUUAAAUAUAUGUCAAAGAAUUACAGUUAUAAAUGUUCAGACUUUCAAGAGAUGUACUGCUAUUUCGCAUCCAUGCCUCAGGUAAGGAUUCCAAAGCAUUGCGUCCUUCGAUAUCAGUUGUUCUCAACCGGGAAGGCAGAGCAGCCUCGGGAAAUGAAAUGAGUGAAGUGCAGUGAGGUAUCCACAUCUCUGUAAGGGAACUAAGGGUGAGCAAUGCUUGUGGUAGCCUUAAAAUUGAAGCCUGCGCGGCAACUCUGGCGGUCGUUGAUCGUAUUCUUCCUCUGUUACCAAGGAAAGAAGCUGGGGACAUCUUAAAAUCUGCAACCGAUUAAGGGAUCUAACGUCUUGUACCAACCGAGCCUCACUCCACCAUAAAUACGUUAGCUCUCGGACAUUUACAAUCAUCAAUUUUUCCAACUUAGGUAGCCCUUGUUCAAAUAGAACCAACUGAUUUGAGCUGGGGACGAUUGGGCUGCUGAACACCACACCUUUACAUCCAUUGAUUUGUGAUCCACUGAGAGCUGGAAGAUAUUUAAUUUUCACUCGCAACAGUCCACAACAUUGAAUGUCGAGCACCUCCAAUAAAGGAAUACAUUCGGGCAAUAUCCUUCCACCGUUUGCUUGAUGUAUGAAUAAUUCAGCUAGCGACGACCAAAACACCACCACGCCAAUCCACGCGUAUCUGCCACUAAAGUCGAGCGAGAGUAAUUGGCUGGGUUGAUUAUUAUACAAAAAAUUUUAAAAUUAUUCGAUAAAUAAUUAUUAAUCAAAUAUUUAAAUAGUUUUAUUUAUUUUAUUCAGCAAACAAUAAUAUAUAUCUCGUAUGUAGUCAUGUAUAAUCUAAAUAAUUUAUAUUUUUUUAUUUUAAUUAUAUAUGAUUACCAAAUACUAAUUUAUUAUAAAUCUAAUUUUUGUAGUAGUUGUCUUUGAAAUUGAUUUUAAUUUUUGUUGAUAGUGGGAGGCUCGGUAAUGAGAUUUGUGUCUAUUGGUGGCUGAGUGAUUAAUGUUAUUCAAUUGAAGAAGAUAAAAUCUACAUAAAUUGAACGAAGUCUAGUUUAUGUGAAUAACAAACUUUACCAGGAAAUUGCACCAUUUAUGUAUGCCACGACAGUGGCUUAAUCCAUACUCUUACUAAUUCCAACACUACGACAAUUCUUUCAAGAAAAAGUCGAAAAUAAUUCAGCAUAGCGACGGCCAAAACAUGACCACGCAAACGUGUUUCCGCCACGUUUAGUUUGAUUAUUAUAUCAAAUAUUUUAUAAAUAAUCAAUCAAAUAUUUAUAUAAUUUUAUUUAUUUUAGUAGAAACAGCUUUAAGCAUAAGUAAAUUAGACAUAUAUUUAAGGGCGAACUAUAUUUUAGAUAGACCCCAUUUUUUAAUUAUUCCUUUAAUAAUAAUCUAAUUAAUAAAUAUUUUUUAAUUAUAUACUAUAGCACAACCUAUUUUUUAAGACUAUCUCUAAUUAAUAAUUAUCCUAUAGCUAAAAUUUGAUUUUAUAAAAAUUUUAUAUUUGAUAAUAUUAAUGUAAAUAACUAUAAAAAAUUUUCAAAAUGUUUAAGUCAUUGAUCAAAAAUAAAAAGUAGUGUUUAAUGAUAUCAAUCCAUCAAAGGUUGCAAUAUAUGAAAUUAUCCACAAUUUGAUUACAUGAAAUCAAUGUCAUAAAAUAUAUGUCAAAUAUUUAAUUAUGAAUAUAUAUAUAUAUACACACACAGUGGCGGUGCCAGAAAGUUAAUUUAGGGGAGGCUAAAUUUAAAUAAUAACAUAAUUUAAAAAUAGUCAACAAGUAAUAAAUACUAAAAUAAAAAUGUAUUUUACUACUGGAGUCAUGACAAUUAGUAAAUUCAAUGUUAAUGUUAUCAAUAAAUAAAUUAAUGAAUACAAUUUAUUUUUUUAGUAUCAAUUAUUUUUUUUGUUAGCCUAUCAAUCUCUUUCAAUUUUUAAAAUUUGUUAUUAGAACCCACCUAUGUAAUGUUAAACAUCAAAUUGAAUUUUAAGUGUCAUAAGAUUCAUUGAAGAAAAAUCAUUUUGAUAAACUCAAUAAGAUAAAAUAAUUUCUGUAUUUUUGUGUGAGGAAACUUAGUGAAUUCCAAAGCUACAAAAUCUCCUUUUUCACUAGGCUAUUUCUAAGAAAACACAUCCUGCCUUCGAUCCUAUUUCCUUCUACAUAAUUUGAGAUGUAGGAAACUUAGUGAAUUCCAAAGCUACAAAAUCUCCUUUUUCACUAGGCUAUUUCUAAGAGAUGAUGCAAAUCAUAUAACUUGGAAAGAAAAAUUUCUUGCUGGAUUACCUACCCUUUUAGGUGAAAAAGUAAGAAAUUCCAUUAAAGCCCUCUAUGAUAACCGUAUUCCUUAUGAUGAACUCACCUACGGUGAACUUGUCAGUUUCGUCAAUAAGGAAGGAUUAAAGAUCUGUCAAGAUUUGAAAUUACAGAAACGGCUCAAAUGGGAGCUAAAGAAGUCUAAACAAGAGUUAGGCGGUUUCUGUAAACAAUUCAAUUAUGACCCCUUUAAAACUCCUACCUCUAAAGAUUGUAAUGGUGAGUGUUCUUCUAAAACUCGCAGGAAACAUUACAAAUCUAAAAGCUAUAAGAAACCUUUUCGUAAUUUUAGAGAACUUUCUUAUAAGAAACCCUCGAGGCCUUAUAAGAAGCCCAAUUUCUCUAAAAGAAAAGAGUUUAGAACCAAACCAAAGACUCCUUUCAAUUACAGAGAAGCUAUAUGUCACAAGUGUGGCAUAAAAGGUCAUACUGCAAAAUACUGCAGAAUGAACAAAAAGCUUCAUGAACUUAACCUUGAUGAGGAGAUCCUUUCUAAAUUGGCCCCUCUUCUUAUCGAGUCUUCUGACUCCGAGUCUUCCAUGUCGGGAGAUAGUGACCCCUACCAAGUUGAUGAGCUAAUUGACUCAGAUGACUCUGCAUCUAGCAGUAGUGAAUCUGAAUCAGAUUCGUUUUUAAAGAAAAUCAAUGUUUUGACUAAAGGCCAAGAGACUUUUCUUGAACUUGUAAAACAUAUUUCUGAUCCAAAUCUUCAAAAAGAGUAUCUUGAUAAACUUUUGAAAACUUUGGAUUUUAAUAAAGCCGAAACUUCUAAAGUCCCCAUUGUUAAAAAGAAUUCUUAUGACCUUACUCAGAUUUUGGAUAAAAAGAAAACAAAGAAGUCAACACCCACAAUCCAAGAUCUUCAAAAAGAAAUCAAAGAAAUUAAACUUGAGAUUAAAGAACUAAAAGAAAAACAAAAACAUGAUUCUGAAACUAUUCAACUUCUCAUACAAAAACAAUUAGAGGAGAAUUCUGAUAAAGAAGAAGUUGAAUCUGAUGGUGAUAAUGAACAGAACGUUGGAAACAUUGAAUCAAUUUGAAUUUGCCAAAAACCAGAUUUCAUGUCGAAUUUUGAAAAAAUAAGAGCAGAACAUAAUUUUUGAAGCAAAUCCUUUUUAUUAGGUAUGGGAUACCUAAUCCAUUUUAAUGCUUUGUUUAAGGGUUUGUAAUUUAUUACAAGUCUUGGUAUGCCUCUUUCAAUCUCAGAAUUUUUAUUAACAUAAAAGGCGGCACAAGACCACGGGGACCUGGACUUUAUAAUGAGUCCUUUUGACUCUAAAUCCUUUAUUUCAUUUUUACAAUGUUGUUCCAAUUCCAUAUUCAUUUGGAUUGGACGAGCUUUAGUGGGUAUUUGUUUUUCAUCGAAGGAACUUUCAUAUGGCAAAUCUACCAAAUGUUGUUUUCGGUUCCAAAAGGCGGAUGGUAAAUCGGCACAAAUUUCUUUUUCAAUAAGGCUUUUGAAAUCGGAGAUUUUUCUUUGUACAAAAUCAUUUUGUAAUUGAUUUUCAAUUCUUUGUAAAGUUAAAUCCUUUUUUAAACAAAACAAGUUAUUUUGUUUGGAUUUAAGUAUGGCAUUAAUUUGGUUCUGGUAAACAGAACAAGCUUUGACAAUAUUUAAAUUCCUUGUUUUUGGUUUUUCAAUAAAAGGGAAAACAAGUUUUUGGUCUUUUGCUUUGAAAGAUAUACUAUUAUAAUUAACAGUAUAUGGGGUAAUAAGGUUAAUGAAGGGAGUUCCCAAUAUAACAGUGUGAUGGAUAUCAUUUGUUAAAAGAAAGGAAGUCCUGAAUUCAAAACCAUUAUUAUGAAUUGAAGCAUCGACUUUUGAUUUGAUUUUUAAUUUCGAAUUAUUGGCGGCAGAUAAUCUUUCUUUUGUCUUCUCAUGAAAUUUUUUAGGGACAAUAUCUUCUUUAAUACAGUUUAGGUCGGCACCAGUGUCAAAAAGAGCAAUGGUGUCAAUUUUAAAAUCUUUAGAAAAAAUCAAAGUGGUUUUAAUUAAAUAUUUUCUGGUGGUGAUUUGUUUUAGGGCAAACAGAAAAUCUUCAGGUAUAGAUUCAUGUGUUGUACCAGGCUUGUUGAUAAUCCCAGUAGGAGAAAGUCAAACAAUGUGGUAAACGCAUUUGGAAAUUGGAGGGAAAUCUUUUUUGAUUAUGGAGUAGGUCACCCCAUUGUUUUGGGCUCAAAACCUUUAAAAUUGUAGCAGUUGAAUAGGCCGGCUCAGAAUGGGAGUCAAUGAGGAAAAAAUGUUUGAAUUUAACUGAUUCAGUGGCUUCCAAAAUACUUUGAUAAUAAGGCUGGGGUUUUGUCAAAUCGCAUGGUUUAAAAAACCAGCCUUUAGGGAAGAACUUUGUAAGGGUUUGAAAUGGAUCAGAAUGUUAAAACCCAUCUUCUAUAGUUAAAAUAUUUUGGGAAUGAGCUUUAUCAAACCAAACCGAAGUCUUUUGUGUUGGUUGUGAAAGAACGAUCUGUGAUGAUGAGCUUUCACCAGAAACAACUACAUUUUGUGAAAGAGAUUUUGUAAUUUCUUUUGGGCUUUCUUUUUCAAAAAUGUCUUUUGAAGGUGUUUGGCUUUGAGAAAAGGAGCUUUGUAGGGCGAGCAUGAGCUCAGGUGAUUUGGAAAUGGAUUUCAUCCAUUGGUUUACUUGCUCUUGGGUAGAGAGGGCUUUAGAUUUUGCUUCUUCAUCUUCGAUCAUGUCAAUCCAAGAUCUGAUUGGCAUGGCAGAUGAUAGUAAUUUUUCUUUAGGAGAAGAGGAUUGGGAGUCUUUAGGAGUGGCUUUAGGUUCAGGGUCAUUGGCUAUGCCUUUUCCUUUGUCUCUCCUUGUUUUCGGCGGCAUUAUCUGUUUUGAAGAAAUUCCCGAGUUAGAAAAUCAGGAAUAGAAUUUGUAUCACCUUUAAUAUAUUCAAUAUCAAAAUAAAAAACACUUAAAAUAGCUUGCCAUCGUGCAAAAAUCUGUUUUGAUGCAAUAUUUUGAACAUCUUUUUCUAAAACAUGUUUUGCAGCUUUGCAGUCUAUCCUGAGCAAAAAUUUUUUAUUUAAUAAGUCACUUUGGAAUUUAGAUAUGCACAAAACAAUUGAAAGAAUUUCUUUUUUUAUGGUUGAAUAAUUCUUUUGACAUUCAUUCCAAUGAGCAUAAACAUAUUGAACUAUUUGUUCUUUAUCAUUUUCUUUUUGCUUUAAUAUGCCUCCAUAGCCUAAAUCAGAUGCAUCUGUUUCAACAAUUUUAGGCAAUGCAGGGUUUGCAAGAAAUAAACAUGGAAUUUUUUUUACAGAAUGCUUUAUUAAUCUAACAACUUUUGUAUGUUCAUCUGUCCAUGGAGCAGGAUUCUUUUUUAACCUAUCAUGCAAAGGUUUAGACAUCCUAUUAAUGUUAGGACAGAAAUCAAGAACAUAAUUCAAACUUCCAAGAAAUCUUUGUAAUUGGGUUUUGUCAAGAAUUUUAUCAGGAAAUUUAUCAGCAAACAAAAGAGAUCGCUCAAUCGGAGUAAUUGUUCCUUUAGAAAUAUGAUGACCAAAGAAUCUGACUUUUGUCUGAAAUAAAGAAACUUUAGAACGAGAAAUUGCCAAUCCAGCCUUUCUGGUGGCAAAAUAAAAAGUCUUUAAAUGUUUGAAGUGUUGAUCGAUUGAGUUUGAAAAUAUCAACACAUCAUCAAUAUAGACAAUGCAAAAAUCAGAAUAAGGAUUAUAAAUAUCAUUCAUAAUUCUUUCUCCAAUAAAGCAUUAAAAUUUUGUACUUAAAAAAAAAAAAAAUUUCACAUUUUGUAUACACGGGUGGUCCUUUGGACACAAGUGAGAGCGCACAUAUCUCUUCACCCAUAUUGUAUAUUGUAUAAAGUAUAUAUAUAUAUAUAUAUAUAUAUAUAUAUAUAUAUGGUUUGACACUUUGAGCUGGAUCUCCCACAAAUCUAAAUUAAAGUUGUAUCCAUUUUAAAUUGAGUAAUGCUAUGCUUAUCAGUUCUAGAAGUUUAAGGGUUGAAUUUUGAAAUUGUAAGAAUUUUAAAUUUUUUUAUUAAUUUAAUUAAUAUUUAGUAGAUUAAUUCAUUUUUAAUUUAUUAGAUUGGUAAAAACACAAUGAAUUUUUAAUUGAUUAAAAUUUAUGUUUAUUGAAUUGUAUAUACACUUUAUAAAUUGAUAAAUUAUUAAUAUUGCUUAAUUAAUACUUCUUUUAAAUUAAUAAAUUUUAUAUGAUAGAAAAUUAUUAAUUUAUAAAAAUUUAACUGUACUUUAAAUUCUUUUUCACCAAACUAAACUAUUAACCUUUAGAUAGAAAAAACCAUUUUUACUACAACAGUAUGCAAGGAAGUGAAGCAUCUGCGUCAGCACAGCGUUUUGGGCGCUGUUGAUUUUACAUAAUAAAACGAAGUCAGCUUUCAUAAUCCACCGUCCAAACCCACAUCAACUUCAAUCACUUCCCCUAAUUGAUCAUUCUUCUUCAUGUUAUUUCUUAGUUCCUAUAAUUAUCAAAAACCUUAAACACUUGAAGUAGCUGAAUAGAGAAACGGAGGAUGUCAGUGUCGUCUUCACCAUUCCCGGUUAGCUUUUUAUACAUGGGAUUGUCUAUUUAUUUCUUUAUUUUUGUUUUUGAUUGAAAAAAGUUUUGUAUGUUUGAUGAAUUGUGUUGAAAUGGUAUAUGGGUUGUUUGGUUUCCUGCAAAUGAUAAUAGGGAACUAUAAUUUGUAGAGGAUCUUAAAGAACUGUACUACCCGAAAUUAAUAGUGUACUUGAUCUUCAACCUCGUAUGAUUCUUAUAUGCUUUACUAAUUUGUUGGAUAACAGUUGUUGCAUCUUUGGCGUGAUAGAGGCUUACAAAUGGGGAGUACAACCAGUUUUGCUAAGUUUCUAGUAUAAUAGAGUCAUACGUUAGUUAUGUGUAUGUACAAUUUUCUUGUUUUUGUUGUAUACAGAUGGCAGCAAAAAAUGUUCACACAGUAACUGGUGAUCGUUUUGUGAUAUAUGGAGGUUCUGCCACUGUAUGCUGAAGGUUUUGAGGCUUAAAGCUAUGGUUACUUGAGAGAUUGAUCCUUAGGCAUUGCAAUAAAAAGCAUGGACUACUGACUGAGUCUAAGAUUUUAAAGAAUCAAGACAAGGAUCAGUUUGAUAUUCAUCUAGAAACUAGUUUAUCAAAUGAUUCACGAGAGUCUGAAGGAGUUUCGACAUUAUCUAAACCUAAUGGUCAGUAAAGACUAUUUUAAGUUAACCUCUUUAUUAUAAUAAGUUGUUAUGUCUAUCAAUGUGAAUUUAUAUUGGCAUAUUUAUUUUCUCAUAUUUUGCAAUUGAAAACUUAAAAUCUCUAGAUUGUUGAACUGAGAGUUCUGUUGGAGAAACAAAAAGAGACAUGCAAGCAUAAAUUUGCUUAAUGUUUUGUGUGUAAUGCGCAAGCAAGAUCAUAACUGAUUCUAGCCUUGCGUACGGUUGAUUGGGUAUACUUUGGUAUGGCACAAAUAGUCCUCUUUUUUUUUUCUUCUUCUUCUUCUCCUAAUGAUAGCUGGUCCACUAUCUGAUUUUAAUCUUCUUUACCAAUACAUUUUUGAGUUUCUUACCCAAAAAAAAGAAAUGUGAAAGCAAGAUUAGAAAGCAGUGGUAAUCAAUUUCUAAUACGGCAGUGAAGUUGAGGAAUAUACUUGUUAAAAUUGCUAACCUUUUGCGAAUCUCCCUAACUUCGUGUGUCUUAUUGAAUCUGCAGAAAGCUAGAAAGGCAUCAAUUUUAACAAGUUGUAGCUUUAUCAACUAUUUUGCAGGUUAUGUGAAUGUGAUUGUAAUAACAAAAGAUGAGUUUUGAAAAUCCUUAGGAAGAAUAUAUUUAUUUCUUAUGAGGUAAAUCUCAAAUUCUUCUAUCCUUGUCAGCACCAUUUUGAUAGAACUCCACAGUUUUUUGACCAAAAAGGUUGUGGGGCAGCAUGCGAAUGAUUUUGCUUUUGCAGAGGCUAUUUUGUAUUGCCUAAUUCUUAUGAAAGUUCUGUAGAAGGUUUUAUAUUUGUUUUGCAAGGAAGGACAUCUAGUCCACCUUUCUCUGUAAAGCCUUUUAUACUAAUAAAUAUUCUGUUUCUAACCCCUGCCUUCGCAAAAGUAAAAACUGAAGACAACAAAAUUUGAUUGCAUGCGGUCAUGUCGAUAAGAAGCUCACUCAUUUCAGGUCAAAGUCUGGAGGUGAAUUUGCAGAUUGGAACCAAGCAAUGUCAUUCUUGGCCAAUAUAAAGCUACCUCUGGAGACAAGGUUGAUGUUAAAUUGAACAGUCUGCCCCCUCUGUAUUUUGAUGUUGUAUUACACAUUGACAAUGCAAGUUGGGAUGGUGUGCCUUUUCUCAUAAAAGCUGGCACGGGACUAAUCAGACACAGGUAAUAGCUAUUUCAGUUCUGAUGUUUAUUUUCAUCAAAGAUAGAUAUUGUCGUUGUUUGUACAUUACUAGAUUAUGGUAGGAACCUAGAACACACACUUAUAAAUCCGGGUUGUAAGGGAAGGGUAACCAUUAGUUUAUAUUCCCAUUUAGAUUUACGGCUUACAAAAUUUCUAAAAUCAUAAAUUUAAGAAACAAAUUAUUAUCAUUGAUGUAGUCUACUUCAAUUUUUUCACGACAUUCCAGUUCAAUAUCUAUGUGUGUGUUAUCUCCUAUCUCAUAAUUCACAUAGUCUAGUUCAAUGCUUCAUAACUUCUGUAAUUGUUGUCUUCACUUCACUGAUCAAGAUAAUGCACUAACUAUGGAAGUAGAAAGGCUGUAGUCUUGUAUAAUGAAAUGCCCAUUUCAUUAAUGACUGAACAAUCUUUUAUUUCUCAAACACUUGUGAUUCAGAGAUUUUUGUAUAAAGAGCUAAAACUAAUGAUUACCAUCUCUAAGAGUAAAGACAGAGUUGGCUUAAACCAACAUUUCUUUUGCAAUACAAGAUGUGCUCACCAACGUUAGCCAUAUAAUUAUAGAGUGAAGAUACGUAUACAGUUUCUUCAUGUUCUAGGGAACAUCUAUAAUGAACGAUUUGGGCAUAACAUCGAUCUUGCCACAAAUGAACUAAUAUUACGCGAUGUGCCUGAUGACGCCAUUCUAGUUAGAGUCAACAAUAAAGUUCCAGGAUUAGGCUUGCAAUUGGAUGCUUCGGAGCUUAAUUUGCUCUAUAAGGAUAAGUAAGCACUUUAGUUUAUGGAACUUCUUCUGUUUCUGCUAUUGACUUGUCGUCACCUUUGAUGUCCUUCAUGUGCUUGUCUUUUGUGUUGGUACUGUAGGUAUAAUGUGGAGGUGCCUGAUUCAUACGAGCAUCUUCUUCUUGAUGUUAUCAACGGCAACAACCAUCUCUUCAUGAGAAGUGAUGAGCUUACUGCUGCAUGGAAUAUUUUAAACCCCGUUUUAUAGGAAAUAGACAAGAACAAUAUUGCACCAGAACUAUACGAGCUGGGUGGUAGAGGUCCCGUUGGAGUGUAUUGUCUUUGGCUGAAACAUGGGGUUCAUUAGACUGAAGAUUAGAAGCAACACUUGUUAUAGGGUAAUGUUGCCAAUCUUUCCACAACUAAGACAAAUACAUGGUAGCUUUGUACAUGUAAAUUGUGUGAAAUUAGGCUUGAGAAAUGCCAAUCCGGAUUCAGAGGGUAAUUGUCAAUAGCAUAAACCCUUUAUUGAAAUUGGAUUUUUCUUGUAGGUGAUUUGGGUCAUGCUAAAAAACGAUGAGCUGAGACUUAGUUUGAGAUAACGGGUAGCAUGCAUCUGAGUCUUAACCAUAUGAAAGACUUUCAAUUUUUAAUCACAAGAUAAUUAAUAGCAUCACAUAAUUGACUCAUAAGAGAAAUGAAAGCUUAAGAUUUAAAAAAAGAAAAACAAUUUAAAGGGUAACUCACCAAACAAUAUAAACACAAUUAACUCAAUAGCAAAAAGGUCACUUGCAAUAAAAUUUAAAGCGUAACUCACCAAACAAUAGGAGAAGACUUAAGAACAAAAGCCUUAAUCUAUUUUAUAGAGGACUUUAAUUUUUAAUCUCAAGACGAGUAAUUCAACGGAAGAAAAGUCAGUUACAAUAAAGCGCAUCAUGGAAUCCCUGAUAGAAACUUAAGUGUUUAUGUUUGGCAGUCGAGAAAGCUAAAGAAAAUGAAAGAAAAUCUCUUUCUGGAAACUUAUAGAAUAUUCACAUUAAUAUCAUGAGUACAGCUUACACACAUAUAUAUAUAUAGAAGCUCAGCUGAGCUUGUUACAGUUCGUUAGCUAAUUUGUUACACACACGUGAGAGCUAACCCAAAUAACUAAACACACACGUGAGAGCUAACCCAAAUAACUAACUAAUCCACGUCAGCUUAAGUGAGCUGAUUAGCUGCUGUCAAGAGCACAAUAAGAGCAUGUACACGAUUUCUCUGUUCCUUCUCAUUUAAUCAGUUUCACUAACAUCCCUCCUUGAACUGGAGUUUCUUCUUCUCUUAUUACUUCUUUCCUCUCCUCUUCUUACUUUAUCAACUUCACUGACAAUCCCAAACAUAAUUUUAUUCUUUUAUUGAUAAAGUCAGUUCAUAUUACAAUUAAAUUACAGGUUGGAAAAAAAAAACAGAAAUUAUGAUUACACAAUCUAAUUGAUGGGUCUUCAUUCAAAAAGCGAUCUGAAAUUAAUUUCGACACAAGGUAUAUGGGAAAUCAUGGGCCAAUAUUUUCCUUCAUCCUUUCUGCACCUUUCUUCUAUCAGCGGGCAAUCAACGAUAUGUAGUUGCAAAAGUGAUUUAGGCAGGCCCUGCUCUGGAAAGUAUGUGAGCUUCGGACAAAAACGAAGAUCCAGAUAUUUCAAUGAAGUUAGGUUUUCACCAAUUGAGGAUAGGCAUUCCAGAUCUGGCAUAUCUGAAAUCCACAGUUCCGUUAGAGAGGCAGGAAACGGCGGAGGUGACACCAGGUCUGGGCAUCCUCCUCUAAUUUGUAAUUCCCUGAGAGAGGUGAAUCUGUUCGAUCCCCACUCGAGCAAUUGCUUUGAUAUCUUCAGAUCAUGAACCUCAAGAGAUUGGAGGUUGGUGGGAAAACCAUCCUCUGGGAAUGAUACCACGCUAGCGCACCGUCGUAUUUCUAAAUUUAGAAGAGAGGCGAGAUUGUGCAUGCAGUUGGGUAAGGCCUUCAGAUUCUCACAACCGCAUAUCGUGAGCUCAGUCAGUUUCGUAGAAGGCAAUCCUUCUUCGGGAAAUGACUCAAGAUUUGGGCAUCCAACUAUCGAAAUCUUUUGAAGAUGGUGGAGAUUAUGCAAACCGGCAGGUAAUGAUUUAAGAUUUUCAAGGUUGUAAAUACGAAUUUCUUCAAGGGAUGUGUUGUCCAACCUUUCUGCUAACGACUCCAGCUUUGAACAGUCUCUGAUGUGGAGGUACUUAAGAGCCUGAGGUAGAUUUCCAUUCCGUGACAAGAAAGCAAGAUUCGAGCAAGAACUGACCUCAAGGUGCUCCAGCGUGGCAGGUAACUCGUUUUCUGAAGAAAAGGAUGUGAGGCAGGUGCACCCACUGCUGCUACCGCGGAUGUCCUGUUCCCCUGUCAAAGUCCUUAAAUUAUCACAUCUAAAGAUAAUCAGCCGCUUCAAGCUCGGAGGUAGCUGGAUUCUGGCAAUAUAUCUCAAAGAAUCACAGUUAUGAAUUUUCAGACUUUCGAUAGAUGUACUGCUAUUUUGCAUCCAUGCCUCAGGGAAGGAUUCCAAAGCAUCGCAUCUUGCUAUUGUAAUUGUUCUCAACUGGGAAGGCAAAGCAACCUCUGGAAAUGAAACAAGUGACUUACAACCCCGAAUCUCCAAACUCUGAAGAGAUGAAUUGGAGUUGUGCAUCCAUGCCUCAGGUAAGGAUUCCAAAGCAUCGCAAUCUUCAAUUACAACUGAUCUCAACUGGGAAGGCAGAGCAACCUCUGGAAAUGAAACAAGUGAAUUGCAACUCCGAAUCACCAAACUCUCAAGAGAUGAAUUGGAGUUGUGCAUCCAUGCCUCAGGUAAGGAUUCCAAAGCAUUGCAAUCUUCAAUUUUAACUGUUCUCAACCGGGAAGGCAGAGCAGCCUGAGGAAAGGAAACAAGGGAAGCGCAGCCAUGUAUCCGCAUCUCAGUAAGGGAACUAAGGGUGAGCAAUGCUUGUGGUAGCCUUGUAAGGCCUCCACAAUUCCUCAAUUCCAAAAAACGAAGUCUGCACGGCAACUCUGGCUGUUGUCGGUCAUGUUCUUCCUCUGUGACCAAGGAAAGCAGUCGAGGACAACUUGAAAUCUGCAACCGAUUAAGGGAUCUAACGUCUUGCAGCAACCGAGUUUCACUCCGCCAUAAAUAUGUUUGCUCUUGAACAUCAUCAAUCUCUAAACUUUCCAAUUUAGGUAGCCCUUGUUCAAAUAGACCUGGUAAAACCACUUCAACUGCAAUUUGCACUAAAUGUGGGCUGCUGAACACCACCCUUUUACAUCCAUAGAUUCGUAAUUCACGGAGAGCUGGUAGACAUUGAAUUGUCACUAGCAACUGAUGACAACUUCGGAUGACGAGCGUCUCCAAUAAAGGAAGUCGUUUGGGCAAUGUUCCUUGAAGUUUAGAACAAUCGAUAAGAGAAAGCUUUCGCAGCUUAGGAAACACUUCAUCAACUUCUUGACCAGCUCCGCAAGGAAUCCACUCUUCCCAUUCUCUCAUGUAGAAAAAGGAAAGAGUCACAAGUGAUGGAAAGGGCACUGAGCAACUGCUUCCAUAAAACUCCAACCCCACGCUCUUUACUCCGUCCAUUCCACUUAUAUCAAGUUCCUUUAGAAGCGGUAGUUGUCCAACUGAUGGCAAAGAUGUACACGUGCACAUAAAUAAUUCUAGACGCGCCAAUUUUGAGAAAGAGGAAUCUCCUAGCCAAAUUGGAAAUGUUGUACCACCGUAGCCUGUGAUGGUGAGCUCUUGUACAUCUCGAUGUGGUUUUAGCAUGCGAAGAACAUCUGCCUCAAAUUUACACCGGUCAAGAUUCCGAACGUCCCGUGCACUCCAUUCGAGAAAUAAAGCUUUAAGAUUCUCCUUGUUGUUUAACUGAGCCUCACUGGCAUCGCCAACAUCUUUCACAUUCUCCAACUUCGAAAUUUUCAGUCUCCCCUGAAGAUGCGCCAAAGACUUUAACUGUCGUAGCCGAGAACCACUGUCUUUUCCCACAACAAAUCUACCCAGCGUCAAGAGACAAGUCAAUUUACCGAAUCCCUUCGGCAUUUCCUCCAAUUCAUAGGCAUCAGAAUUUCUUAGAUGACGCAGUUUCGUCAGGUUUCCCAUGUCUUUACACAACUUCUUGAGCUUCCGACAGUCUUCCAACAAAAUUGUAUGCAAGUUGUACAAUGAAUUAAUUGACUCGGGCAAAAUUUGAAUACUCGUUCUGGAUAAGUUGAGACAGCGUAAAUGCUUCAAGUUUCCAAUUUCAUUUGGUAGGUUGAAGAUGUUACAAUACCCGCGCAGAGAAAAGACCCUUAAGCGUGGGAGAUGAUUCAGCAACAUCUGAAGAACACUCCAAGCCAAAUAAUUGUCCCUGUAAUCUGACAAAUUUACUGGCAAAAAGGUUCGCAAAUGCUCCACAUCAGAGACGGACUUCAACCUCUUUUCGCCAUCAUAUUGUCCACGAAUGUACGAAAAAUGACGAAGACUUUGACAAAACUUUUGUCCGUUUUCUCCCUCUAAGGUAUCGUCCAUUCUGAAGCACAUCUCCCCUGCAGCCCACCAAGCAAGGUCAUUGAUUAGGUCAUGCAUCACAAAUCGGGACGCACCUUUACUUGACUGUUGAAAUAACGACCUUGAAUGUAACUCCCGAAAGAACGCACGGCCCAAAUCUUCCAUUUUCCUUCCAUUGUAUUGUUGAUCCAAGAAACCUUCAGCCGUCCACAAUAAAAUUAUCUCAUCUUCUUCAAAUUCAUAAUCUUUGGGAAACAAUGAGCAGUAUGCGAAGCACCGUUUCAACUGUGGAGGAAGAAAAUGGUAGCUCACUCUUAGGGCUGGUACAAUAUCACAUUUGUCCUCUCGAAAAUCCCAUAUGUUAGUAUUGAGCACAAAUUCCCAGUCAUUCAAGUCAUCUUUGCCGCUUAAAAGGCCGCCAAGAGUUUUCGCAGCCAAAGGCAAUCCUUUGCACUUCUUCGCUAUCUUCUCUGCAACUUCCUUCAAGGAUUGAUUCAUGCUGAAAUCCCUAGCCCCUAAGGAGUGUUGGAUGAGCACACGCAAACAAUCAUUGUCCGACAACUCUUUCAAUCCAUAUUUUGGAUAAGCCCUCGUCAGUUUUGCAACGUCUAGAUUGCGAGUUGUGACAACAAUCUUACUUCCGGGUGCGCCAGCUCCAAAGGGACAGCUGAGGGUGCACCAAGAAUUGUAAUUCUCGUUCCACAAGUCGUCCAAAACGAGCAAAAAUUUCUUUCCAGACAAUCGCUCCUUCAGUUUCACUUGAAGCAAAUUUAAAUCAUCUUUGUCCUUACACUGAUCACUAGCAAUGGAAUUUAGGAUAGAUUUUGAAACCCUAAAAACAUCAAAAUCCUCAGAGACACAAGUCCACGCUUUGAUCUGAAAAUGACGUUGCACUCGAUCAUCGUUAUAGACAAGCUGAGCAAGAGUCGUCUUCCCGACGCCGCCCAUUCCAUUUAUAGAAAUAACAGAGAAUCCAUCAUCAGCUCUUAAAUCAUCAUUCAACAACAAUUCAAUAAUCUCCUCCAUCUCUUUUCCCCUGCCAUAAACUUUGGCUUCAGUCACCAAAGAAGUUGUGGGUGGUAUUUGUCUGACAUUUCUAGACUUCUCAUUUUUCAGAUUCAGCAGGUCUUUUCUCCUUUCAAUAUCUUGCAACCGAGCAGUGACCUCCUCUAUUUGCGACACCAUCUUGGAUUCAAACUGAAUAGAUCGAGGACUAAAGUUGGUGCAACAAGUGGGAAUGAGCUUCCGAAACUGACUUGUGUUUGCACUCGAACUGGGUUGAUCAGCAGCAGCUGGUUCUUGAAGCAGCAACUCCCUCCGCAGAGCUUCAGUUUCGAACUCAUCCAACACGUCUUGAACAUCAUAAGCCAAGUUCUGAAGAUCGUCGAGCCACAUCUUCACCGACUCCUCCUUUGUCUGCCUAUCCUCAGCAUCUGCAAGCACUGCCUUAAUCAUCUUCAACAUUCCCUUCCACUUGAUGAAAUCAGCCUUCAACUUCUUAUGCCGUGUAAACAGUUCAAGUCCCUUUGAAGCCAGCUUUUCGAUCAGAAACUCAACGGCCGCACUGAGCACCGCCUCUCCGAUGAAUGACAUUUUUUUUUUCUUUUUUUGGUUAAGGGAAACAGAGUAAGUUAUGAAAAAUGAAGAACAAAAAAAGAUGCAGAAAUUGAACAAAGUCUAGUUUGUGGUUGUGGUUUGUGAAUGAAGAGCAAGAGCAAGCAAGAGAAUGCAAUGUGAAAUGGAGCACACAAAAAACGAAGCUUUGUUUUUUAUCAGCACCAAUAAUUCAGCUAGCGACGACCAAAACACUGCCACGCCGAUCCACGCGUUUCUGCCACCAAAGUCAAGCGUUAGUAAUCAGUUGGGUUAUUUAUUUUUUAUCAGUUGAAUUAUUAUAUAAAAUAUUUUAAAAUUGUUUGAUGAUUAAUUAUUAAUUAAAUAUUUAAAUAGUUUUAUUAUACACAAUAAAAAAAUCUCAUAUGUAAUAUUAUAUAAUUUCAAUAAUUUAUAUUUGUUUAUUGUAACUUGACUAUUUAAUACUAAUUUAUUAUAUAUAUAAAUCAACCUUUUUAUUAACUAUCAUUAAAUUAAUUUUAAUUUUUACUGAUAGUAAGAGGUAAACGCAUUUAAUAUUAACAUGAACGCGCAAAUAUAUUUUUGCCAUUAGAGAAGCACGGGUAGUUUGAUUUGUUUAUUUAUCAUAGACGUCAUUUAUCAUUUGAUUAUUAUAUAAAAUAUUUUAUAAAUAAUUAGAUGAAUUUAAGUAUAGAUAAAUUAAUCGGUCGUUUUAGGCCCAUAUUUUAAAUAGACCUUAAUUAAUAUUAUUUGAGAUAAGGCCUAAUUCUUUUUAUUUAUUUAUUAAAAUAAAUUAUAAAAGAUUAUCAUCUUUAUCGUAUUUUUAUAAAAGCAAGAGUAAAUUAUGAAAAAUGAAGAAAAAAAUGUGCAGAAAUUGAACAAAGCCUAGUUUGUGGUCGUCAAUCCACGCGUUUCUAACUCUAAAGUCAAGCAUGAGUAAUUGGUUGAGUUAUUUAUCUUUUACCAUUUGAUUAUUAUAUAAAAUAUUUUAAAAUCAUUUGAUAAAUAAUCAUCAAUCAAAUAUUUAAAUAGGUUUAUUUAUUUUAUUUAAUACACAAUAAUAUAUCUGAUACGUACUAAUGUAUAAUUUAAAUAAUCUAUGUUUAUUUGUAGUGAUUAUGACUAGCUAAUAGUAACUUACCACUAGAUGUCUUUUAAAUUAAUUUUAGUUUUAUUGAUUGUGAGUGGUGAGAUUUCUCUCUGAAUCGGAAUCAUUAAAGUUAUCCAAUUAAUUUUGGGUGUAAAUAAUUUUUUGGGAAGUAUUUCAUAAGUUCCAAUUAUUUAAUUUUAGCCAAAUAAAAUUAAAUAAUUCUCCUGAAAUACCCAGAGAUGGUUAAGUACUAUUAUUAUUACUAUUAUUAUUAUUAUUUUGAUAAAGUUAAAUACUAUUAUUUAAUUAUAAUUGGAAAAGAUAAAAUCUACGUAGAUUGAACGAAGUCCGGUUUGUGACUGGAGCAAAAGCAAGCAAGAGAAUCCAAUGUGAAUUUGGUCGACAAUAACUAGCUCUACUUGACCCACCAUGCACCAAUAAUAAUUCAGCUCUGCUACUGCGAGGAAAUUGCAGCAUUUAUGCCACGCAAGUGGCGUAAGCCGUGCUCUACGAAUUCCAAUAAUACGACAAUUCUCUAAAUAAAAGUCAGUCUAGCGACGACCAAAAUACGACUACGCGGACGCAUCUCCACCGCUAGAAAGGCAUGAGCAAUUUGGUUUUGAUAUAAUCUAUUUAUUUUACUAAGAUCAGUUUUAAGCAUAGGCAAAUUAAGCUGUCGGCUGAACUCCAUUUUAGUUAUUUUUUAAUAAUAUCUAAUUAAUUUAAAAUACGAUAUAAUUUCUUAAAAUAUAAAAUCUAUUGUUAUAUCUUAUCAAUAAUUCAUUAUCUCAACCAUCUAAGUGCUAUUAUUCUAAAUAUUUUAUUUAAAUUUUAUAUUGUUCUUAUUUAUUUAAUUUAUAAAAGUUCUGCUCGAAAUAAAAAAGAUAUCUUCUUGAUUACUUUUUUAAGGAUUUUUUUAAAAUUAUUUAGGAUGUUAUUGAUUAUUAUUGAAAUUCAAGAUAUAAUUAAAUAUUGAUGAAUUUUGAUAUCUUUUCUAUUUCAUUUAAGUGUUAAAGGUUUUAAAGAUAAGGAGGUCUCUCGAAAAAAAAUUUGCCUAAAACCUUGCAAACUCUAGUUAGAGCCAAUCUUGAUUUUAUUUAGUAGGCAAUAAUGUAUCUCACACGCACUAUCUCGCAUGUAAUAAUGUAUAAUUAAAAUAUUUUAUUUUUAUUUAUGGUAAUUAUGAAUUAAUACCUAAUAACUAAUUUAUUAUAUAUUUAAUUUUUUUUAUUAGUUGUCUUCUUUACUAGAAAUCUUGUCAUAAUUUUUAAGCCGUUGAUCAAAAUAAAAGUAACAUUUAGUCAUGUUAAAUCAUCAAAAGUUAGAUUACAUGAAAUCAUCUGCAUUUGGAUUUGGGAAGGCUGAAGAGUAAAAGCAAGCAAGAGCGGGUAAUGUGAAAUGGUGUACACAAAAACACAGCUUUACUGACCAAAACACUACCACGUCAAUCCACGCGUUUCUGCCACUAAAGUCAAGCAUGAGUAAUUGGUUGGGUUAUUUAUCUUUUGCCAUUUGAUUAUUCUAUAAAAUAUUUUAAAAUCAUUCCACAAAUAAUCAUUAAUCAAAUAUUUAAAUAGUUUUUUAUUUUAUUUUAUUUAAUACACAAUAAUCUAUCUGGUAUGUAAUAAUGUAUAAUUUAAAUAAUUUACAUUUAUUUAUAGUGAUUAUGACUAGUCAAUACUAAUUUAUCAUUAGCUGUCUUUUAAAUUAAUUUUAAAUUUUAUUGAUAGGGAGAGGUUUGCCGGUGAAAUUUGUGUCUGAGUCGGAAUCUAUCAAAGUUAUCCAAUUAAUUUUGGGCAUACAUAAUGUUUUUGUAGUAUUCAUAGGCUUCAAUUAGAGUUAAUAAUGAGACAAGAUAAGAUGAGAUUUACCAAUCUUAAUCCCAUUUCGUAUAUAUAAGUGGGAUAAAAAAAUGUCUAACUCUCAUCUUUAUUUUUUUUAAAAUAAAAAUAUGUCUCAAUUCUAUCCCAAAAAAAUAAAAUUUUGUGAGAUCUCCGCUCAAUUGAAAAAAUUCAUGUCACUAGUUGGUAAUAAAACAGAAAUAAGAUAAAAAAAAAAAUCCCACUCUCAUUCCUAUAUUUUUUUGUGAGGUAAAAAUAUAUUUUAAUUCAUCCCAAAAAUCUUAUCCCAUAAAAAAAAAUUGGCAUCUCUAGUUCCCAUUAUACCAAAGUCCAAAUUUUCGAGUUUGUCAUGAGAUGUUGAAAUUUUGCUUUUGAUGCAGCAACAAAUUAUUAAUUAAGCUUGUUCUUAGCUGUUCGAGGCCCCAUCCAAAUUGCACGUUUUCUUUUGAACUAUUCUUCUAAUAUAUUAUUGCUCUUUCAUUCAAAUAAAAUUAAAUAAUUCUUCUGAAACACCCAUGGAUAUUUAAGUACUACCACUAUUAUUAUUAUUAUUAUUAUUAUUAUUAUUAUUAUUAUUAUUAUUAUUAUUAUAUCAAGUUAAGUACUACUAUUUAAUGAUAAUUGAAAAAGAUAAAAUCUACAUAAAUUGAACGAAGUCUGGCUGGUGAAUGAAGAGCAAAAGCAAGCAGGAGAAUCCAAUGUGAAUUUGGUCAACAAUAACAAGCUCUGCUUGACCCAUCAUGCAAUGAUAAUAGUUCAGCUCCCCGCUACCGUGAGGAAAUUGCAGCAUUUAUGCCUCGCAAGUGGCGUAAGCCGUGCUCUACUAAUUCCAAUGAUACGACUACGCGGACGCAUUUCCACCACUAAAAAAGCAUGAGUAAUUCGGUAUUGCCUAUUGAUCAUAUAAAUAUUAUUUAUCAUGUGAUUAUUAUAUAAAAUAUUUUAUAAAUAAUUAAUUAAAUAUUUAUUACUUUCAUCAAAUUACUCGUUCAUUUAAGUGUUGUGAUUCUAGUUAAUUGUAGGAGAUCCACAACAAUUGCGGUCAAUUCCAGAAAUUCUAGAGUGCAUCAACAAUUGCAGUUAAUUUACUUGUUUAGCUAUAUAACAAAUAAAGAAUAUUAUAUUGUGUGUUUAUUUAUUUUGAACAAUCAACAUGCAAUUAGUAGUUGCGUUAAAUUUAACUACAUAUAUCAUACAUUCAGUUGUUAAUUAUAUUAUAUCUAAUAUACCAUAUACUUUCUCCAAUUAUAAGUUAGGCUUAAGUGAAUUAAUUUGUCUUUAUGUAAUCUUUCCCCAGAAAUAAGUUCUCUAGCUAAUUAUGAUUUGCUUUUUAUUAAUGAUUUUGAGAGAUACUAUUCAUUCUUUUAGUUAACUUGAUUCUUUCAUUAUGUUAAUUAAUUUGUGAUCUUAGUUUAAUAGGCACGGUUUAAUUACAUUCUAAAAUAUAUAUAGACACAAGAUAUUACAAAUGAAUCAUUUUCUUUUUGAUAAAUGCUCAUCCUCUUGAAUUUAUUACAUCAUAAUACAAUUUGCUAAUUGUUACAUGAUCAUAUAUCUGCCAAAAUUCUAUAUGUAUAUUUCUAAUAUGAUGAUGCAACUAUAAUUUUUAGAUUUAGAAUAAAAUGAAUAGCAAAAUGAAGAUAUUGAGACUAGAUCUAAAAUGGGCCAAACUGGCUUUCAAGUUUGAAAGAAAGAUUUUCACCGCUCUUUUUUCCUUUUACAGUAAUUUUUCAAUGCUGCUUUGUAGGAUUUUUUUUCUCUAAAAUUAAUAAGAGUUGGACUAUUUUGCACCCCUCUAUUAUUCUCUUAACACAGUUUAUUAACAAAUUUAAAGUAUCAUAUAAUUGCUACUAAACAAAUUCCAUUUAAAAUCUCUUUCUUAACUUCUUUAAGUAAAUUUUCACAUAUCUUUCUUCUUAAAGCUAUUUAAACAAUACUUUCUUCGUUUUUCUCUUAUUGGUAAUUGUAUCAUAUAAAUAAUAUAGUAGCUAAAACCUUUUUUAUUGAUUAUUUUUAGGACUCCGCUUUGAUGCCUAUUUUUUUUAUUGCAUCAAUAAUAUUUUAAUUGUAUACCAUUAUAUUUAAUUAAUGGUACACAAUAUUUGUAUUAAAAAAAUAUAAAUAAUUUAAAAAUAAUUAUAACAGGUUUGUUAAGGAUUUAAGGAAGUAGAGAAUUUUUGUAAAAUAACUGUAUCACCUUUAUAGUUUGAAACAAUUUCACUUAAAUAGUAUGUUUUAUUUAAAAAUCACUUUUCAACCCUCCUUUAAAUUUGUAAUUUGAUAACUUUUUUUAACAUAAAUGUUUCAAAAUCUAUUACUAUUAAGUAUAAAAUAUAAUAUCUAAUAAAUUAUCUAACACAAAUCAAAUAAACAAGUUGCAGUUAUAAAAUUUAUAUAUGGUAUAACACAAUAAAUGAUAGAACUAAGUACAUAUGUUUAAGUGAAUAUCAUAAAUUGUAUCAAUAAACUCAUAAGCGAAAUUGUUUGUAACCUAAAAAAAUACUUGACCACUCAUGUUUUAAUUAAAUCUAAUGCGAUAUAUUAAAAUAACUAUUAUUUUAUAUACAAUUAAGGAACAUUAUAUAAUUGAUCAUAAAGUAUGUAUUAUUUUUAACACCGAUUUAGUAUACUUAUUCCAUGAAAUUAUGGCUUAUGUUACAAUUAACAUUCUUACAUGGUAGAAAAUUAUCCAAGCCCUAUAAAAUUUAAGUUUCACAAACCUAUAUAUUUUCAUUUUAUUUUCAAAUUUCACUUUGUUAAUUUCAUUAAAGUUAAAUUUUACACAUAUUCCUAAUUACCUUUAUUUUAUGAAUCGCAAAAGAUUAUUUUAUUUAUAGUCCUUUGAUUGUAAUUAUAGAAUCUUAUGUUACUAAGAAUCAUUACUCUUAUUAUGAUAAUUAAUGGUAACAAUACAUAAAAAUAUUAACUCCAAUAAUAUUAACAUAGGAAAAAAUGAGAAAAAUUCUUUAUAUGAUUUUAUAUUUUCAUUAUAAAAACCCAGUUUAGGAUAUUUUAACGUAAAAUUUUGAUAUAAAGUUUGAGCUAUAUAUUAAUCUCUCACAAUCUAAUAGUUGAUAUUGAAAGUCAAAGCAACAUUUUAAAAUGUUAUAUUAUCCACUAUUGAAUUGCAUGAAACUAAUAGUUUACAUUUUGUGCUGAAAAUUUAAGUUAAAAUAACCUAACUCUAAAAGUAUAUAUCUUAACUCUAAAGGUACGUAUCCAAGCCAUCAUGUAGUUAUAUACACAUAUUUUUUAAUUAUAGUUGUUGAAUAAAAUAUUUCUCAUUUGUUGUGACUCAUAUAGUAUCAUUAAUAAAACAUAGAUCAAAUAAUUUAUGACAAUGCCUUCAAUGAUCAUUAAUGUUUAUUUAAUGGUUUUAUAAUUAAAUUAAUACAAUAAAUUAUUAUUAAGACCUUAUGAAAUAUCUUUAUAUAAAGUAUAAUUAAAAUAACAUUACCUAUAAAAUUGUAAAGUUAUAGAUAGUAUACAAUAAUUUUAAUUUCAAAAUGAUCUGUAUUUUUAUUUUUUUGGUGAUUUAAAAAUAUUUAUGAAUUGAUUAGAUUAAAAAUAAUUUACAGUGUGAAGAAAUGCUACAACUUAUAAAUUACUAGUUACAUAAUUACUUAUCUAUUAAAAUUAAAAUAAAGUUGAAGAUUCUAAUAUUUAAAUCCAAUGAUCCCAUUUUUUAUUGUGGGAUUUUUAUUCCAACAUAAUAGAAUUUUCAGUUGUUAAUUAAUUAAAAAAAAAUCUACAUUCACUAACCACCUGAAGUUUACAUGUUAUUCUUUAAUUGCGUUGAGUUUGGAUGCGGGUGUGGACCGUGGAGAGGAGAUGUUUGGUUAGGGGUAAAAUUGUAAACAAGAUUAAGCAGGUUUUAAAGAGGAUGUUGGAGGUGUGCGAAUAGCACCACUUAAUUAAUUGUUGCCUCUUGAGCCCAAAUUCUCUAACCUACAUCCAAGUCCAGCCAUUAGCAGUGUCAAAGAGCUUUGUUCCUUUUUAAUUUUUUUUUUUUGGGGACAAGCAUUAUCACUAUUAUUACGUCAGCUUGAGUGAAUUUAUCUUUUAGUUUAUUUAUGCGAGAAUAGUCUAACAUCAAGUAUAUGAUGUGACGGUGUCUCGUGGACCGAGUGAUUAUCAAACAGUUAUUUAACUUAUUAUCUCAAUUUAAAUUUUUGGGAAAAUAGAAAUUUAGAUAUUACCUCUUAAAAGUUAAUGACUAUUAAAAAUGGUGGGACUAUUUGAAUCCACUAAUUUUCUUUCUAAACCUUUUUUUUAAUUACGUCUUUUAUUAAAAAAAUAUUUAAUUAAUCUUUCUUCUCUUUCUCUUCUCAAUUUCACAAAUUCUCAUCAAUUUAUUUACAUAUAUUCUUUUAGUUGCAAUAACAAUAUCACUAAGAGGAACUAAACCACCAUUUAAAAAUAAAUAUCAGCAAAUUUUUAUAGGCCUUGUAAGUUAUUGAAUAUCAAGAAAUUAAUUUUUACCAAACACAAAAGGUAAUGAAUAUCAAGAACAAAAAACUCUUAGAUAGAAAAGAACAAAAAAUAUAGAUCAUGAUAUAUUAUGAAAGGCCAAAAGAAGGAAUUCAAGAAAUAGUAAAAUUAAGUGUUUACUUUGCAGAAUGUGAGAGUAGAGAGAAAAUAUGAAAUUGUAAGAUAAAGAAAAAAAAUUAUUAGUGAAGGGUAAUUUUUAGAUUUUUAAAUUUUAAUAAUAAAUUUAUUUUUUUAAAAUGGGUCUAUAGAGAAAUUUAAUGGGUUUGAAUAGUUAGCCUCGCGUUAUAAAAAAAAAAAUGUGGUGCACUGCUAGUUAUCAACUUUUUUUUUUGUCUUUUUCUAGAUCAAUUAAUUGCACUGUAAUCCUUGUUGUUUCCUAUGAAAAAAAAAAAUCAAGGGAAAUUUACACCAAUAGCCAUAAAAAUUUUGGCUUUUUCCAUCUUAACCCCCCAAACAAACCUCUAUCAACAUUAGCCAUAAAAAAACCUUUGAGACCAAAAUAUCCCUCUUUCUCAUCUCUCCCCCAACAAUCUCUCUUUCUCCCAUCUCUCCCAAACCGAAGAACCUCCCAUCGUCGGCGGCUAGCAUGAAGCAACCCAUCUUAAGGGAAGGAACUUGGCAUAAUCUGUUCGAAACUGCAAAUAUGUUCCUCAACAGAGCCAAAUAUAUACCCUAUUUGUGCACUCUCUUAGUCUUUUUCUUCUCUCUCACUCAAAAUACACUGCCCCUGCCCCUGCCCGUUCCCAUAAUGCUUCCAAUCAAACUCCUCCAGCUGCAUAAGUUAUGUAAUAUUUUAUAUAGGUGCACAAUAAUUUUAUUUUUUAUUUUAUUGGGGUGAGAAAGGGUAUAACUUCAAUUAACUUAAACAUGUGGAACCAGCAGUUUCCAUAUUUAUUUUACUUCCAUGCGCUCGAUGAAUGAAGGUUGCGUUGAUAAAGAAGAAAAUUUUGAAUCUUUUGUUUUGUUUCUUUGCAUGUAAAAGAAGCAAUAUUUUGACCCUCAUUGAGUUAAAAGUAUGAAUAGUUGUAAAAUGGCUCAUUCCAUCGGACGCCAAGACUUCUGUAAUAACUUGGGGGUGUCAUAAGAUAACAUUAGACUUCAAUUUCAUCUGUUUCUUUUUGUCCUUUGGCAACCAAUAGGAGAUAUAUUGAACGACGAAGAUCUGGGAAUUGGGGCGUCAAUAAUUGGUUACUGGAGUAAGCGGAUGUCUCUGGUCGCAGUUCAUUGGCAGGCGGGAAGGCAGAGGAGGAUGAUAAGGUCAUAAGGAUGACUAGGAGACUGCACUGAGAGAGGCAAAGGAGAAAAUAAGGGCAAAACUCAUUUGUUAAGUUACUGAUGCAGGAUCUGAUUAUGGGUAUGAUGAGCUUGUUUGGUCCUCGUUUGACACCAUUAAGGAACCUUGGUGCGACAGGUUGCCUGUCGCAACCUGUCGCACCAAGGCUUAGUGCGACAGGCAGCCUGUCGCCAGAUUCACCCCGACUCGCAGUUCACUGAAACUCUUGAGCAAGUUGAGAAAAUAAAUCAUACCACUAUGUGAUGCCGAUUAGUGUUGGAUCCGGAUAGAUUAUUAUCGGAUUUCACUUUUAUCGUUGUCUUUUGCUGUCGUCGUUGGUUGAUGAUUUAAGAGUGGAAAACUGCUUUUGGUUUAACGAAAGGGGAGAAAGGAAGUUGCUUUUGGUUUGUAAAGAAGGGUAAUUUGGGGAGAGAAGCGUGUGUUUGGCUAAUGUUGAUAGAAAAAAGUUGAGAGGGUUAAUUGUGAAAAUAGCAAAAGUUUUAUGGUUAUUUUCAUAAAUUUCCCAAAAAUCAAAGGUUUCAAAAUUUUUAUACAUGAAUCCUUCUUUUUCUCAAUCUACUUCUUUAUAUCAACACAAAAAUAUCUUUCAAUAUAAAACAGUAAGGCAAUGUUUAGAUGUUGAAGAAAAGGUAGAAUUAAACUAAUUUGUAAAAUAAAAAUAUUAGCCCAAUCCAGAAUCAUGUUCGUUGUUAGGAUUAAUAAACUUGUCCAAAUUUUAUCCCAAUAUUCAUAGGAUUAUCAAUCUCCAUCACAUGAAUUUAGAUAGGAUUAGAUAUCUUAUAAUCUAAAUUUGUUACUAAUAUUAAAUUUUUAUUUAAUAAUUCACCUUAAACUUUUUCUAAAUUUAAGAUUAAAUUGAAAAUUUAUUUCAAUAAUUUAUUUUAACUCGUUUAUAAUUCACUAAAGAUAAAAAAAUUAUUCAAUUAUUCAAUUACAAUAAUAUCAAAAAGUUUAAGUAUUAAAUUUAACAACUAAUAAUAUGCUUUAAAAAUAAUAAAUUAUUUAAAUAGUUGUUUUAUCUUCCCUAAAUUAAAUCUAACACAGUCCUGUCCAAAAUUAUAUUAAACAAAAGAUAAUACUAUAUAAUUUAAUAUAAUCCAAAUUAAUUCCUUCUAAGAAGGGUAAAAAUUAUUUCAAUCCAAUCCAAUCUUUCAAUAGUACCUAAUAAAAUUUAAAAAGUGCAAAUUAUUAUUUAUAAAAUGUCACAUCAGAUAUCUUUUGAAUUGACAAUAAAAAACAAAGUUCCUAAUCUCAAUCUCAAUUCUUAACGAUCCCAAUUGGAAUCCAAAAUGUCCAAUUCUUCAAGAAAUAAAUAGCAACGAAUUUGAAGCUUUUUUUUUUUUUUUUUGCAAUGGAUGGCUAUCAUUUUUAUUAAAUAAAACAAAGACCAGAAAGAAAAUUAAAAAUUAAAAAAAAAGUAGACUUGAUGGGCCAAAAUGAUUCCAACGAAUGUAUAAAGACACAAAGCAAAAUGUCACAAUGCAUGGCGUCACAUUUAUUUCGUGUAAAACAUUACGUUAUGGGCAUGAUGCGAAUAAUUAUUCUUGGUCACCUAACCUAACCGCUUCCCACUUUUUUUUCCCCAAUAAGUACGUAGCCUUCUUUUGAAUUACCAUUUAACCCUUCUCUCCCUCUCACUCUUAUUUUUAUUUUUGCAUUUAUAUUUUCAACCCCUUAAUAUUAUUCUAUUGAUAAAUCGAAAAAUCAAGAUUUUCUCAAUAUUUGAUCUUUUCUUUAUUAAUUACAAGGUGAUUUAUUCUAAUAUAAGAGAAAAUAUAAAGCGGUUUAAUCUUAAUUAAAUAUAUUUAUUAAUUCAUACUAAACACAAAAUAUUUAAAAGAAGGGUAAUUUUUAAAAAUUUUUGCUGAAGUUUGGGGUAUUCUUCAUUUGAUAGAAUGUAUUGGCAUAUUUUCAUAAACCUUCCCUCGUGAGUAUUUUAUUUUCUAUAAGUUAAGCUGACGAGGGUAAGUUCAUAAUUGAAUAAGUUAAUAACAAAAAAGUUCAAACAAAUUUAAUAUUUUCACCUUGGGCUUUGAAAUUGGUUUGAACUUUGUUAAUAUCCAUAGAGAAAUAGACUGAAACAUGCUUUUACACUCUGUACAAUGAAACGUGCUUUUGCUCAACAGAUAUUUAAUACAAAAUAAAAAAUUCUCAUCUCUUUCCUCUACCAAAUCCGAAGCAACCAAGCUCAAACUCCAUUUCAUUUCUCUCUUAUACUUUCAUCAAGUAUUUUGCCCAUAAAUUGAGGACCGUGAUGGUGGAGCUUAUGACUCCAAUACGGGUGAUGAACGAUUCAAGGCUGCGAGGUGAGAGAGUACCGACCAAUGAGUUUCUUUGGUUAUCGGUUAAUAUCCUGCUUCUUCCGAGCCACGAAUGAGGUAUGUAUGAAAGAACUUUCAGUGCAUGUUAUUUUUUGCUUGCUUUGUUGAUGAGUUGAGUAAAAAUAUGAAAAUGGCUCUUCAAAAAAUGAUUGAAAAUGUGGCUGAUAGUUCUUAUUUUUUUCAUCAAUUAAUGUUAGUUGUAGUGAAUAGAGUAACCCAAAUGCAUGUUGACCGGUUCACUAGUUCCGCCGACUAGACUCUUAGAGUGAUUCAAUCGAUACCGAGGUGCACUUGAAGUUUGUAAUCAGUAUUCUAUAAAAGAAAAUGCUUGAAUCCUUCCGUGGAUAGCUUUCUUGUGUUUGACAUGCCUUGAUUGAAUUUAUGAGCACUAGGAAUAAAUGUAAUAUUUAAGGGCAUUAGAUUUUUUGUAUUGUUGAGAUUUUGUAAUUUUAGGAAAUCCAAGAUUCUGUUCAUGUUUGUUGUGAUUUUCCUUAAAAGUUUUAAGAUUGUACAUGUAUGUUAUGCUACAGCAUGUUAAUACAAAAUUCAUUUGAAAAAUUAUCUUCAUCAAUUGUGUUCUAUAGUUUUACACGGUUGCCAACCAUUUUGUGUCGGGUCAAUGUGUUUAAUCUUUAAGAUUCACAUAAAUGCUUUAUUUCAGAUGCUUAUCAAUUUUAAUUUCAUCAAUAGAAAGUGUCAAUAAUGAAGCUAUAUGAUAGGGCUUGAUAUUAGCAAACAUUGAAAUGAUAAAGUAAUGAUUCCAUAAUGUUAAAACAAGAAAAAAAAGACAGAAAUUUUGUGAUAGAUCAACUACAAUGAUUUGGCGAUUGGCAAUAACUUGUUAUUUUUGUUAUAAACAAAAUCUUAGAUUUGUUAUACAUAGUCUCUUUGCAUUAAAUGUCUACAAAAUGUUGUUAGAUUGAGCAGAAAUAUAAGUUGCCACUGCUGUUGACAUAAAGUAUAUAGUAGUAUGUUUUGCAGCAUGGCAGUGUUUGACAAUUAGAACCAUAAUUGUUUGAAUCUACUUAUGUUUGUGUUUACAUUAUCUUCGUGACUUAUAUAUUCACUAUAAGUUGUAUUCUAAUAUGAUAUUUUUAUUAAUAAAGGAAAAUUAAUCCAAGCCUAAAGAGAUAGUCGAUAGUGAAUCCGGUAGCAGCAGCUUUGGUAGCAAGAGUGUUCAUUAAGUAGUAGCACCAGAGUCCAAACUAAUCCCUUACGACAUAUUUUGAAAUGAUCAGAUGAUACCUCACAUUUCUUAUGUAAGCCCUAAAUUGUAGAGAUGUUGUAUCAUCUUUUACUUGGUUGUAUACAUACGUUUGAGGUUUUUGUAUAUUAUACUUAGAAACUCACUCCAGUGACAAGGCUAGUCUUGCCUUUGUUAGUAUUUAUCUUAGUAAACUGUUAUUAGUUGCUCACAUGUAAAUAUGGACUAAUGUUGAGUUGUAAGGCU